This 114385-nucleotide long non-coding RNA is filed under the name Gossypium barbadense (sea-island cotton). RNAcentral's name for it is "long non-coding RNA (GBAR_LNC006423)". Lineage: Eukaryota; Viridiplantae; Streptophyta; Magnoliopsida; Malvales; Malvaceae. The record is from RNAcentral.
UUUUUUUUUUUAUGAUAUGUGAGCCAAGUCGAUCUACAACAAAAUUAUCCCCCCAAACUUUAUAUUCAAUAUACACGUUUAAAACAACAAACGUGUUAAAUUAUGUGAAUAAUUUAGUAAGUAAGCAAAGAAUUAAAAUAUUACCUUUAUCUUCAAUUAAAUAUAAAUAUUUAAACACAAUUAACAAACUAUAAAGAUUUAAACUUAAACUAAAAAUUAAUAACAUAACAUGAUUAUUUGUUGCCUUUUACUUACCAUUCUUACUUAGCCCAUAGUAGACAUGAAUGAACAAGGUGGAUACACAGAAUAUAACACAAGAUUCAUAGAGCGCAUAAGUGCUAGUAGCACAGACACCGAAGUGCUAGAAACAUAGACUUUGAAGUGUAAGAAAAUAUAAGAGCGCUCAAGAAUUUCUAUGGCAUGCCAGCUAUAUCCAAAAAGUUCAAAGUCUAGUCUACAUGAGCAAUUCAUUAACACAAAUAUCACUAUAUCAUUCACAAUAUCAUUAUUUCACAAAUUUCCUAUUUUCAUUACACUUUUUUGCAUUUAGUAAUUAAUCCACUAUUUCACAUCAAUAAUACAUAUUACAUAAUUUCAUGACUCAUUACUUUACUCAUAUUCUUUUUCACAUCAAGCAUUUAUCAUUAUAUAUAUAUAUAUAUAAACUUUUUAUGUAAUCAACAUUCUCAUAUAAAUUAAUAUAACUAAACUUUACAUAUUUUACAUUUUAGUCCUUAUCUCACUUAUUGAAGCUCUCACAUCAUUAACACUUCUUCUCACUACUUUUUUUUACUUACUUUUCAUGAAAUGUAACGCCCCAACUUUCGGGAAUUCUAUGAAUGUUGGCAUAGGUUUAAUUAUGUUAGUGGGCCUCUAGAAGGCCCAAGCUUAAGAUAGAACCCAGUAAUUUUAGUUAAUUUUUGUUUUCGAUAAGAAAAAAGGGGUGAAAUUAUGAAAUAGGACCUAUGUGAAAAUGUUUGAAAAUACUAUAGGCUAAAUUGAAGUGGCCAAAUAAAUAGGAGUGCAAAAUAGGAGGAUUUGCAUGACAAAUCUCCCAUUUUACAUGAAGUGGUCAGCCAUCAUGUUGUUGUAGACAAAAUGUGCACUUGAUAUCCAUAAUUUAUGGUACAAAUUGAUACAAAUUGAUAAUGGGUUAGGUAAAUGUUCCAUGAUAAUGGGUUAGGUAAAUGUUCCAUGAUAAUGGGUUAGGUAAAUGUUUCAUGAUGGGAAUUUCAUGUCUUUUGUAUUAAAGAAUUAAAUGGAUGAAAUAUGAAAUUUUAUUAAAAAAAAGGGGGUGAAAAGAACAAAGUUUUGUCCAUCUUUGUUCAUCAUAGUCUAAAGUUAGAGAAGAGAAAGGAGAGGAGAAAGCUCUUGAAUGUUCGGUCACUUGGGGAAGAAAAUUGAAGGUAAGUUCUUGAUACCUUGCUUCUAUUUUGAGGUUCAUGAGUUCUUCUUGAUUCUACCUUAACUCUUGAAGCAUAUUUUGGUUUUUAGUUGUGUUGUGAGCAUUUAGUCAUGAAUUAAAAUGAAGGAAAUGGUUGUUGUUUCAUGUUCUUUUGAUGAUAAAUGGAAGAUAGGUGAAGUUGAGCCAAACAAAUGAGCAUGCAUGUGCCUUAGAUGCUAAAGGGAAAAAUCGGCUAACAUGUUGUGCUUUAAAAUGAUGAAAUGGAGAUUAUACUUAAGUAAAAUCAUAGAUAUGUGAUGAUUGAUUGGUGAUAUACAUGUUUAAAUAACAUGCAUACAAGUUAUGUGUGAAAGAGUGAAUUUGGUAAUAAAUCUGCUUGAGACAGCAGCAGUAAUGUGACUUUGGAAAAUCACCAUAAAUUGUGGGAGAUGAAUUAGAAGCUGAAUAAAUUAUGUAAUUAAAGCUUGUUGAGUCUAGUUUCAAAUGAAAUAAACGAGAACAUAUUUUGAAUUCUGUACAAUGAGAAAUUUGAUUCGUAAUGAAGAGUGGUCAGAUUAGUCAAACAGUGAAACAUACGAAACUUUGAGAAAAAUCUGGUAUUGAUUGGCCAAACCAAAAAUUCUGAAAAUUUUAUGGAUAUAAGAUAUAUGAGUCUAUUUUUAGGGAAAAUUAACGGCACUUGGUUUGGAGUUUAGUAGAUCCAGUUAUAAAUGAUUUAGUGACUGUUGUUCAGGAAGACAGCUUGCAGUGAAAUUAUGAUUAUGUGGUAAACAUUGACAAAAAUUUGUUAAUGAGUUGCUUAUUGAUUUCUUAUAAGCUUACUAUAAUCUGUAGGUGUGGUUGGCCGAAUAUUGUAAGGGGUUAAUACGUAGUUUGUAUUUGAAUAGUUAGAUUAACGUGUUAGUAAUCCAAUUGUAGGCGGUUCGUGUGUGGAUCUCGUCAGCAUAUCGUCGCAAACAGGUGUGUAACUAACACCAUCUUUCUUAGUCUGGAUCGGCAAAAGUCGAAAAGCCGAAAUACCGAAAAUCGGUAUUUUGUAGAUUUGCGAGUGUGCGAAUGCUCGUGAGGUAAAUCGAUUAAUGUUUUUGGUAAGCUGCAAAAUUUGGACUGCAAAGUGCAUGAUUUCUGUGCCCUCGAUAUUUUUGGGCUUAAUAGGCCAAAAUUGGAAUGAUGGGCCAACGGGCCCAAUUCGGUAAGAACCCUCGGUACAUGAUUCUAUAGUACGUGAAAGGUAGGAAUAUGCAUGAAAAACCCUAAAAUAGAUAAAUUACUAAAAUACCUUUAAAAGUGGAAAAUUUAUAGUUUUACCCCUAGGAGAUAAAUUACCGAAAUACCCCUAGGGUUAAAUUGACUUAAAUGCAUGUUUGACUGUUGUUAUUUACUGCAUGCCAUUUUGUUAUUAUCUGAUGCAUGGGAUUGGAAUAUUGACGGAGGAAGUAAUGAAAGUGGCUUGUCCACGUACUGGAAGCUUUGCCUCAAUUUACUGUUAACUAAGCAGCAAUGCUGCAACUGUAGAGUGUUGGGCUGGGUGGGUUGAGCUAUCCCCACAUGGAGUGUAUGGCUGGUACGGGUGGAGUGUAGUGGUUGGUGGGUUGAAUAGUUUCCCCAAAUGGGCUUGCAUAUGUUAUUGAUGUUGCAUGUAUUUUGAAAUGGGCCUAUGGGCCAUAUUGUUAUCUGAAUAAGGGGCUAAGGCCCUGUUUAUUGUAAUCUGAAAAGGGCUAUGGCCCAGUACCACUGUUACCUGAAUAGGCUUAGGCCCAAUGGGCUGGAGCUGACUUGGGCUUUGAAUGGGUUUUCCUUACACACUGAGUUUCCCCAAACUCACCCAUUUUAUUUUCAUCCACGCAGGAAAUCCCCAACCAUAGUGGGCUUGGAGCUGUGAGGGAAUUCGGAGUGGCCACCCGUUCUGAAAGUUUGAUUUUCUUCUGGUGAACUAGACAUCCUUUUAUUUACGUUUGAAGUUUUUUGUUUUUAAAUGUAAUAAGGCCGCUUAAUUAUUUUUGAUGGUUUUAAUAUGUAUUACUAAGAUAGGUAUUACUUAUUUUAACUGUUGAAAUUGGAUAGCUUUAGGGCGCAUUUUCAAAAACAACAAUUGAUUUCAAAAUAACACGACAACAAGCAAAGCUUCCACAAUGAAAGUAUUUUCCAAAAUUAAUCACUUUUCCUAAAAAUAACUUAAUAAAAUCGGUUUCCUAGAAAUAUCCAUGACGUUAAGGUGUGGCAAUGGCGGUAUGCAUGUCUAGGAUUGGAUCCGAAGGGAGCUUGGUACUUAAGCAGUCCGAUGGACUCACCACCUCUUUUCCGGUUUCCUACCUGGUGCACAUCUUCCAUUCACUUUAACCUAUAAUGAAAUUAUCUUUUAAAACACUAAGUAAGUUUUUCUGGAUCAACAAUAUAAAAUAUUUUGAACGCUUCGAUGAGGCAUGUCGAAUCCGGUCAUAACGUCUGGGCCGGGUUUGGGGUGUUACAUGAAAUCUUUUACUUUAGUUAUUAUUCAUAAAUAAAUAUUAAGUUCAUUUGAUUAACAUACUAUUCCCAAGUAUUUAUACUUAAUUUCUUUUCAUGACAAGAAGAAUUCUAAGAGUACUUGGUAAAUGGCUUGAAUAUGAUUUCUACACCUUUCUUCAACCCUCGAAUACACUCGUAGGACCGACCUCUAUGUCUUUCUCUUUAUUAGAAUAUCAUUAAUCACAAAGCACACAUAAUCAAUACACUUUUCUAAUAUCACUUUCAUGCUCUACUAACUAUAAUAAACAUGAUAUUAUCUGUAAAUUAUGAAGCUCUUACCUUGAUACCUUAGUCUCUCACACUAACAUGAUAUUUUCCCUCAUCUACCAUGAACAUAUCAUUUUCUAGCUUCAAAAUGACCUCGCUAGCUUGUUAAAAAUUGUAAGAAAAAUAAAGCUUUCUUCCUUUAUGGUGGGUGGUGUUGGUGAAUGGAAGGAUUGAGAGACUUCUCUUCAUCUUUUCCUUUAAAAUACCCAUUUAAUCAAUUAAUCAAUUAAUAUUAUAUAAUAAAAAAUCUAGAAAUAAUAAUUUAGAUCCAAAGGUUAAGAUUUCUUCUUCAUUUCCCAUAAAAUUCAAUGGCUAUAAACAUGACAACAUUUGUCCUAUUUUUCCUAAUUUAAGUAUUUCUUAAUACCAUGAAAAUUCCAAUUUUAGGAAUGACCUUUUUGCCUAUAACAAUCUUUACAAUUCUUCUCUUGAGUCACUAUUCAUUUAUGGUAAAAUUAAAUUUAUUAUCCUUUCACUUUUCCCACUAAUUCAAUUAAUCUUUUUAUGCAUUUAAUUUUACACUUUGACCUAACACUUUUCAAAACCUUACAAUUUAGUUUAUACCCCGAGUAAAUAUUUCUUAAUAUAUUAGUCUUUUCAACUCCCUCCAAUAUUAAGUACCUUUCAUAUUUUAUUUACUCUGAACAUUCUAGUCAUAUAUUCUCGAAUUAACACUACUUACGACCAAGGGAGUUUUACGGAUGUUACAAGAGGCCCAUCUAGAAAGAAGUGGGUGGCAGGUAUUUCCAAUAAGAAAUAUUUGUAUAUUCCUAUUAAAAUAAUAAUAUUUACUUAACCCUGUUCAACUAGAACUCUUGUUUUUUUUUUCUCUAUAUAAAGGGGCACAACUUAAGCCAUAAACAUAGAACACUAACUAUUGGUCUUUAUUCCCAAUAGAGAUAACUAAUUUUCCCCACUGGAAAAAUAAUAAAUUUUCAUUUUAUUCAAUUAUUUCGUGAAAUUGGAGUCACACUCUAAGCAAAUAGGAACUCAAGAAGAGUAGAGAAGAUCAUUUUGGUCAUAAGAUGAUAAACAAAUUAGAAGCCUAACUCAAAACAUAUGUUUUAAUUUGGUUAGGAUUUAUUGUUAUAAAUAACACAAUCACUCGCUUUUAGAAUAUUUUAAUUUUUCUUUGUGCAAAAAAAAAAAAAGAAAAAGAAAAGAUUUCUAAAUCGAAUUUUUCCAACAAGGUGAAAUCACAAUCUUAGCUUUCCACAACUACCUUCAUAAUGGUUUCCAACUUGUCAUCAAACUCUUGCAAAUGUCUAACCAUUAGAAGGAGAAGUUGGCCUUGCACAUGAAUCGACCAAAAUGGAAGCCCCCCCUACUUGCCAAAACCAAUGGCACAUACAUCAUUUUCAAGGUUACAAAAGAUUUUUUACUUAAAAUGUCCAUCUCACAAUUGUAACGAUUCGAUUUUCAGUGGUGUCAAAAAAUACGAUUUCGAAACUCCACUUUCAUAAACCAAGUCCGUAAAUAUAAAAUAAGAAUCUUUACGAAGUUAUUAUGAAAAUAUAGUAAAGAACAAUUUAGUCAUUUAAUCGAUAAAAUUGUUAAUUAAAGCUCAAGGACUAAAUUGUAAAAGUAUUAUCACUAUUAAGUUUUAAUUAAUAAAAGGCUUGAGGACCUAGAUAGAAAUUAUCCAAGAUACCAAAAUGUUUAUUUAACCAUUUUUUAAAAUGAUUUAGUGGAUGAUGAAGAUUAUGACUGCUUAGUUUAUAUUAAUAGUUAAAUUAAUAUAAUAAAACCUAAUUAAUCUAAUUAACCAAUAUUAAUUAAAUGUUAAUCUAGUAUAUAUAAAAUUGUAGUGGAAAGAAAUAUGAUAUUAUCAUUUUCUUCUAUCGUCAAAGAGAAAAAAGAAGAGAAAAACUCCAUUUUUGGAGCUUAACAUUCGAUCAAGCAAAAUUCUAAGAUAACAAAGCCUUUUUCAUGUAAUUUUUAUAGAUUUAUGAUCAUGUAAGCUUUAUUUAGGUAGCUCAUAUAUCAACUUGUUCAAUUGUUAAGUUUUUAGCAAGUUACCAUUGAAGAGAAAUUAAUGAAUUAGGCUUGAAUCUGAUAGUUAUUAAGCUUAUAUCAUGAUAUGGACUAAAUUGUAAAGCUAAUUAAGCUUGUUAGAUAACUUUGUAACAUUAUGGAAUAAAUUGAACAAAUUGAAAACCUGUCAAGAAAUUAUGUUAUGAAUAGAAAUUUUAGGGUCCCUGAUGAAAGAAUGUGAAAUUGGAUUUUGAUCUGAUGCUAAAUAUCGAAAGAUACGCAUACCCUGAAUAUAAGAACUAAAUUGAAUAAAAUGAAAAAUAGGUUUGGCAUUGUAUUUGGAUGUGAAUUGAAUAAAAUUUGAUAUUGUUUUAUUUUUUAAUUUAUCGAACGUAGCUAAGGACAACGCCGAUGUUGGAAAAAAAUUGGUUCAAAAACAGUUUUCUUGUAAAACAGAAAAAUAAAAUUUUGAAAACUGAGCCAAUGUUUUACAUUUAUAGCAAUAAUUUUUUUUCUUGAAAUGGUACCUAUGCUUUGAGCAAGAUGAAUCCCAGACAUUCUCGGCUUUCAACCGAAUGACUUUCUUCACUAUUCUCAUUCCACAAACUGCCUCAAGUAUGGACUUCAACAAUCUCGAGUCAAACAUAGAAUCAAAAAAAAAAAUACUUUUAGUAGGAAAGUAAUAUCUCUCUUAUAGAAAUUUGUACAAUUAUUAUUCUAGGAAAAUAGAAUUUAUACUCUAAAAUAAAUUCUGACUAUUUUCGGACAGAAUAACAAUAUUUAAAACUUCUAUAUUUUUCUAUUGUAUUUUUCCCUACCAAUUUCAUCUAUUUAUAGGGAGAGGUAGUAAAACCUUAGUUGAAUUAUUAGAAUAAAAAUAAUAUUUAUUUAAUAGAAAACUAAUCCCUUAGUUAAAUUAUGAAAGAGAAGGGUAACUAACCCUAGUUAUUUUAUUAGGGCUACCACCCCUCAGAAUUAUUAUGAUGAGGUUUUGCGCCUCUUUUGUAUUAGAUCCAAUUAUAUGUGCUUCUUUGACUUUUGACCUAGCACUUUAUAAUUUAAUCCAACCUAAUACAUGUUUUUCUAUUCCUCAAAAUAAAUAUUUUUAUUAAAAUAAAAAUUUAUUUUAAUUAAUUAAUUUUCCAAUUAAAUAAUUUUCUCAACCUAAUUCUAAUUCCGUUAAAAUCAUGACAACUUUACCACAAAUUAAUCUACAAGAAAAUAUAUUUAAUUUCUACUUUUAAUGGAUUCACAAUGACCAAUUAAUUUAAUUUUAUUUUCGAACUUCAAUUAAUUAAAUAAUAAUUUGAAAAACUUAAAUUAAUUCUUAGAUCAUUUCCAUACUUAGUGAGAAACCACAUUCAUUUCCGAAUGUAACCAAUUUCUCUACAUUUAUCAUUUCUAUCCAUUUUUGUUCAUUUGAUUCAACAUGCAAUUCAUUUAUGGUUUCAAUGAGCUAGCGAACGGACCAAUCGGACAUAUAUAAUUAGGUAUCAAAUGAUUUAUAAUUAAGUUUCAACUUUUCGCCUAUUAAUUAUAAACUCAAUUACUCGUGAAGUCAUUCCACUAUAGUAUUGUGACUGAGCUGUCCCUAAUAACAUACCAUUACGAAAACUACUCAAUCAAUGUUUGUCCAAUGACUUUGUGAUAAGUGUAUUACCCUCAUAGGAUACCCUUAAUCUCUUUGGGAUAAAUUUUCUCUCCCAAUAUGGUCCUAUUCUAUCUCAUGGUAAUCAUUGCAUCUUCCUUCAUGAAAAGUUAAUUACUAUCAAAUAGUAAUUAAGUCAUUGAUUAGAAAGACAAAUGAACCGUGGCCAUGUUUACUUUUAUCUAUCAUGUAAUGUCAAUGAGAGGAUAUCAUUUACCCAUGUCUUGGGCUAUGGGUUCCACUAUUGUGAAUGAUUCUACAUACUAAAAAAUUAUUAUACUUGACGCACCAGUUUUCAGUUCCUUUUCUAUUUGAACUCAAGCUUUUACUUACAUCAAAGUAUACGAGUCACGUAUACAUAGUCCAUCAUCCACUCAGGAUUAAGGUAUGACACACUAUGAAUGUCAAAGGUGAAUAAAUCCAUAAACAAAUUCAGGAUCUAUUUUACUUGGGUCCUGUCCGAUGUACUGUCAGUCCAGUCAGUCACAUCUAUGUCCCUAUCUUUUGGGAGUCAUCUACUAUAAUGCUCAAGGCAAUGCAUGUAACAACCCAUUUUUUAGUGAAAUCGAAAUAGUGGUUUCAGGACCACAAAUCCGACCCAAAAAUAAGGUUUAUUUUUAUUUCAUUAUAUGGUCCGUAUUAUAAUAGGCAUGUCAUGUGAAAGUGUUGAUACGAAAAUUUUAUUGAUUAAGUGUUUUUAAUUAUGAGAAGGACUAAAUCGCAUAAAAUGUGAAAGUCGAAUUCUAGUAGCUAUAAGGAUCAAAUAGCUAUGGAAUUCAAAAAUAGAGGUCCUUAUAUGGUAAUUAGACCAUUAAAGAAGUAUGUAGAUUUUUUUAUGACUCAUCUAUGGAAAUGUAGAAAAAGGGGAAGGACUAAAUUGGAAAUUUUAAAAUACUUAAUUAAUUAAAAGAUGAAAAGAAAAUAUCAUCUUAUUUUUGUCAUCUUCAACCUAAAAUUCUAUGGAAACCCUAGGAGAGAGAGGAGAAACUUUCAAGGCUUAAUUGGGUAAGUUUUCUUGUCUCAUUUUUAAUAAUUUUGAUAUUUUUAAAAUCGAGAUAGCUUAAUCUCUCUAUUUGAGAGAUUAAUUUGAAAAGUUAUCAAAGUAUGGAAAAUGGUUCAAUGAUGUAUAUGCUGAAAAUUAGAAAUUUAUGGUAGAAAAUGAAAGGUUGUUGAUAGAUAAACAACUUUUACAAAGUGAUUUUUUAUGGAAACAUGGUUUAGGGUCUAAAGUGGGGACUUGUGAAAUUGAAGAAAAAUUCUAAAUUUUUAUGAAUAUAUGUGCUGUAAAAUUUGUAAUGGGAUUUUGGUUAUGCUUGGAAUGGGAGUAAAUUGCACAAGUUUCAUUUUCCAAGCCUAGGGACGAAAUUAGAAUUUAUGGAAAAGUUAGGGGCAAAAUGGUAAUUUUUCCUAGGACGUAAAUUGAGUCUAUUUAAAUAUGAAAUGUGUGAAAUUGAUGGUUAAACUCAUUUAUAUAGAUCCAGACAACACUAAUUCGAGGUUAGAUCGAGGAAAAGAAAAGGUUUCGAAUUUGUAGAUUUCUAACGCGAACAAAUGUCGAGGUAAGGUCAUGUAACUUAAUCCGGCUUGUAAAUAUGUUUAAUUGAAUGUUGUGAUGAAUGGAAUGUGAUUUAUAUUAAUGUACAUUACUUGAAUUGCUAUCAUGAGAAAUUCAAUACAUGCUUGAAAUGGUGAAAAAGGGUUAAGUCCCGAUUGAAUAUUGGAUUCUGAUGAUUAUAUGCGCUUUCCCAAAAUGAAUAAGGUCUUACAUUUGUUGUAGAUGGGAUUUAGCUUAGAAUAGUAAUCCUGUUGACCUUGUUAUAGAAAGGAUUUAGCCUGGACGGGUAAUCCUGACAUAAUACCUCUCGAGUAUACAUUACGAUUAGGGUUUAGCCUGGACUAGUAAUCCUAAUUGAACUCUUCUAAGCAUACAUUAUAUAAAGGAUUUAGCCUGUACUAGUAAUCCUAUUAUACCAAAUGUGGCUCUAGAGUGUGUUCCUUGAUUAAGCCUAAUGGGUACCAUAGAAUAAGAAUUGAUGAAUUAUGGAAUUGUACACCUCGAGUGUACUACUUGAGCAUCCAUCGGAAUUUCAAUGAUCUAUUGGAAUUUCAAUGAUUCAUCAGACAUAUAACUCUAGACAUGGCAUGAGAAUUAUAAGAUGAAAUGAUAAUUUCUUGAAAGAGUGUUGCAUGAUGAGCUCAUCUAUUCUUACUUGAUGUAUAUGUAAACUUUGUGACUAACAUGUUUGAUUGGAUGCAUGUGUUUAGGCAAUUUAGCCAAAUGGAUGGAAAACUUGUUAUUGUAUGCUCGGAUUUAAUAAACAGGAUUGAUUAGUUUAGUUUCCAUUAUACGAACUUAAUAAGCAUGUAAUGCUUACUCCGUUUUAUUUUUCCCCUGUUUUAUAGUGCUCGGAGGCUCGCAAAGGGUUGGAGAUCACUGGAACAUCGUCACACUAUCAAGUAGUCAUUUUGGGUAUACUUAGUAAUAUCAUUUUGGUAUAAUGGCAUGUAUAGGACAACUUGGCCAUUAGUAGCUUGACAAUGAUGUUUUGUAACCUAGCCAUUGGAAUGGCUAGUAAUGGUUCAUAUUGGUAUUGCUAAGUAGGUUAUCAUGAUAUAUAUAUACAUACAUGUGUUAUGUUAAGUAUAUGUGAACAAAGGAUGUUAUUUCCUAGUUAAUUCAAGGUAAGGUUGUAAACACACAUACAUAUAAUGGUAUGCUAUGUUGAAUGAUGGAAAUUACCUAAAUUGAAUGCUUGAAAUGGUUGGCAUUGGUUGUGUGUUUCAAGUGUAGGUCUUAAGUGAAAUUUUGGGUGAGAAAUGAAGCUAUAAAUGGCUUCUUUUUGUCCAUACUGGCAGACACACGAGUGUGUGUCUAGACCAUGUGUAACACACGGCCUGGUAACAUGGGCAAGUGGUUAGGCCGUGUGUCCCCUACACCUUAAUUUUGAGAAACAAAAUCCUCAGAAUUAGGCACACGGGCAGAGACAAGGGUGUGUGUCUCAGCCGUGUGGUUGACACGGCCAUGGGCACGGGAGUGUUACACGGUCAUGUGAAAACUGCACCUAAAUUUUGAAAAUUAAAUUCGCCAUACAGCCUAGCACACGGGCGUGUGACUCUGCCGUGUGACUUCAAUUUCUUCAUGCCUUAAAAGUCAGAGAGUUACACGGGUUAGGGACACAGGCGUGUGUGGUACACGACCUAACUACACAAGUGUGUCCUUAGACCACACGGGCGUGUGAGCCUUGUAACUUUGGAAAAUUUUUGAAAUGUGGCGAAAAAUUUUAUGAGUUUCCGAUUAAGUCCCGACUUGACUUUAAUGCUCAUAUUGGAUCUCGAGGGUCCAAUUAAGGGAUGUUUUGAAUUAUCUCGGUAAAUAAAUAGUAAAUUUAUAAGAAUUAUUUGUAAAAUGUUCUGAAAGUUUUCGUAAUGCUCUGAAACCCUAUGUCGACGUCGGAUAUGGGUUAGGGGUGUUACAAUGCGUCUUACCAAUCGGACUUAAUAGAUGGCAUAUUAGUCUUUUAAUUAGUUUUCUCAUUUUUGAUUAGAUUAAGGACAUGUUUAGAUUGAUCUACUAAUAUCAAUUGUCUUUGUGUAUUACGAUUCGACCAUGUAAUAUCGCUUACUAUUAGUUAAACAUUAGAUAACUAGUGAGCUAAUAUUUGCUUCCAUUUUUCUUUGCAUGCAAAAAACAUUAGGAAAAUGUACAAAGGAAAUUAAUAUAAUUCACGAAUAAUUCUAUUAAACCAAUAUGCUCAAAAAAUACAAGUAUAUAAACGAAUAUACUACACUUAUGGCACUAGAUCUAAUAGCCAGACCAUCGAAAAGGAAAGGAAAAGCGAGAGUCAUUGACAAGUGAUGAAAGAAUUGAAUUUUUAUUUUUAUGACUCGAGAUCAUUAUAUUUAUAUACAUAUGCAUAUUGAAUGCAUGAGUGACUAUUGAGGUAAGUUUAUGUUUGUCAUAUGAAAUGAUAUAAUUGAUAAAUGAUUUGUGAUACAAAAUUAGGAUGAAAUUGGUAUGAAUUAUGUUAUAUAGCAUUGGAUAUAUAUAUGUAUUGAUGAUGUGAUGAUUUAAUCUUGGACAUAUAUAUAUUGAUGAUGUGAUGAUUAAGAAUGGUGAUAUAUGAAUUGGAUUGUAUAAUGUAAUUGGAACAUUGGCACCAUCCUAAUUGUUGAAACAGAGUCAAAUAUAGUUGGCAUGCCAUUGGAUAGAUUGUGUACGGGUUAUCCUUUGACUAUAUGUUGAUGAAUGUUGAACGCAUUUUUCUUCGGAUGUUUUGAUGAGUGUUGGACACACCUUUUACUUCAGUUAUACCGAUGAACAUUGGGCGCAAUUUAUAUACUUCAAACAUUUUGAUGAGGCAUUGAGUGCUAGGUUGGUGUGUUGGUUGGACAAUCCAUGUAUCCAUUUGAGUUGGUGUCAAGUUAAUAAGAAAUAUAAAAUGUGAAUUAGUUAAAUGAUAUUUGAAAUGAUUUGAUAGUAUGCAAUGGUAUUACAAAUGCAUAUACGAGAUAUGUGAUUAUCGAUAGCAUGUGAAAGAUCAUGCGAACUAGUUAGACACAAGCCCCAUGGUUGAAUCAAUUAUGAAUGAGUUAAUAGGCUUGGGAGAGAAAAUUAAAUAAAAAAAAUUAAAGAUUAGAUAGAAUUGGUUGAAAAAUGAAAAUUGAGUAUCAUAGUGUUAUGUGCGUGUGUGUGUGUGUGUGUGUGUGUGUGAGUGAGUGAAAUUGAGAUGGAAUUGAAUUGUAUCCUUGAUGAUAGAAAGUAUGAUAAAGAAUGUUCAAUUGAUUAACAAAUGAGCUUAUGUAAAAAAAUUGAUAUUUGUAUGAUGAGCAAGUAAUUUGAAGUGGUUGUAUCAUAACAUAUAUUGAUUGAAACCCACUUGUUAUUAUGAUCAUUUUAUGACUUGAAUCAUUGAAAUACCACUGAGCUUUAUCAAUCAAUGUAUGUUUUAUUUAUUACUUGCGUAGCUAUAAGUGAAUCUCGAGGUUACUAGAAGUGAUCCAACAUCCAGAAAGUGAUACUCUACUCAGCAAUGUUUGUAUAGUUUCUUUUGUUUUAAUAAAUGAGAUGUACUGAGGUUUUGAGUUGGUUUUGUAUCAAAUGGUCAUUUUGGAUCCCAAAUUCGUAAUUUCAUUUGAGUUUAAUGUUUAUAACUUAUUGACACCAUCAAUCAUCUCUAUAUGCAUUCAAUUACACAAAUAUAUACAUACACAUUUUUCAUAUAUAUUCAAUUAAGUCUUUAUCAUUAUCAACCAAUCUAAAUCAAAUCAAGUCAGCUCAUUUCUUCAAAUCAUCACUUCAUCACGUAACAUAUCUUAUUUCAGUCCAAUUUAAGGUCAAUUCCAUAAUUAUUUCAAUUUACAAUUUAUCGUAUUCAAUUUAGUUUUCUAUCUCACCUUUUUGUACCGAAUCGUAAACAAUUAAAAUUUCAAUUAAACAUAUUUAAAAUUAUAAUUAUAAAUGCAUAAAAUUUUAACACAAAUAUAUUGUAUGAACUUACCUGGUCAAGACAACAAACAAACAACUCUCUAAGGACUAAUUAAUAAUUUUGGUCAUUUCCCCGAUUUUCUUCAAUUUGGUCCAAUUUCUGAUUUAUUCAAUAAUUCAAUUCAAUUUAUCAAUUCCAAACAUCUUAUAUCAUUCUAUUAUAAGUAUAUAUCAGUUAACUUUAUUAUUAGAAUCCCCCCUAAACUUUUGCAUUUUAUUUAAUUUAGUCUCUAAAAUCAAACUUAUCAUAUCUUCCAAAUUUGAAAUCCAAAUUUUAAACCCACUUCAAUUAUGUCCAUAUAAAACCACCUAUUAUCACAAAUUAUAAAAAUUUCAUAUCAAUUUCAAGAUAUUUACAAUUUAGUCCCUAAAUUCAAAAAUAACAAAAUUUACUUAACAAAUUAAUCAUAUUUCAUUUCUAAGCUUCAAAAUCUACCAUAAACAUUCAAAAACUUCAAAUAACAUCAAUGGAAACUUUUUAAAUCUUUGAAAGUUUUGAAAACAAAGAUAUAGGUUAGCUGGACUUAGUUAUAACGAUCUUGAAAAUAUAAAAAUUAUGAAAAAUCGACCCCAAAUAGCUUACCAUGCAUAUGUCGAUUGUUGAAGCUCCAAAAAUAUUUCCUCCUCUGGUGUUCUAAGGUUCGACCAUAAGAGUAAAAUAAAAUGGUAAGAUGAUGGCUCCAUUUUUGUUUUAUUUGUUUUAUUAUUUUACUGUAAUAAUUAAUAAACAAAGUCAUAAUUCAUAUUCUAUCGUCCACUAAUAUUAAAAGGUGGUAAAUUUCCACUUAAAACCUUAAAUAAUUUUUAAUUAAGUAUUUUAGCUAAUAAAAUUCAAUAACGAAUAACUUUUAUGGAUUUUACGAUUUAGUCAUUUUUUAUUAAUUAAUUAUUAAAUCUUAAAAAUCACCACACCAAAUUUCAAUCCACUUAUACAAAAACUCUAUAAAUAUUUAAUAAAAAUAUUUACAAACUCAGUUUAUGAAAAUAAGGUCCCGAUACCUCAUUUUCCAAAAUCACUGACUUUCGGUACACAUUACUUGUACCUUGACUAACUAACCAAUUAAUAAAAUAUAUAAAAUCAAAUUUCACAAUAACAUCAUAUUUAAAUUGUAAAUAUUAUAUAAUAAUAUUUACAGACUCACUCGUCAGAAUUGUGGUCCCGAAACCAUUAUUUUGACACCACUGGAAAAUGGGUUAUUAUAGUGAUCCUGACCUGAGCCAUAUUAAAUGUCAUUUUAAUAUGUUAGAUGAUUCGAGAGUAGUGGUUGAUAAAAAAGUACAUAGUAAUGCUCUAAAUUGAAGCAAGGGAGGCAGCAAUUACCUUCGGCACUGAGAGUACCACUCGGUCUUGAAGGACUAUAAUGAGAAGCAUUCUUUAAAAUGAUGAAUGAUUGGUUUCAUUAGUUUAUGGUAGCUGCCCCUCAAGCUCUCAGACCUCUAGUUCCUUCCCUUAUAUUUUAAAAGGUAUCUUUUGACUUGUGACUUAGGUCUUUAUACCUGUUCUUGCACCCCGACCCCUAUAUGUGAGGCUCUAUAAGCAUGGAUUGAAGAGGUGAAAGUUAGAUUGAAAUUGAGCUUGGACUUAAGAAUGUGAAAACAAUCGAUAAGAGAAUAAGUACUUUAAUCAAAGAGGUUUUAUGAAUUGUGUGCCAUAGUAAGAUGGUAUUGAAACCUUUUAAAGUUUAAUAAGAGUGUAAUGAGGACAAAAGAAUCAAGUACAAUUAUAAGUGUAAGGUAAAUGGUAAGGUAAGACUUGAUGUAACUUCAAAUAUGAUUGGAUGAAACCUACAUAAGAAUUUGAACAAAAUUUUAAUGAUAUUCGAUCGAUUAUAUAAAUGCAAAAUAUAAGAACAAGGUGUGACUAAAAUAAUGAUAAUAUAACAAAUGAAUAAGGUUCUAGAUAUAGUAUAAGAGGAUUGAUUGAUUAGGGUCAAGUUGGGAAUUAAAAAAUUAUUUAGUAUGAUUGCAAUUGAUAAGAAUCUUGACUGAUAAAGAAUUUUAUCUGAUUACACAAAUACGUUAUGAGUAAGAUGGAAAAUUGGGGUAUCAUUAUGCUAAUUGCAACUGAAAGUAUUUAGGUGCAUAAAAUAUUGUUAUGUGGAUAUAUUAUAUUAAAUGAAUUCUUAAAAAAAUUAAGGGACCUUAAUAUUUAGAUGAAAUAUGUGUGCAGUGGAACUAUGAUAUUGAAUGUAAUGAUUGAAUUUUGAUGAUCAUAAUGAUAAAUUUCAAAAGUAAGGUAUUGUAACAAGAAUAAAGGUUUAGACAAAAAGUAUUCAAGAAUCAACAUCAAUAAAGAAUCUACAAGGUUAUGUCAUAUUAAAAGAGUGUUGAGACUUCUUUUGAGGAGUGUGAAAGUUUAAAUUAAUGGUAAGUUUAAAUGUGGAUUAAGGAACAUUUUGAUAUCUAAAGAAUUUCAAUAAAAGAGUAGCAUAAGGAUUGCUAAUAAUGGAUUGGUGAAAAAAUUUGAUUUAAUUGCUAAUAAUGGAUUGGUGAAAAUUUUUGAUUUAAUGAAUAGAUUUCUGUGAUCAAUAUCUGUAUAGAAACUACUUCGCAUAUACGAAUGACUCUUAUGAGUUAAGAGGUUAUGCUUUAGAAAAUGGCUUAGGUUCCUUAACGUGUAUAUGUAACUAAUCCUUGAGGUGUUGUAAUACAUAAUUGAGAAAGAUGUUAAAUUUUGGCUCUAUGUGUAUACAUGAUUGAGUGGAAAUCUUGAGAAUGGGAUUCUGAGUUCGAAGUACAUUGCAAUGUGAUUGCUUUUGCAAAGUGGAAUUGUGAGGUUUGGAGACCAUUGGUUGAAAAGAAUUUGGUUUCCACUAUGAAUGUGAUGGUAAUUAAGGAUUUCAAGAUGUGAAAAUCAAUUUGAUAAUUGGUUUAAAGUUUGAUUUUACCAAGGGAUCGUGACUAUUUAAAAGAAGAUGAACUUUGACCUCAAAUAGUGACCUCGAGCUUAUGUCGGCAGCGUUCAAGUCAGUAGGAUCUCGAGGGUAGGCCUGAGAGUUUUCCUUUCUAUCCACAAAAAAUUAGAGGUUUCAAGAUUCUUAUAAAACAUUCACAAGGCUAAUAUCGUUGGGUGGUCAAUCGUGUCUCCAAGAUAGGGCUGGAAAAAAUUCAGUUCGAAAAUAGUUUUCUUGCACAGCGAAAAAAAUUAAAAAUCGAGUUAGUUUAUGAUAUUUAUAGCAAUAAAAUUUUCCCAAAAAUUACCUGUCAUUUGAGUGAGACGAAUCCUUGACGUUCCCAACUUUCAACUGAAAGAUCUUCUCCGCUAUUCUCGUAACAUGAACAGCUUCGAGUGUGGGCUAGAACUGUAACAUCCCGAAAUACGGUCUAGUCAAAACAGUGGUUUUGGGACCACAAAUCUAAUGUUGAAAUAUUUAUUUUAUGAUUAUUAUGAGGUCUAGAAUAUGAAAAUAUCCAUGUGUUAAAGUUUUAUGAAGAAAAUCUAUGAGUAAGUGUUCAAUUGGAAAAUAAUGACCAAAUUGAAAAAAUUGCAGAACUUGAAUUCUAGAAGCAAUUUGCAUGAAUUUGUUUUAGAUUAUUAAUUAAAAGUCCUUAAAGAGAAUUUUCCCAAUUUCUAAGUUUUUGGACAAAAAUGGGCAUGUAUGGAUAAAAUUUCAAAGAAAGGGCUUAAGGGCAUUUUGGUCAUUUGGCUAAUUAAUGAAAUAAAAUGGGAAAAUAAGCCAAAAAUCAGCUCAUCUUCUCCACCUUGCUGCCGAAAUUUGAGAGCCACCAUAGCUAGGGUUUUUCACUUUUCAAGCUCAAUAGUAAGUGCUCCCAAGCCCCUUUUUAAUGUUCUUCGUAUUUUUGAAAUCCCGGUAACUUACUCUCUCCAUUUCUACCCAUAUUUUGAGUUAGGAUUCAUGUUUGCAAAGUGACCCAUAUGUGACAUGUUUAUUAUUUGAUGAUUUAUGGAGGAAUAUGAAAGUUGGAUGUGUGUUAAACAUCUUUUUCUAGGUGACUUUCAUGAACAACCCCUAAAAGGACCUUUUUGUAAAAGGUGUAAAAUAUGUGGAAGAAAUGUGAAAUAAGGGAAAAAUAUGGGCUGCCAUAAGAGGAAAGAACAUUCGGCUAGGCUUGGGUUGUAACACUCCUAACCCGUAACCGACAUCGGAUUAGAGUUAUGAUGCAUUACCAGACAGACAGAACAUUUCAGACCAAUAUAGAAUCACAGAUAUUAUAUAACAUCAUUUCAUAAGCAAUCAUCUCUUAAGAUGGUCUACGAGACCUAAUAUGUACUUUUAGGAGACAUUCGAAUCUAAACCGAACACAUUCAUAAAGUUCAGAACAUAGAAAAUUUUUCAAUUCUGUUGAGGUCACACACCCGUGUAACAAGGCCGUGUGCCUCACACUGGCAUCAAACACACCCAUGUGAACCAGCCGUGCCAAAUCAAGGUAACCAUACUGACUUUCACCCGCGACCAAUAGGCACGCCCGUGUGCUAUGGCUGUGUGAUACUUGGCUAGCUACUGACUUUAGCCCAUGGCCACAUGACACACCAGUGUCCCCUGACUGUGUGGCACCAUGCAGGCUUGAUUUAAGCCAAUUUGCCACCCCUUUUUGGGUCCAAUCCUGCAAGCAAUAAUAUACAACAUUCAUACCAAAAUUUCCAAUCAGUUCUAUGCUUAAGAAUGAACGAAACACAUUAGAACUUAACACAUUACAAGCAUACACCAAAACUAUACACAAACUUAUCAUUUGUUAGCCAACUCUCAUGGCAUAAUAUAUACACAACAAAACUUAUAUAUAUAGACCUUCUAGCCUAUACAUGCCAUACUUUAAAAUAUGUACACUUUCAAAAGUACCAAAAUGAGAUCGAUAGUGAAGUGACGAUCCUCGACUAUCCCCAAGCCUUCAGUAGCUACGAUAACUAUAAAACAAAUAGUAAACACACAGAGUAAGCUACAAAGAGCUUAGUAAGCCAAAUACAAUUGGUUUAACUACUAAAGCAUAUAAGUACAAUUCAACCAUAAAGAUUCAUAACCAUUUCAUAGAAUAAUUCAUAAACUUCACCAUGCUCCUUUGUUUGCAUAUAUGUUAUGCUUCAUUUCCAUACAUAUUUUACAGAGACAGAGUUUUUCAUAUUUAGAAAUUUAGUACGAUACAAACGUACCUGCAUAGGUUAUACAUUUCAUAUACUCAAUUUCAGAUUUCGUACGCUAUCAUCAGACGAGUCAGAAACGAUAUAGAUGCUCAUAAACAAGUACAAUGCCGACGUCCCGGACGUGGUCUUACAUGUAACUCAAUAUCGAUGCCUCUAUCCCAGACAGGGUCUUACACGAAAUCAGAUACGAUGCUGAUGUCCCAGACAUGGUCUUAUACAUAAAUCUCAAUCGAGGCCUGUGUCCCAGACACGGUCUUACACGAUGUCUCAGACAAAUGUCAACUUUGCUUAGGAACAUACAGAGCUUUUCAAAUAUUAUCAUAUUAUCAUACUUUACUCCAAAGAUAUUCAUUAGGAACUCAAGGCCAUCCAAUACAGUUUAUAGUUUAUAUGUGCAGAAUUUAUUUCAAUUAAUACGUAAUUGUAAUUUGACUUACCUCGGACGGAUUUCGGAUAAAACGAGUCGUUUACUCAACUGUUUUGGACUUUUCCCGAUCUAAGUCUGAUUUUCUUUGUUCUUGAUCUAAUACAAUACAAAUUCAAUCAUUCAUUUCAUUCAAUUUAAUCCAUAUACACAUAUUUAGGGCACUUUACAUUUUAGCCCUUAAAUUUUCACACUUUGACAAUUUAGUCCAUUUUUCACAAAAUCACCAAUAUGUAAAAUUUCUUUGCAACAAGGGCUAGCCGAAUUUUCAUGGCUUCUAUGUAAGCCCAUACAACAUGUUCAAUUCACAAUUUAACCCUUCUAAACCUCAUUUUCAAAAUUUAACCCAAAUAGCUCAAUUUCAUCAAAAACUCAAAGACAAAACUUAUGAACCAUCUACCAAGCCUUCAUAAUUCAUUCCAAAAACAUUCAUUCCAAAAACAUCACAAAACUCAUGAUAUCAACAAUGGCAUUUCAUGAAAUCUUUAACAGAAACAUAAAUUCAGACAUGGGUUUUGAAGAACACGAAGCAACGAUCACAGAAACGUAAAAAUUAUCAAAAAUCGCGUUAAAACCGUACCUUAAUCAAGAAAUCAAAGUUUCGAGACCUAAAAUGGCUUUCUCUUUUUUCUUUUUCUUUUUCUUUGAUUUUCGGCUAUAUGCAUGAUAAUAUGCCCAAUUUCAUGUUUUCAUUUUAUUAUAAUAUGCAUUAAUAUACAUUUUCCAAUUUUGCCCUUUAAUUAACAAAUAAAAAUUCCAUCCACUAGUGUGCAUUAGUACAAUGGUCCAAUUGACAUGCAAGGACCUUUACUUUAAAAGCCAAGCCAAAUAGGUGCUUUAGCAUCUAGCACUCAACUUUUACACUUUACGAGAUUUAAUCCUUUUUCAUAAUUAAGCACAGAAACAGACAAAUUAAAUCACAGAAAUUUCACAGAUGUAAAUUCACAUAUCACAGACAUAGAAAAUAAUAUUAAAAUAUUUUUUAGACUCAGAUUUGUGGUCCCGAAAUCACUAUUCCAACUAGGCUCAAAACCGAACUAUUACAAUUCUCCCCCCUUAGGGAUUUUCAUCCUCGAAAAUUUUAUCGUUAAACAGAUUCGAAUAUUGUUGUCUCAUUGCAUCCUCAGGCUCCCACGUAGCCUCCUCUACUUCGUGUCGAUGCCACAUCACUUUAACUAACGGAAUUUUCUUGUUUCGUAACUCUUUAAUCUUGCGAGCUAAAAUACGGAUCGACUUUUCUUCGUAAGUCAUAUCAGAUUGAAUCUCAAUUUCAGAAGGGGAUAUCACAUGGGACAGAUCAGAUCUGUACCGUCGAAGCAUCGAUACGUGAAAUACAUUAUGUAUCUUUUUUAACUCAGAUGGUAGCCUCAAUCAAUAAGCAAUCGGUCCAACUCGCUCGAUGAUUUCAUACAGUCCAAUGAACCUCGGACUCAACUUCCCCUUUUUACCAAAUCGAAACAGUUUCUUCCACGGAGACACUUUAGAAACACUUUAUCACCGAUCUCAAAUUCAAUAUCUUUUUGUUCUAAAAUCCGUAUAAGAUUUCUGACGAUCAGAGGAAGCUUUCAGACUAUCUCGGAUCAACUCGGAUACCAGAAGCUGAUACAAUAUAACCCAGAAAACCAACUUCUCGCAACCAGAAUUCACAUUUACUAAACUUUGCAUACAACUGUUUAUCUCGCAGAGUCUGUAGCACUAUUUUCAGAUGUUCAGCAUGCUCAGAUUCAUCACUUGAAUAAAUCAAAAUAUCAUCAAUGAAUACAACAACAAAUUGAUCAAGAUAUGGUCUGAAAAUUCUAUUCAUUAAAUCUAUAAAUACAGCAGGUGCAUUCGUUAAACCAAAAGGCAUAACUAAAAAUUCAUAAUGCCCAUACCUCGUUCUGAAAGCAGUUUUCGAAAUAUCAGAAUCCUUUACUCACAACUGGUAGUAACCCGAUCUCAGAUCUACCUUAGAAAACACAGUAGCACCUUUCAACUAAUCGAAUAAAUCAUCAAUUCUAGGCAAAGGGUAUUUGUUCUUUACAGUCACUUUAUUAAGCUGUCGGUAAUCAAUACACAUUCUCAUUAUGCCAUCUUUCUUUUUCACAAACAGAACAGGAGCACCCCAUGGUGAAAAACUCGGUCUAGUAAACCCUCAAUCAGUCAAUUCUUGCAAUUGAUAUUUUAAUUCCUUUAACUCGGUCGGGGUCAUUCUAUACGGAGCUAUUAAAAUCGGAGUAGUACUAGGUACUAAUUCAAUGCCAAACUCGGCUUCUCGUAUCAGAGGCAAACCAGGUAGUUCUUCAGGAAACACAUCAGAGAAGUCACAAAUGACAGGCACUGAUUCAACUUUCCUAUCAUUCACUUUCAAAUCUAACACAUAAGCUAAGUAGGCUUCACAACCUUUCUUCACAUAUUUCCGUAAUUUCAUUUCAGAUACCACAGUUGGUAGUCCAUUCAGAUCACUAGACUCAAUUCAAAUUAUUUCAUCAUUCUUACACCUUAAAUCAAUGACUUUUUGUUUGCAAUUCACAAUAGCAUCAUGCAAAGUUAACCAAUCCAUUCCCAGAAUUAUGUCAAAUUCAUCGAAAGGUAAAAGCAUCAGAUCAGCAGGAAAAUAAAUAUCUCGUAUCAUUAAUGGGCAAUUCUUGCAGACUUAUCAACCAAGACACUUUUUCCUAAAGGGUUUGGUACUCUAAUUACGAAUUCAGUAGACUCUACAGGCAAAGUUUUACUAUGCACUAAAUUCAUACAAAUAUAAGAAUGCGUUGAUCCAGGAUCUAUCAAUGUAAUCACAGAAGUAUCAUAGAGAGUAAAAAUACCAGUAAUCAUGUUUGGAGACUAGGCUUCCUCAUGAUCUCAGAUAGCAUAGCAUCUGGCAGGUACCCUGGCCUCAGAUCUAACAAUAGUAUCUCCAGUACCUCUUUGACCACUACUUGCAUUUCUUGCAUUUCUGGAAGGUCUACCUCUAGCUGAGGUGUUGCUCGGUCUCAAAUUCUGUACAUUCUCUUGCUCAGCAGGUUCAGAACAAUCUUUUACAAAAUGGUCCAAAGAUCCACAUCAGAAACAGGUUCGGUCAUUCAAUCUACAAUUUCCUGGAUGUCUUUUACCACAGUGUUUACAAUCUGGUCUCUCAGAUCAAACAUUCUCGACACUUGCAACGGAAGUAGUAGGGACUCUGAAGUUUGAAUGCGAUAUAGCUCUGUCUCGUUUGAAUGUCCCACAUUAGCAUUUGGACGACUUUGAUCAUCUCAAAAUUUCUUUGACAUAGAUUGAAAUGAUCUACUCGAAGAUCUCUUUCUAGCAUCUCUAGCUUAAGAAUCAGAUUUUCUUUUCUCUUUACUUAAUUCUUUAGCUUUACAUGCUCGCUCAACGAGCACUACCAUUUUUUUAAUUUCCAGAAUUCCAACUAACAGACGGAUAUCUUCGUUUAGUCCAUCUUCAAACCUUUUGUACAUUAUUGCUUCAUUCGAUACACAUUCCUGAGCAUACUGGCUCAAUCUCACAAAUUCACAUUCGUAUUCAGUAACAGACAUACGACCCUGUUUAAAUUCGAGAAACUCUUUACGUUUCUGAUCAAUGAAUCUCUAACUGAUAUAUUUCUUCCGAAAUUUAGAUUGAAAGAAAUCCCAAGUAACCCUUUCACUCGGGACUACAGAUAUUAAAGUUUUCCACCAAUGGUACGCCGUAUCUCUCAGAAGUGAAACGGCGCAUUUAACACAUUCCUCAGGACUCAGAGACAUUUCAUCAAACAUUCGUAUUGUAUUUUCCAACCAGAAUUUGGCUCUUUUAGCAUCAUCAUUCGUUGUAGCUCAAAAUUCUUCAGCCCCAUACUUUCUAAUCUUAUCAACCGGUGGUCUACUCAACUGUAACAGAUUCACUCAUGGCAUAUCAGGAGUUUGAGAAGGAUUAACCGAGGGUGGAGGUUGUUGUACAGUCGGAUUAGUUCUAAUGUAUUGGGUGAACCAUUCAUUCAACAUCUGAUAGAAGGCUUGCUUAGCCUUGCUAUCACGGCUACUCAUAGCCGGUCGUGAAUCAUCUUGCACCGUCCCUUACGCGGGAGCAAGCGCUUUGCUUUCUACAUCGUCAACUACAACUCUAUCAGGAUCCAUUUGCUAUAUAAAAGCACAUUUCAAUAUCAUGAGUCAUCACACUAUCACAGAUUCAGAUAUAUGACAUGUAUAGCUAGACUCAUAUACGCUAUGAUAGUCCUAGAACUGACUAAACCAUAGCUCUGAUACCAAUAAAAUGUAACACUCCUAACCCAUAACCGACAUCAGAUUAAGGUUACGAGGCAUUACAAGAAAGACAGAACAUUUUAGACCAAUACAGAAUCACAGAUAUUAUAUAAUAUCAUUUCAUAAGCAAUCAUCUCUUAAGAUGGACUAUGAGACCUAAAAUGUACUUUUAGGAGACAUUCGGGACUAAACCAAACACAUUCAUAAAUUUCAGAACAUAGAAAAUUUUUCAAUUCUGUUGAGGUCACACGCUCGUGUAACCAGGCCGUGUGCCUCACACGGGCAUCAGACACAUCCAUGUGAACCAGCCGUCCAAAUCAGGGUAACCAUACUGACUUUCACCCACAGCCAAUAGGCACGUCCAUGUGCUAUGGCCAUGUGAUACUUGGCUAGCUACUGACUUUAGCCCACAGCCACAUGACAUGCUCGUGUCCCCUGACCGUGUGGCACCAUGCAGGCUUGAUUUAAGCCAAUUUGCCACCCCUUAUUGGGUCCAAUCCUACAAGCAAUAAUAUACAGCAUUCAUACCAAAAUUUCCAAUUAGUUCUAUACUUAAGAAUGACCGAAACACAUUAGAACUUAACACAUUACAAGCAUACACCAAAACUAUACACAAACUUAUCAUUUGUUAGCCAACUCCCAUGGCAUAAUAUAUACACAACAAAACUUAUAUACAUAGACCUUCUAGCCUAUACAUGCCAUACUUUAAAAUAUGUACACUUUCAAAAGUACCAAAAUGAGAUCGAUAGUGUGGUGAUCUUCAACUAUCCCCGAGCCUUCAGUAGCUACGAUAACUGUAAAACAGACAGCAAACACACAGAGUAAGCUACAAAGAGCUUAGUAAGCCAAAUACAAUUGGUCUAACUACUAAAGCAUAUAAGUACAAUUCAACCAUAAAGAUUCAUAACCAUUUCAUAGAAUAAUUCAUAAACUUCACCAUGCUCCUUUGUUUGUAUAUAUGUUAUGCUUCAUUUCCAUACAUAUUUUACAGAGACAGAGUUUUUCAUAUUCAAAAAUUUAGUACGAUGCAAACAUACCUGCAUAGGUUAUGCAUUUCAUAUACUCAAUUUUAGAUUUCGUACGCUAUCAUCAGACGGGUCAGAAACGAUACAGAUGCUUAUAAACAAGUACAAUGCCGACGUCCCGGAUGUGGUCUUACAUGUAACUCAAUAUCGAUGCCUCUGUCCCAAAUAGGGUUUUACACGAAAUUAGAUACGAUGUCGAUGUCCCAGACAUGGUCUUAUACGUAAAUCUCAAUCGAGGCCUGUGUCUCUAACACGGUCUUACACGAUGUCUCAAAUAGAUGUCAACUUUACUUAAGAACAUACAGAGCUUUUCAAAUAUUAUCAUAUUAUCAUACUUUACUCCAAAGAUAUUCAUCAAGCACUCAAGGCCAUCCAAUACAGUUUCCAGUUUAUAUGUGCAGAAUUUAUUUCAAUUAAUACGUAAUUGUAAUUUGACUUACCUCGGACGAAUUUUGGAUAAAACGAGUCGUCUAUUCAACUAUUUUGGACUUCCCCCGAUCUAAGUUCGAUUUUCUUUGUUCUUAAUCUAAUACAAUACAAAUUCAACCAUUCAAUCAUUCAUUUCAUUCAAUUUAAUCUAUAUACACAUAUCUAGGGCACUUUACAUUUUAGCCCUUACAUUUUCACACUUUGACAAUUUAGUCCAUUUUUCACAAAAUCACCAAUAUGCAAAAUUUCUUUGCAACAAGGGGUAGCUGAAUUUUCAUGGCUUCUCAUGUUCAAUUCACAAUUUAGUCCUUCUAAACCUCAUUUUCAAAAUUUAACCCAAAUAGCUCAAUUUCAUCAAAAACUCAAAGACAAAACUUAUGAACCAUCUACCAAGCCUUCAUAAUUCAUUCCAAAAACAUUCAUUCCAAAAACAUCACAAAACUCAUGAUAUUAACAAUGGCAUUUCAUGAAAUCUUUAACAGAAACAUAAAUUCAGACAUGGGUUUUGAAGAACACGAAGUAACGAUCACAGAAACGUAGAAAUUAUUAAAAAUCAAGUUAAAACCAUACCUUAAUCAAGAAAUCAAAGUGCCGAAACCUAAAAUGGCUUUCUCCUUUUUCUUUUUCUUUUUCUUUUUCUUUGACUUUCAGCUAUAUGCAUGAUAAUAUGGCCAAUUUUAUGUUUUCAUUUUAUUAUAAUAUACAUUAAUAUGCAUUUUCCAAUUUUUCCCUUUAAUUAACAAAUAAAAAUUCCAUCCACUAGUGUCCAUACUUGUCCAUGCAUUAGUACAAUGGUCCAAUUGACAUGCAAGGACCUUUAUUUUACAAGCCAAGCCAAAUAGGUGCUUUAGCAUCUAGCACUCAACUUUUACACUAUACGCGAUUUAAUCCUUUUUCAUAAUUAAGCACAGAAACAGACAAAUUAAAUCACAGAAAUUUCACAUAUGUAAAUUCACAUAUCACAGACACAGAAAAUAAUAUUAAAAUAUUUUUUCAGACUUGAAUUUAUGGUUCCGAAACCACAAUUCCGACUAGGAUUAAAAUCAAACUGUUACGUGGGUAAUGUAGAAAAUUCAUACAUUUCAUCAUACGAGCCUAGGGACUAAGUCGUAAAUAAUGUGAAAGGUUAGGGGCAAAACGGUCAUUUUAUACGGGGAAGAAAUUUAGACUCAAAAAGAAUAAUAUGAGGUAUUAAUGAUUCAUUUUUAUUGUUAUAGACCCCGAGAACCAAAUUCUGGGGGUCGAUAGAGGAAAAUGAAAGGUUUUGGAAUAAUCAAAACGUGGAAUCGACACGAAUUCCAGGUAAGUUCGAAUAACUUUAAGUAAACUAUUAAUAUGCCUAAUUACAUGUGUUAUGAAUGUAUGAUAAUUGGUUAUAAUGAUGGCAUGAAAAUCCAUGAAAUGUGUUAAUAAUAAUGAAAUGAUAAUAAAUGUCCCGGUUGAAGUCAAAAGGGAAAUUCGAUAGAUAAACCAUGGCUUACAUGACUUAAGAUCCUGCAUGUGUUGCAAAAAAAGGAUUUAGCCCAGACGAGUAAUCUGUUGAUCUUAAAUAUAGAAAGGAUCUAGCCCGGACGGGUGUUCCUUGAAUGAUCGAGCCUCUUGAAGAAUAUGUGUGCAUUGUAGAUUUAGCCCAGACGGGUAAUUCAAUUAGAGUCUGAAUUUAGCUUGGAUUGGUAAUUCAGAUCCGAGUUUCUUAUGGGUGUUUGUCGUUACAAGAGAUUUAGCCUGGACCGGUAAUCUCGACAUCACCCUAUGAGUUUACAUUAGGGGAAUUUAACCUAGAUUGGUAAUCCCACCGUAAGAUGUGAGGUUCGUGGGAGUGUGUACUUGAGAUGAUCGCUCUUACGAUUUGACGGUAAAUGGAUAAUUCAUCGAGAUUUCUGAGAAACUCAACAAGAUUAACAUGAGAUAUAAAAAUGAAAAUGCUGAAUGAUGAGCUCAUCUAAGACAAAUUACAUGGUGUAUUUUUAUGAGACUAACUUGUUGAUUGAGUAUAAAUGAUAGGGAAACUAUUUCAUGCUUGUUGGUUUUAUUGCCUAAUAUGGACGCAUGCUAAUUAAUCGAUAAGUUUACUUUCCAGUUAUUCGGGUUUACUAAGCAUGUAAAUGCUUACCCCUCUCUUUUCCCUGUCUUACAGAGCUCGUGGACUCGUGAAGAUUGGGAGAUGGUUAGAGAGUCAACACACUAUCAUCUUGUCUAGCUUUGGUAUAUAGAUACUCUUAUUUUGUUCAAUAGCAUGUAUAGGGCUUUUUUUAUUUUGUUAUAUGUGUCAUUUGAUUAGCUAAUACAAAGGCUUGUAAAGGUACACAUAUUCACUUAUAUGUGGACAUGGAAUUGGCUCAAAUUGAUGUAGGUUAUGACCUACAAAUUUUAUGCAUGCUUGUGUUCAGUUGUGCUAGUGAGGAUGAAAUAUGGUAUAUCACAUUUAAACAUUUGUAAUGUGACCAAAUCACAUGGGAUGGCUAGGCCAUAACUGGAAAUGAGUUAUAAUAAUGAGUCAACCUUAAAAGUGAUAUAAGGCAUAGAAAUCCUUAGUACAAAGGGAAUAACCUAACAUGUAUAAAACUGAUAAGAUGAGGUUUACAUGCAAUGAGGUAUAUCGAGGUCAUUUGGGACAUAUAAUUAGGCCUUAUUAUUAUUAUGGAAAUCUAUAAGAGUAUGGGGAUGAUAAAAGGUGACCAAAGGCUUGGAAAAUAGCCUAGCAAGGUCCACACGGGUAGACACACGGGCGUGUGUCUAGGUCGUGUGUGACACACAGAUCGUCGCAUGGGCGUGUGGUAUGGUCGUGUGUCUUUUUCACCUAAAAAUUUUAAGUCAGAAUGCAUGGUAGUAAAAACAAGGACAAAGACAUGGCCGUGUGUCUCAGCCGUGUGGAGGGUACGGCCAAGCACACGGGCAUGUGUCUUGCCCGUGUGCCCUUAAAUGCAUGCUGACAUCAUAAAUAGAAUGAUUGAGUUUUUGAACACGGGCCACCACACGAGCAGGUCUAGGCUGUGUGAAGGACACAGGCCAGGGAUACGGGCGUGUGCUUAGCCGUGUGAAAAUCCCUGUAGGUUUGAAAUAGGAAGUAAAUUCAAUUAAUUCCACACGGGUAGGGGACACGGGCGUGCGCAUUGCCUCCACACAGGUGUGUGAGGCUUAACCUAGCAAAUUUUCCAAGAACUUUCUCAAGUUCUCAGUUUGAUUCCGGACCAUUUUCAAUGUAUUUUUGGGCCCUGUAGGCCCAUAAUAGGGACACUAAGGUGUUGUUUGAUUUGGGUUCAAAUUGGAACGAAAUUUUAUAACUCGUAUUUCCCAAAAAUGUUCGAGUACAUGUUUGGUAACACCUCGUACUUGGUCUCGAUCUUAGGUAUGGGUAAGGGGUGUUACAUUUAGUGGUAUCAGAGCUAAAAUUUAGUCAGUUUUAAGACUACCGUAGAGCUUAUUGAGUUUCUCUAUACAUGUCAUUAUACGAAUGUUGAUAGUGUGACAUUUCCUAACUGUUUAAUUGUCUUUGAAUAUAGUAAAUGUCUUCCAAUCAAGCGCAAGAUGAGUCUGAUGGAGCCAAGAGUCAUCCUGCAGCUUUCGUACAAUGAGUUAUUUCUACUAGUAGUAGAAGGCCUAUGUUUGAAGGCCGGGAAGAGGCUAGAGCCGCCUUCUUUGACAUGAUGGAUGAAUGGUUUGGGGAUUAUUUGAGGAAUCACCCUAAUAUACCACGACCUCCCCCGCCCCCUAAUCGAUCUGCUAAGGAAGUGCUGCGAGGUAUGGCACCUAAAAGAAUUGGUAAAACCCCUGUAGACAAGCUUAGAAAUUAUGGGGCUGGAGAAUUUAGAGCUAAGAUUGAUGAUGACGCUGAACGAGCCAAGUUUUGGCUCGAGAAUACUACACGAGUGUUGGACGAGUUAUCUUGUACACCUGAAAAGUGUUUAAAGUAUGCUAUAUCUCUACUAAAGGAUACUGCAUACCACUGGUGGAAGACCGUAUCUUUAGUGGUACCAAAGGAAAACAUUACUUGGGAAUUUUUCCAAGCGGAGUUUAAGAAGAAAUACAUUAGUCAGAGGUUCUUGGAUUCGAAGCGAAAGGAGUUCCUAGAACUCAAACAAGGACAUAAGACGGUAUUGGAAUACGAAAGGGAAUUCGUGAGACUAAGCCAGUAUACAACUGAAUGGGUCCAAACAGAGUCAGAAAUGUGUAAACGCUUCGAGGAAGGUCUGAAUGAGGAAAUCAAGUUUUUAAUUGGGAUUCUUGAGAUACGAGAGUGCGCUGCAUUAGCCGAUUGGGCCAAGAAAGCUGAGGAGCUCAAUAAUGAAAUGAAGCAAGCUAAGAGAGAAGCUCGAGUUACGAGCAAGAGAUCCAGCAGUAAGACGCCCUCAUUUUCCACAAAGAAAUCAAGGAGCCAACAUGAACGCUCCACUUUAUCAGUAGGAUAUUCGGGUAGAGCGAGAGGCUCAAAACGACAUAAUCAGAAGUCUUCCUUCCCGAUGGUGACUAGUGUGGAGAGUGUAGAUGACCAAAAGUCAAAGUGUAAAAGCUGCAAUAAAUUUCACUUCAGAGAGUGCCGAAUGAAGAGCGGUGCGUGCUAUAGAUGUGGUUCUCUUGACCACUUCCUCAGAGAUUGUCCAGAGCGAACUGAUAAAAGUGUGGAAGUAGCCCCGAAAUUGAGUGCACCUAUUUCACGAGAUAGAUCUCCGAGAUAUCCUAGAAGUACUAGUGGCAGUUGGGUUGCAUUCAAAUACACUGUGAAAUCAGACUCUUGAGCCCCGUCAAGAACGUAUGAAUACGCGCUUGAGAGGAAGCCUCUACUCCUGACGUCAUCACGGGUACUUUUCUCUUUUUAAUACUUGUGUUAUUGCCUUAAUUGGUCCAGGAUCAAGGCAUUUAUACAUUUGCAUGAGAUUGGCGUCUAGUAUGAACAUAUCCAUUAAACCUACGGAAUUUAUUAUCAGAGUGUUGAACCCAUUAAGCAAGUUAGUCUUAGUUGAUAAAGUCUGUAAGAAUUGUCCCUUGAUGAUUCAGGGUCAUUUUUUUCCGGCUAACCUUAUGUUAUUUCCAUUUGAUGAGUUUGAUGUAAUACUUGGCUUGGAUUGGUUAGCCUUGCAUGAUGUAAUUGUAAACUGUGGUAGUAAGUAUAUUGAACUGAAGUGCCCAGAUGGUGAAAUUCUACAAGUUGAUUCAAGAAAAUUGGAUACACCACUAGUUGUAAUCACGGCAAUAGUUGCUCAAAGAUAUAUGAGAAAAGGGUACAAAUCCUACCUUGAUUUUGUACUGAACACUAAGGAAAUUGAGUUAAAGAUUGAGUCCAUACCAAUAGUAUGUGAAUAUUCAGAUGUGUUCGCGGAAGAAUUACCCGGACUACCUCCUGAUAGAGAGAUAAAGUUUGGCAUUGAACUAGUGUUAGGAAUAGCUCCUAUUUCUAUUGCUCCAUAUAAGAUGGCACCAACCUAGUUGAAAGAGUUAAAAGCACAGUUACAAGAACUGAUGGAUAAGGGUUUUGCAAGGCUGAGCUUUUCGCCUUAGGGUGCUCCCGUAUUAUUUGUAAAGAAGAAAGAUGGUUCAAUGAGGCUAUGUAUAGAUUAUCGGCAGCUGAAUAAGGUAACUGUUAAGAAUAAAUAUCCUUUGCCAAGGAUCGAUGAUUUGUUCAACAAGUUGAGGGGAGCCAUUGUAUUCUCUAAGAUAGACCUAAAAUCUGGCUACUAUUAGUUACGAGUUAAAGAGUCGGACGUGCCUAAGACAGCUUUCAGAAUGAGGUAUGGCCACUAUGAAUUUCUUGUCAUGCCGUUUGGGUUAACGAAUGCACUGACCUUAUUUAUGGACCUAAUGAAUAGGAUAUUUCGGUCAUACUUGGACAAGUUCACCGUCGUGUUCAUUGAUGCCACUUUGAUUUAUUCCAAGGAUGAGACAGAGCAAGUGAAGCAUCUGAGAAUUGUGUUGCAGACUUUAUGGGAAAAACAAUUGUAUGUUAAGUUUAGCAAGAGUGAAUUUUGGCUCCAAUAAGUAAGGUUCUUGGGUCAUAUUUUUUUGGUUGAUGGCAUCCGAGUUGAUCGAAGUAAGAUCCUGCCAUUAUUGAAUGGAAACCACCUAAAAAUGUAACCAAGGUUAGAAGCUUUUUAGGCUUAGCCGGUUACUACCAAAGAUUUGUGAAAGGAUUCUCCAUGAUAGUGACUCUAAUGACGAGGUUACUACAAAAAAAUGUGAAGUUUGAAUGGACAAAAAAGUGUCAGUAGAGUUUCGAGAAGUUGAAGACAUUAUUGACUGAAGCUCCUAUUCUAGUAUUGCCCGAGUCGGGAAAGAGUUUGUGGUUUACAGCGAUGCAUCCUUAAAUGGACUGGGUUGUGUACUUAUGCAAGAUGGCAAGGUGAUAGCCUAUGCUUUACGGCAAUUGAAGCCAUACGAGAAGAAUUAUCUGACGCAUGACUUAGAGCUUACUGCUAUUGUUUUUGCCUUGAAAAUCUGGAGGCAUUACUUAUAUGGUAAGAUUUGUCGUAUAUUCACAGACCACAAGAGUUUGAAGUAUUUGAGGACUCAAAAAGAAUUGAAUUUGAGACAGUGGAGAUGGUUAGAACUAAUUAAAGAUUAUGAGCUGAUCAUCAAUUAUCACCCGGGAAAGGCGACUGUGGUCGCUGACGCGUUAAGUAGAAAAUCUUUGUUUGCAUUAAGGGCCAUGAAUGCUCGAUUGGCGUUGUUUGAUGAUUUUUCAAUUUUGGUAGAGCUAAGGGCUAGGCUGACAUUUCUUUAGGAAUUUUAUGAUGCUCAAACUAAUGAUAGGGUCCUUCCUACAAGCUAAAAGAGCUCAAUGUGAGUCUGCAAUGAAUCAAAUUUUCAGAUUAGUCCUGAUGGAUGCUUGAUGUUCAGAGACAAAGUUUUUGUACCGAGGAACGAUAAAAUUAUUCAGAAGAUUUUGCAAGAAGCACAUGAUAGCUAUUUGUCUAUUCAUCCGGGAAGUACCAAUAUGUACAAUGAUUUGAAGAAAAUAUACUAGUGGAACAGCAUGAAAAGAGACAUCUCUGAAUUUGUAUCGAAAUGCUUGAUAUGUCAGCAAGUCAAAGCUGAACAUCAAGUACCUUCUGGUUUACUACAACCUGUGAUGGUCCCCGAAUAGAAGUGUGACAGAAUUACUAUGGACUUCGUGACUAGAUUACCAUUGACCCCGAAAAGGAAAGAUGCUAUAUGGGUUGUGGUGGAUGAGUUGACGAAGUCAGCUCAUUUUAUCCUACUGAGGACGGGUUACUCUCUUGACAAGUUAGUUGACUUGUAUAUAUUUGAGAUUAUGGGAUUACACGGAGUACCGCUAUCGAUUAUUUCAAACAGAGACCCAAGAUUUACUUCGAGAUUCUAGAAGAAGUUACAAGAAGCCUUGGAUACAAAGUUGAGCUUUAGUACAGCUUUUCACCCACAGACUGAUGGUCAGUCAGAACAGAUGAUUCAGAUUCUUGAGGAUAUGUUGCGUUGUUACAUCCUCAAAUUUCAAGGUAGCUGGGAAAAUACCUACCAUUGGUAAAGUUCGCCUACAACAAUAGUUUUCAAACGAGUUUGAAGAUAGCGCCUUAUGAGGCCUUGUAUAACAGAAAGUGCUGAACUCUAUUGUAUUGGACAAAACUCAAGGGGAGUUAGAUUGAAGGAUUUGAUCUAAUCAAGGAAACUGAAGAAAAGGUUAAAGUGAUACGUGAUUGCUUAAAAGCGACAUCGGAUAGACAAAAGUCAUAUGCUGAUCUGAAAAAAGAAAGAGAUUGAGUUCCAACUCAGAGAUAAAGUAUUCUUGAAAGUAUCUCCAUGGAAAAAGGUAUUGAGAUUUGGCUGGAAAGGCAAAUUGAGUCCGCGAUUUAUCAGACCAUACGAGAUCACUGAAAGAGUUAGACCAUUAGCCUAUCGUUUGGCAUUGCCACCAAAACUGGAAAAGAUUCAUGAUGUAUUCCAUGUAUCUAUGUUAAGGCGAUAUCGAUCAGACCCCUCUCAUGUGAGUUCACCGACGGAGAUUGAAAUUAGACCGGACAUGACCUAUGGUGAAAAACCGGUAAAGAUUCCAGCUCGUGAAGUUAAACAGUUGAGAAAUAAAGAUGUGGCUUUAGUAAAAGUCUUAUGGCAUCGACAUGGUGUGAAAGAGGCUACAUGGGAGCCAAAAAAAACCAUGAGAAGCUAAUAUCUGAACCUGUUUACUGGUAAGACUUUCGAGGACGAAAGUCCUAAAGGGGGAGAAAUGUAACAUCCCAAAAUAGGACCUAGUCAGAACAGUAGUUUCGGGACCACAAAUCUGAUGUUGAAAUAUUUAUUUUAUGAUUAUUAUUAGGUCUAGAAUAUGAAAAUAUCCAUGUGUUAAUGUUUCAUUAAGAAAUUCUAUAAGUAAGGUGCCCGAUUGGAAAAUAAUGACCAAAUUGAAAAAAUUGCAAAACUUGAAUUCUAGAAGAAAUUUGUAUGAAAUUGCUUUAGAUUAUUAAUUAAAAGUCCUUAAAGAGAAUUUUUCCCAAUUUCUAAGUUUUUGGACAAAAAUGGGCAUGUAUGGAUAAAAUUUCAAAGAAAUGGCUUAAGGGCAUUUUGGUCAUUUGGUUAAUUAAUGAAAUAAAAUGGGAAAAUAAGCCAAAAAUUAGCUCAUCUUCUCCACUUUGCUGCCAAAAUUUGAGAGCCACCAUAGCUAGGGUUUUUUCACUUUUCAAGCUCAAUAGUAAGUGCUCCCAAGCCCCGUUUUUAAUGUACUUCAUAUUUUUAACCAUAUUUUGAACUAAGGUUCAUGUUUGCAAAGUGACCCAUGUGUGACAUAUUUAUUCUUUGAUGAUUUAUGGAGGAAUAUGAAAGUUGGAUGUGUGUUAAACAUCUUUUUCUAGGUGAUUUUCAUGAAAAGCCCCUAAAAUGACCUUUUUGCAAAAUGUGUAAAAUAUGAGGUAGAAAUGUGAAAUAAAGGAAAAAUAUGGGCUGCCAUAAGAGGAAAGAGCAUUCAGCUAGGCUUGGGUAAUAUAGAAAAUUCAUGCAUUUCAUCAUACAAGCCUAGGGACUAAAUCGUAAAUAAUGUGAAAGGUUAGGGGCAAAAUGGUCAUUUUGUCCAGGGGUGAAAUUUAGACUCGAAAAGAAUAAUGUGAGGUAUUAAUGAUUCAUUUUUAUUGUUAUAGACCCCGAGAAACAAAUUCCGGAGGUCGAUCAAGGAAAACGAAAGGUUUUAGAAUAACCGAAACGUGGAACCGACACGAAUACCAGGUAAGUUUGAAUAACCUUAACUAAACUAUUAAUAUGCCUAAUUACAUGUGUUAUGAAUACAUGAUAAUUGGUUAUAAUAAUGGCAUGAAAAUCUAUAAAAUGUGUUAAUAAUAAUGAAAUGAUAAUAAAUGCCCCGGUUGAAGUCAAAAGGGAAAUUCGAUGGAUAAACCAUGGCUUACAUGACUUGAGAUCCUGCAUGUGUUGCAGAAAAGGAUUUAGCCCGGACAGUAAUCCGUUGAUCUCAAAUAUAGAAAGGAUCUAGCCUGGAAGGGUGUUCCUUGAGUGAUCGAGCCUCCUGAAGAAUAUGUGUGCAUUGUGGAUUUAGCCCGAAUGGGUAAUUCGAUUAAGGUCUGAAUUUAGCCUGGACUGGUAAUUCAGAUCCAAGCUCAUUACAGGUGUUUGUCGGUACAAGAGAUUUAUCCUGGACUGGUAAUCCCGACAUCACCCUAUGAGUUUACAUUACGGGAAUUUAACCUAGAUUGGUAAUCCUGCCGUAAGAUGUGAGGUUCGCGGGAGUGCGUAUGGUAAAUUGAUAAUCCAUCGAGAUUUCCGAGAAACUCAAUGGGAUUAACAUGAGAUAUAAAAAUGAAAAUGUUGAAUGAUGAACUCAUCUAAGACAAAUUACAUGGUGCAUUUUUAUGAGACUAACUUGUUGAUUGAGUGUAUAUGAUAGGGAAACUAUUUUAUGCUUGUUGGUUUUAUUGCCUAAUAUGGACGCGUGCUAAUUAAUCGGUAAGUUUACUUUCCAGUUAUUCGGGCUUACUAAGCAUGUAAAUGAUUACCCCUAUCUUUUCCCUGUCUUGCAGAGCUCGUGGACUCGCGAAGAUUGGGAGACGGUUGGAGAGUCAACACAUUAUCAUAUUGUCUAGUUUUGGUAUAUAGAUACUCUUAUUUUGUUCAAUGGCAUGUAUAAGGCUUUUGUUAUUUUGUUAUAUGUGUCAUUUGAUUAGCUAAUACAAAGGUUUGUAAAGGUAUACAUAUUAACUUGUAUGUGGCCAUGGAAUUGGCUCAUAUUGAUGUAGGCUAUGACCUACAAAUUUUAUGCAUGCUUGUGUUCAGUUGUGUUAGUGAGGAUGAAAUAUGGUAUAUCACAUUUAAACAUAUGUAAUGUGACCAAAUCACAUGGGAUGGCUAGGCCAUAACUGGCAAUGAGUUAUAAUAAUGAGCCAACCUUAAAAGUGAUAUAAGGCAUAGAAAUCCUUAGUACAAAGGGAAUAACCUAUCAUGUAUAAAAUCGAUGAAAUGAGGUUUACAUGCAAUGAGGUAUAUCAAGGUCAUUUGGGACGUAUAAUUAGGCAUUGUUAUGUAUUAUGGAAAUCUAUAAGAGUAUGGGGAUGAUAAAGGGUGACCAAAGGCUUGGAAAAUAGCCUAACAAGGUCCACAGGGGUAGACACACGAGCGUGUGUCUAGGCCGUGUGUGACAUACGGAUCGCCCCAUGGGCGUGUGGUAUGGUCGUGUGUCCCCUGCACCUAAAAAUUUUAAGUCAGAAUGCAUGGUAGUAAAAACACGAACAGAGACACGGUCGUGUGUCUCAACCGUGUGGAGGGCACGGCCAAGCACUCGGGCAUGUGUCUUGGUCGUGUGCCCUUAAAUGCAUGCUGAUGUCAUAAAUAGAAUGAUCGAGUUUUUGGACACGGGCGACCACACGGGCGUGUCUAGGUCGUGUGAAGGACACGGGCCAAGGACACAGGCGUGUGGUUGGCCGUGUGAAAACCCUUGUAGGUUCUAAAAAGGAAAUAAAUUCAAUUAAUUCCACACGUGUAGGGGACACAGGCAUAUCCCAAAGCACACGGAAGUGUGCAUUGCCUCCACAUGGGCGUGUGAGGCUUAACCUGUCAAAUUUUCCAAGAACUUUGUCAAGUUCUCGAUUUGAGUCCAGACCAUUUUCAAUGUAUGUUUUGGGCCCCAUAAGCCCAUAAUAGGGACACUAAGAUGUUGUUUGAUUGGGUUCAAAUUGGAACGAAAUUUUUUAACCCGUAUUUCCAGAAAAUGUUUGAGUACAUUUCUGGUAACGCCUCGUACUUGGUCCCGGUCUCGGGUACGGGUAAGGGGUGUUACAUGAACAAUUACAGAUCAAACACAGAACCGAAAAUAAUUCUCUUACUUUUAUUAGGAAAGUAAAUCUCUCUCUUAUAGAAAUCGGUAGAAUUAUCAGUCCUAGAAAAUAGAAUUUAUAAUUAGAAAUAUAUUCUAGCUAUUUUUGGGCAAAAUAACAAUAUCUCAAAGUUGUAUGUUUAGCCUUACCAGUGUCAUCUAUUUAUUGGGAAAGAAAGUGAAACCCUAGUUGAAUAAGUAAAAUGCAAUUAAUGACUAUUUAAUAGAAAAUCAAUCCUUUAGUUGAACUAGGAUAGAGAGGGGCGGCUAACCCUAGUUAUUUUACUUGGGUUGCCACCCCUCAUGUUUAAUAUGAAGGGUUUUGGGCCUCUUCUGUAUUGGAUUUAAUUAUACGUGCAUCAUGGACUUUUAACCCAUCACUUUAUAAUUUAAUCCAACCUAGUACAUGUUUUUCUAUUUCCCAAAAUAGAUAUUAUUUAUUAAAUUAAUAUAAAUUAAUUAAUUUAUCAUUAAAUAAUUUUCUCAACCUAACUCUAAUUUCGUUAAAACUAUGACGACUUUACUGUAAAAAAAUACAUUAGAAAAUAUAUUUAAUUUCUACAAUCAACUGAUUCACAAUGACCAAUUUAUUUAAUUCUAUUUUCUAAACAUACUAAGGGCUGAAGUUAACAAAUUCCUAUUUUUAGAAUAACUUGACUUGACAUGAUAAAAGAGAUUACUUAAUCUAUUCGAUGCAAAUAUUUAUAUGUGUUUCUCGUGGAACUAAAUUGCUCCCUGUUUUUCUGAAUUAUUAUGUAAAUGCCAUUUACACUACUUUUAAAUGUUUUAUUACGCUUGUAUUUAGUUCGAACCACAAUUCUAAAGGUAAGUAUAUAAGGCAUUUCCAUAUUAUCUUACUAAGCUUUAUACUUAACACGUUGUUGUCUUUGCGUGUAGGUCUUCUGUAUUAAGGCUCAGUGCAUAUCGAAGAUCACAAGCAAACACCAUUAUCAACUCCAAAGAGUAUGAAUUUUGUGUAUUUAUGUAUUGUGGCAUGUACUUAGGGAAUCAAAGUGUAUAAAUAUACUUAUUUCAUAUGUAAAAUAGUACUUGAAACUUGGGUUAUGGUGUAUUGGUUGAAGGCUUAUGAAAUUAGUUAAAGUUCAAGAAUUUGUGAACUUGUGAAUGGUUACAGUAAUGCCUAAAUGGAAGCUUAGGCCGCAUAGGCAACUCCUUAUCGAACCAUCAAUAUUAGUUAAUACUGCCUAGGUGGUGGCUAGGGUCACCUGGUGGCACUUUAGGGGAAAAAUUAUUAACUCCAAUAUCGAGUAAGCAUGAGCUUUAGCCACCUAAGCAGUAACUUAACGUUGGUUUUACUUAAUUUCUUAUAAAUUCCUUAAAGAUUUGAGUAGCGUUUAACAAAUUGAGUAACAUUCCUAUAUUUUACAAAUUACUUAGUUCUUUUGUUUUAAUUGGCACUAUAAGAUUUUUUUUAACUUCGUUUUUGAAAACAUAAAAAUAUUUUGAAUAGAAUUUAAAUAUUUUCUAUAAUUUUAUAAAUAUGUUUUCACAUUUAAAAUUUCUUGAAUAAAUCAAAGGUUUUUUUUCAUGUUAGUGCUUUAAUAAAACCUUCCAUUCAUACUGUAUGCCAGGGCAUGUGAGUACAAAUGGGAAAUUCCAUCAAAGCACAAACAAAGUGGAAAUCUCAUAAAUAUUUAAGAUUUUAAACUUUGAAACAAUUUUAUAAAAUCAUAUAAAAAAGGUAAAAUUAAUUUGGUAAAAUAGGGUUGUUGAUGAGGAGAUAAGGAAGAGAAGGUGGCGAUUCAAAGAAAGCCAACUCACUUUGACAAAUGAAAAGAGCCAGAGAAGAACAAGAGGUGGAAAAGGUUGCUGUAAGGUUGAAAAGGCUAAGUAUAGGGAUUAUGUGCUUACAUUUGUUAAAGGGGGAGAAAAUUUUUUUGUCCUUCACGUUGGAGCGUAUUUAUAGGAGAUACCCCUUGGUUUGGUAGUAAUGGCGUGGUAAGUCAUUACCAAUGGGCUAUCAUCAUGGAGUGCGUGGUGGUGCCCAUUCUGCUAUUUAUUUUGAAGUGGUACGAGAUUGUUAUACUCAAGUAGACCCUAGUAGUCUCGAAAAGGAGUAUUCACACUGAAAAGUUGGUAGACUUUCAUACAAUGGCAGGUGGUCUAAUGUAAGAGAUGUUCCCACUAUUAGCCGAUGGUCCAAUAAGAGGUGAUUCGUCCGAAAGGCUGAGUGAUUGGCGAAGAUCUAAAAGACGAGAGGUGAAGAACUCUCCAUAAAUUUCUUUCUAAUGCUUUUUAAGAAAAACACGUGUCAAACCCAAAUAAAGAUAUAACAAAGAUAAAAUUCUGGUAACAACAAAAUCUACAAAUAUUAAUAAAUAAAAACUAUAAACAGGAUUACAAUAGUACAUUGAUAGUUCUUGUUUGAUAAAAUUUGUGCCAACUACUAAUUGUAGUUAUCUCUUAACUUGAUUCUUGUAAAAUUCCUGUGUCUCAAUCUUACUGAAAAGGCUAUAUAUAUAUAUUUAAACAUCUGGAAAAAAAAUAAUUCAUGAAAAGAAAAGUUUAGUUAUAUAAAAAAGGACAUUCCUAAACAAUAGAUUCAUUAAUUUCUUGUUAUUCGUAGGAACUAUGGCAAACCUAGAGGAAAGCUAACCUUUGACCUAAUUCCUACCGGUGACAUCCAACAAGAUCCACCACUUACAAUUGAUGGCCAACCCAGAUUUGUUUAAAGGAAAAUUUUAGGGUCAUUUGGUAUUUUUCUUUUCUUUUCGUAUAUUUGAUUUUUUAAUACAUAUGUUUUUAUUUUAUUUUGUUAAAUAUGACUCCUAUUUUCAGUCAAACUUGAAAAAUAAUCUUUUAGUUAAACUCUGUUUACUUGUUUCAAUCAAACACUAAUUAGUUUAGAUUAUUUUAUUAUUAUUUGACCUAUGAAUUUAGCCUAUAAAUAGGCUCUUUUAAAACCUUAGAAAGAUACACCCAUUAGAGAUUAGAACUCAUAACAUAUUUAGAGAAUUUUGUGUUUACGUUUUGAGGGUUCUUUAUUUUCAGGUUUUCGGGGUUCAGUCUUUAUCUCUAUUUUUGUACUCUUCGUUUUUUUUCCAUUAUAGUAAAAUUAUCUUUGCCCGUGGUUUUUUAUCCUCUUUGAAAGGGUUUUUCCACGUUAAAUUUGUGUGUUCAAUUUCUUAAUUUACGCUAUUUUUCUUGUUCGUUGCUUAAUCGGGGUGAUCCUAACAAAUGGUAUCAGAGCUAGUUUAAUUUUCAUAGAUCAGUUCAUUCAAAGAUGGCAACAACAAGGUUUGAAAUUGAGAAGUUCGAUGGUGAGACAAAUUUCAAUCUGUGGCAAGUUUGAAUUAUGGAAAUUCUAGUUCAAUUCGGUUUGAAAAAGGUUGUUAUUGGGAAAAAGCUUGAGAAUCUAAAUAAAACAGGAUGGGAAGAGCUUGAUGAAAAGGCUUUGUCUGCAAUCCAGUUGUGCCUCACGAAUACGGUAUUGCAGAAGGUAUUGAUGGAGAAGUCCUCAUCUGCCUUGUGGAAAAGGUUAGAAACUCUUUAUGAGACUAAGUCUCUAGCUAACCUUUAGUGUUGAAAUAACGUCUAUUUACGUUUCGCAUGAAUGAAUGUGAGCUUCUUAGAAAUCACAUCAGUCAAUUCAUUACUCUUUUAAAUGAUUUAAAGAACGUUGAGGUUUAUAUUGAUGAUGAAGAUCAAGCUAUGCUAUUAUUGUGCUCUUUACCUCUUUCAUACAAGUCUUUCAGGGAGAUCCUGAUUUAUAGCAAAGACAAACUCGACAAUGAGCUUCAUUUGGAUAGCAAGACAGAUAGACAAGCUUCCGUUUUGGUAGCAUCAAAUAAACGAGACAAAAGGUGUCGCUAUUGUAAAAAGUUAGGUCACGUCAAAGUAUAUUGUUAUAAACUGCGAAAUAAAAGAGAUGCCGAGAGUAACGAGGAAGAUGUAGCUGGUGCUAAUUUGGUCGAUGAAAAUGGUGAUGAUUUCUUGUUAGUGUCAACAAGCGAUAACUCUAAGCUCACGUCCGAGUGGAUCCUAGAUUCAGGAUGUUCUUUCCACAUGUGUCCCAAUAGAGAAUAGUUCUCCACAUACAAUUUGGAUGAAGGUAGAGUUAUGCACAUGGGAAAUAAUUCAUCUAGUAAGGUAAUUAGUAUUGGUACUGUUAAAAUUAAGAUGUACGAUGGGACGAUUAGGACACUCUCAGAUGUCAGGUAUGUACCUGAUUUACGAAAGAAUCUCAUCUCCUUGAGUAUUUUAGACUUGAAAGGAUGCAGAAUUAACAUCGAGUCAAGCGGCAUUAAAGUAUGUCGUAGAGCUCUCGUUUUUUUAAAAGGUAAAAGAACCGGUAGUCUUUAUAUUCUGGAAGGUUCUACAGUGACCGAUGAAAUCGGACGUCCCUCGAUAGAGCAGAGGCAACUUGGUCAUAGAAGGGAAAAAGGUAUGACCAUUUCGUUGAAGAGAGGUUCUCUUUUGGAUACAGGUUUUGAAAAAUUAAGGCAUUGUGUUCGUGAAAAUCAGACCCGAUUUAGUUUUGAUUUCACAGUGUACAAGUCGAAGGCUAGAAGUCUUCCAGUUUCUAAGCACAAAUUCGACUCAGUUAAUUCCCUGCAUAGUUCAAGAUAGGCUCGUGGCUGCUUUCGAAAAGAUGGCGUUGUGGAAAUAUGAGUCAAGGUGGAGAUUUGUUAAAUAUGACUCCUAUUUUCGGUCAAUUUUGAAAAAUAACCUUUCAGUUAAACUCUGUUUACUUGUUUCAUCAAACACUGAUUAGUUUAGAUUAUUUUAUUAUUAUUUGACCUAUGAAUUUAGCCUAUAAAUAGAUUAUUUUAAAACCUUAGAAAGAUAUACCCAUUAGAGAUUAGAACUGAUAACACAUUUAGAGAAUUUCGUGUUUACGUUUUGAGAGUUCUUUAUUUUCGGGUUUUUGGGGUUUAGUCUUUAUCUCCAUCUUUUGUACUCUUCGUUCUUUUGCCAUUAUAGUAAAGUUAUCUUUGUCCGUGGUUUUUUAUCCUCUUUGGAAGGGUUUUUUCACGUUAAAUUUGUGUGUUUAAUUUCUUAAUUUAUUCUGCUAUUUUUCUUGUUCGUUGCUUAAUCGAGUCGAUCCUAACAUAUUUUUUAUAAUAUUUUAUUUUUAAAUCGUUUUUAUAAUUUGUUAUCAAUUUUUUUUAAUAUUUUUAUUUUAUUUUGAAAUAUUUUUUAGAAUUAUAACUAAAUUAACAAAUUUUGUAAAUGUUGAGAGCUAAAUUUUUUGAAUUUUUUUGCAAAAUAGAAUUGAAAUAAUAAAUUUUUUAAACAUUGAGGUUUUUUAAUUUUUUUAGAUUUAAGAUCUAAUUGAUUGAAUGUGUAAAUAUUAAAUGGCUAUGUGUUAAUAAAAAGAUCCACAUUAGAAUUCUGUUAGAGGUGUUCAUGGGUCGAGUUUGGGUUGGGUUUAAGUAUGAUAUUAACAUACUUUAUGUUUGUCUAAGUCUGGCCCAACUUGAAAUCUGAGUCUAAAAUUUUGCCCAAACCCACUCAUAUUUGCUAAAGAUUAACUCAAACUCAUUUUAGGUCUGCUCAUAUUAUUUUAAAUUUUUUUAAAAAAAUAUUUAUAUUAUAUUAUUUUAAUAUUUAAUAAUUUUAUACAUUUUUAUUUAUUAAAAACUUGUAUAUAGUCAUCUUAACAUUGUUUUAAUGUUUACAUUAGAGUAGUAUUAUAUAUUUAAUAUAAAUUUAUUUUUUUAAUGUGUUCUAAAUUACAUAAUAUAUAAAAAUAACAUAAUAUAAAAUAUUAUAAACUUAAAACAGGUCGAGCUGGACUAGGCUCGAACUUUGAAUGUUCAAACCCCGAGCUCAGUCCAUAUUUUAAACAGGCCUAAUUUUUUUACCUAAAUUCAUUUUUUGGGCUUAAUAUUUUUAUCCAAAUUCUCUCAAAUUUCGGGCAAACCUUUAGGUAUAAACAAAUAGCCUGACAUAUGAAUAGGUCUAAAUUUUGUUAUUGAACUAACAACAAAAAAGCGGAAAUAUAAUUAAUUUUAAAAAAUUGAAUGAGGAAAUAAAUAAUAAUAAUUAUAUAAUAAAAAUAGAAGCAAGACUAUACUCAUAAUUUACCAUGCUGAAUAUAACCCUCCAGGGAAUAUAAUGUCAAAUAUUUGAUUCAAUUUAAAAAAGUGUAUACUUCGAAAAUAGUUAAAUUAAUAACGUGAAAACCUGUAGAAAGGCAAGAAAGAUGUAUUAAAUUGCAGAUGUAUGCGAGAGGCAACCUCCAUUGAACUAAAAUUCUUUGUAUUUAAUAAAUCCAAUUGAUCUUUCCAAGAUUCAAAAUUUGGUUAAAAGCAAACAAAAAUGUGAUGGACGGUUGCUAAACACAACAUGACGUGACAAUCAAACGGUCAAGAGUUUAUCAUCGACCCUACAUGACAUGACAACACCAUAAAUGAUGACCCUUGCAAUUACAAAUUAUGAUACUAAAUGAUGACUAACCUGCAAGUUAAAUGAAAAUGUGAAGGUAAAACUAUACACAAUCCUCUUAGAUGCAUCAAGUACACAGGAUGAUAAUAACACCAAAAAGAACACAUUGUACAAAAAUUUUAAAGCUCUCUCCCGACCACAAGUUGGGGAAACUCAGAAGAUACAGCUAGUGGGUACCCAGGCCCUUAUCAUGCAUUCCCCACCCCCAAUCAUGCACUUCUCCCCCGCUGUUUCCCCCUCAUAAUAUAUUUGGAGCUAAACAUUACUAUUUUCCUCUCUCUCUCUCUCUCUCUCUCUCUCUCUCUUGCGCGCAGUUUCAAUCAUGGUAUAGUAUACAUUCUAUAAAAUUAUUAUUAGCAUGCUUGAAUAUAAUUGAUCAUAUAAUGAAUAGUUUCUUUGCUGCCUGGAUUUUGCUUUGGAUGCUCAUAGGUUUUGGUUGGAAGCCAUGGUGAGAAAGAUGAUUCAAAUGAGGGAACCGUGGUUGAUUUCCGCGGGAAUCCGGUGGACAAGUCGAAAACCGGUGGAUGGCUCGCUGCAGGGCUCAUCUUAGGUGUUUCACGAUGAAUUUCAGAAGCUUAAAAGUGCGGUGUACCUUGGUCCCCAUCUUUCUUCUUUUGCUAAUAUGAAGGGAAAUUUUUGGUGCAGGAUCUGAGCUCUCCGAGAGGAUAUGUGUGAUGGGCAUAUCUAUGAAUUUGGUGACGUACUUAGUUGGAGAUUUGCAUAUCUCAGCAGCAAAAUCCGCAACUAUAGUUACCAACUUCAUGGGCGCUCUUAAUCUGCUUGGUCUCCUCGGAGGUUUCUUAGCCGAUGCCAAACUCGGUCGAUACUUGACUGUGGCACUCUCUGCAUCCAUAACUGCUCUGGUAAGGUUUCCCUUACCGAUAAUAAGAAAUAAAAAAGAUAUCUUUACGUCUACUUCUUUGCAAACAAAGACUUUAAUAUAACUUUUUUGGCUGCCAUCUCAUCUUAACUCAGGGAGUGAUUUUAUUGACACUGGCUACGACAAUUCCCAGCAUGAGGCCUCCUUACUGUGAUGACUACAGAAGGAAGCAUCACGAGUGCAUCGAGGCAAACGGCCGGCAACUGGCUUUGCUGUAUGCGGCACUGUACACAACAGCACUUGGUGGUGGGGGAAUAAAGUCUAAUGUCUCGGGUUUUGGGUCGGAUCAGUUCGACAUGGCAGACCCCAAGGAGGAGAAGGCUAUGAUUUUCUUCUUCAAUAGGUUCUAUUUCGGCAUCAGCCUGGGGUCAUUGUUUGCGGUGAUUGUGCUGGUGUAUAUACAAGACAAUGUAGGAAGAGGGUGGGGAUACGGGAUUUCAGCAGUAACAAUGGUGAUUGCGGUAGUGGUUUUGAUUUGUGGGACUCCAUGGUACAGGUUCAAAAAGCCUCAGGGGAGCCCUUUAACUGUCGUAUGGAGGGUUCUAUUAUUGGCAUUGAAGAAGAAAAAUCAGCCUUAUCCUUCCCACCCUAGCCUCUUGAACGAUUACGAUAACCGAAAGGUUCCCUACACGCCAAGAUUCAAGUAAGUCUGAUCCCAUUUGGUUUUCAUGCCACAUCUUUCUUUUCACAACUGUUGCAAAUUGCAGAGUUUUGGUUUGAUUUUCACUUGCAUCAGAUUCAAAACCCAAGCUUAAAUUUCAUUUUUUUUUCGCAAAACUUUGCUCUGAUUCAAGAACAUUAAACCAUUUUAAUUUUAAAUUGAGCUAGUGUUAAGUUAUUUUUAUACAAAUUGAAGGAUUUUGCUUCAUUGUCAGUUCAUAUGUUGCUCCAACCCCCAUAUGAUUAGAUAUGGGUUUGAGGAUCAAACCUUCCAAGUAGAUUAUUAAAAAAUAAAAAUAAACGCAUCUAUAUAAACAGAUAAUCUAACAUCGUAGCCCAAUAUGCGUAACAUAGUUCAUACACAACAGAUAUUAAAAAGAAAAAUAAAUGGUAAAAGGUAGGGCCCCGCAAAAAAAAAAAAGGCAGGGAAAGGAAAUCUUCCAACUUGAUCAUGAAAUGCAACUAAAAUCAGAUAUCUGACCCUUUCCCAUCAGUGUCUAUCCAUUCAUUUUACCUUAAAACAACUCCCUGCUCCUAACAGCUUCUUUUGGUUCAUGCUGAAGAUAUUCUACCUAAUUUUUAGAUUUAUGCAUUAGUAGAAAGAGGAGAAUCUGUUCCAAGUUUCCCUGACCAUGUUUGCAUCAAGAGCCAAAAGAAUUAAUUGACUAAUUACAUAUUUGCCAGAAAAGUAACCAAAUUUGAUUUCAACGUGCUUGUGAUGACUAGGUUUCUGGACAAGGCUGCAAUCCUAGACGACAACUGUGCUGCCAACGCAGAAAAAAAUAACCCAUGGCUAGUAUCAACUGUGACCCAUGUGGAAGAAGUAAAAAUGGUGAUUAAAUUACUCCCCAUUUGGUCUACGUGUAUACUCUUCUGGACAAACUACUCCCAGAUGACCACGUUUACAGUUGAGCAAGCCACCAUCAUGCACCGCAAAAUUGGUUCUUUCGUAAUCCCCGCAGGAUCUUUCUCCGCUUUUCUCAUCAUCAGCAUUCUCCUCUUCACUUCCCUAAAUGAAAAACUUUUCGUUCCCUUGGCUCGAAAAAUCACCCAUAAUCCUCAGGGAAUCACUAGCCUCCAGAGGAUUGGGAUUGGACUAGUUUUUUCGGUAGCUGCUAUGGUAGGGGCUGCUAUUAUUGAGAAAGAAAGGAGGGAAAUUGCUGUAGAGAAAGAAGUCAAAAUAAGUGCUUUUUGGCUACUUGUUCAGUUCUUCCUUGUUGGUGCUGGGGAGGCUUUUGCUUAUGUUGGACAACUUGAGUUCUUUAUUAGAGAGGCACCAGACCGGAUGAAAUCCAUGAGCACAGGGCUUUUCCUGAGCACCAUUUCAAUGGGGUUCUUUGUGAGCAGUUUGCUGGUGUCUAUCGUCGACCAUGUAACCAACAGGAACUGGCUUAGGAAUAAUUUGAAUAAAGGAAAGUUAAAUAACUUCUAUUGGUUACUUGCAGUCUUAGGAUUCUUGAAUUUCUUGGUUUUUCUGAUCUUUGCAUCAAGACAUCAGUACAAGAUGCAGCUGCCUAUAGAGCCCGAGUCUGGAGAGAAGGAACUUAAGGGCUUGAAUGGCGAAACCAUACAAGACAUGGAGAAGAAAGCAAGUCUUCAGGCAGUGGGAGAAGUAGAACCAUAGCCUAUGUGUACCUUUAAAGGUUGUAUGAGUCGUUGGACUGAUAUAGUAUACUCGUUAUUUUGGCUUGUUAAAAGGAAGAGGCUCAUAUCUAUCUGUCAUGGGUAAUUUGUAAGGUGAUUAUUCCAUUGUUCUUUCUUAUACUUCUUAUCAAGCUGUGCAACAUUAUAGGGGACACUUUUACUUAUCUUGCUCAAUAAAGUCGUGUUUAAUUAGAUCUGAUCUUCAUUUGUGCUCCCACAAAUCUAGAGUUGGAUGACACAUCAUGCAUCCACUGUUUGUGACUUCAACGAUCAAUCAGACAUAUUGCAUUUAACUGCCUAGUAGCCAUAGUGAAGCAACUUAUGAAUGUAUAUGUAGAAGGAUUCCCCGUUCAGAACCAGUUGAUGAGUUUAAGAAUGUCGGGUUUGAGGAAAUUUCAACCGAAGAGUGAGUCUUUAAUGCCAAUACAUCGAGGAAACAUAGCACAGAACAAGUGUUGGACGAAACACAAUAAGGAAGUUGAAAGCUGACCCCUAAAGAAUCCCAUAAAUUGUUAAAAAGGGUCAUCAAGUAGGUCUAGGUGGUUAUGACCUAUAGGGAAACAUAUAACCACGUAAUAUGAUCCUCCAUAUCCGACCAAACACAUCCACUUUGUAUUAAUUUAAUAACCCUUUUCUUAGUACAUUUGAACCCUUGUUGGAUCGAGUUUCAAAGUCCUCUCCUAUCCAUAAAUAGGGGUGUAAAUGAAUCAGGCUCAAACGAACAAGACUUGUUCGUGUUCAUUUGUUUAUUUUUGAAGUUAUUCGUGUUCGGUUCGUGUUCGUUUAAAUUUUUAAUCAAACUCGAUUCGUAUAUUAUUUGUUGUGUUCGGGCUCAAUUCAUUUAGCGAUCGCGAACAUAUUCAUUUAACGAUCGCAAACAUGUUUGCUUAUAUGUUCGCAAACAUGUUCGUUUAUAUAUAUAUUUCCUAUUGAUAAUAUUUUACAACCAGAUCCUAGUAACUUCUACAAAAAGCUAUGGAACUCACAUAUACCUCCGAAAAUAAAAACUACAAUUUGGAGGCUAUCAUGGAAUUAUAUGCCUACUUUAGCUAAUCUAAGGUACAAAAGAAUAGCAGUGAAUACUCAAUGUCCGAGGUGUUGUACUUCUGUGGACGACUCUAUCCAUACAUUUCGGGACUGCCUUCUUACAAUGAAGACAUGGGUCAGUUUGAAUCUCUCAUGGAUAUUAAAUAAUUUGGAUAGUAACUCUUGGGACUGGAUUACCUAGGUUUUUUGAAUUGCCACCAGUGAGCAAUGUAGGCUUUUUUGUUGUGAUCUAUAGGCACUCUGGAUGAGUAGAAAUCGCCUCGUGCAUGAAAGGAAAAAUAUGUCGAGAAAGGAGAUAUCAAACUGGACCAUUAUUUACUGAAGAGAACUAGAUGGUUUAGAAAAGAAAACUCUUACUCGUAGGAUUGUUCAUGAGAUGUGGGAACCCCCUUGCGAUCCAUUCAUUAAGAUCAACUUCGAUGGGCCUUUUAAACCCUAUCAGGAAAGAUCCGGUUUCGAGGUGGUGGCAAGGAACUCAUUAGGGGAAAUCUUGGCUUCUAUGACCAUAUGCCACAAAGCAAUUUCUUCUUCGUUUGUUACGGAGGCUCAGGUGUGCGUCUAGACGUUGCAAUUAGGCCUGGUUGGGACUAGAAUGUGCGACGAUCGAGGACGACUCCUUGACUACAAUCAAGAAAGCUAAAUUGGUUAGUAAAGAUAAAUCGAAGAUCGGGGCUAUUGUCAUAAAUAUUCAAUAGUACAAAGAACGCUUUCAACAGAUUAACUUUCGGCACAUUUCAAGAUCGGGCAACUCCCUUGCUCAUUAUUUGGCUAAAGCAAGUCUGAAAAAAGGGAAAAAUAUUUACCUAGUAGGUGGCGUUCCGAACUACGUUCAACAGGCGGAGGAGCGGAGAAGACAAUGGACCUCGGAAUGAUUUGGAAAGGGGAGAGUUUUCUGGAAAGCAAAGGAUAGCAGACAAACGUUUUGGGCGAUUUCUUUUUGGAAACUGCUCUCUUCCCUUGUUAUCUGGCCAGAGCAUUAAAUGCGCUUUAAUGAUGUUUGAUGGAGGCCAGUUGCCAGUUGACUAGAUAGAUUGAGUCGUUUCAAUUUUUUUUUGUUUAGCUUUUUGAACUACCUUUUUAUUUUUUAGUUUUUAUAUUCUAUCCAAUCCAGCAUUGCAGUCAAACAAAAAUAGAUGGAGAAUUGUUUUAAUAUUUUAUAAGAAAAUAUCAUUAAUAAAUACAUAAGUUAUAAACGAGUUAAUAAACGAGUUUUGAAACGAGUUUGUUUGAGAACAUAAAUGAACAGAACACACCUCUAUUCGUGUUCGUUCGUUUAUUAAAUGAACAUAAAAAUUUUGUUCAUAUUAGUUUAUUUAGCUUAAUAAACGAAUAUAAACGAACGUUAUACAAACUGUUCACAAACAAUUCAUCGAUCGUUCUGUUCAUUUACACCCCUAUCCAUAAAUCCCAAUUCUUUUCACCUUGGGAUUCGAACUUAAACUUUUGCUUGUUCAAGUUGUAUAGUCAAUUGCAUUUCACUUUACAACCAAUUGUGGUGCAACUUAGUAUGUGUUGGCAUAUUUAAACACAAAUUGCAUGAAAUUUUUGUAUAUUUUGUUGUGGAUUUUAAGAAGUAAUUAUAUGCAUUUGAUCUUGUUGAAUAUUAGUCAAGUAAGGAUUUUGUUUGACAAGUUUAUUUGUAAUCGAGUUACUAUAUAUGAUGAUAUUUAGUUCUUAUAAAAGUUUGAUCUAUGAAUCUAUCUACUUAAGUGAUGCCAUAUAGAAGUCCAAUUAAAGCAUAAUUUCUUGGGCAUACAUCAUUCACACUAGUUUGAAGAUUUACAUGCCUAUAAUGCCUAUUUAAAGAAUUUUUGUUUACUUGAUUAUGUACGAAUUGAAGAAGGUACAAAUUUAAUUCGUCUUAGGAACUUGUUUCAAUGGGAUAAUUUUAGCAGGGAAAGUGAUCUUAGUUUAUGUAUAGAAGUGAUGUUGCAACUUAGUGAAUGAGUUGAACUUCAGUCAUAUCUUAUACUAUUGAUACAUAGUAGAUUACUCUUGUAACGCCCAAAUUUCUGUAAUUUCGGCUUUUGUGGUUGUUGAGCAUGGAAAUAUCAAAACUUUUGUUUUGAUUCUUUUUGGUAUAUAUAUAUGUGGUUUAAGAGGUUAUGUACUUUGGGGUGUGUUUGGGAGGUUCCAAGUUCGAGCUUUAACUUGGGCUAAAAUUUUGGUUUUUUUAAGAAUUAAGCCUGGGUUUUGGUUAACGGGAUUAUAAGAAUUUAUUUGUAAGAAUAUGACAGAAUGGGCCUACUGGUCUGGUGGCUAAGUGGUAUAUUAGUAUGAUAGGGGUCUGGGGUUCGAUUCUCUGCGUGGGAAAAAAGAGGAGUAUUUUACUUCAAAUUUCGGCUAAGAGUUUGAAUUUUAGUAAAAUGCACUCUGAGUAGAGGAGUAGCAGUAGAUUGCAGGGUUAUCUAGUUAGUUUGCGAUUCUUCCCAAAAUCCUCUCUUGCCAAAAUUCUCUGUAAUUCUCCUCCCUACAUUUCUUUUUGUUUUCUUUUUGUCGAAAAUCCCCCUUUUGUGCUGCCGAAAUUUUGCUUCUUUUAACCUUAUCCUCCGUUUACUCUCCUCUGAUUAGUUUUGGCAUGAAUUCGGUGAGUAUGAUUUUGUUAAUUGCGUGGUUCGUUGGGAGAUUGUUUAAGAGGGAUUUUUGUUUGCUGUAUAGGGGAUUAUCAAGGUUCUGUGGAUCUCUAAUCGGGGUUCUAAGAAGCAAAGAAUCAACGUUAUUCGUUGAAGGUAAGUGGAACUCGCAUUUUAGGAUUUACCUAUUCUUAAUAAAUCAUUGAAGUGAUCGAUUUUGGUCUCGAGUUUGUUAAUAAUAGGUUCUGGAGUGCUCAGGAUUGCGUUAGCUUCAAAACGAUACCAGGUGUGUACUCCAAUCGAUCUGAAAUCGCGUUUUGGAAAAAGUCGAAAACGCUACUGUUAAUGCUACACGAGCGUGUGGACCGCCCGUGUGGAGGCCGUGUGGUGAUACACGACCGUGUGUUCAACGAGCCAGACCAUGCGCGUGCAAUACAGGUGCGACGGACACGGGCGUAUGAUGGCUUGUAAGCCGUGUGCGAGGUACGGACUUAGCCACACGGGCCGUUAGCAUGAUUAUUUGAUCUAUUCUGUUCUAUAAAUAAAGGUAUGAUCUGUUUUUCUACAUUAUAGCAUGCCAUGCUUGUAUGAUGCAUUGCAUCGGGGUGGGUUUGACGAAGUAAAGGGAGUACAUGAAGGGCUUUAUAAGCUCGUUAUCUGUCAGCUAAGCUGCAUACUUAUGAUAUGUGUUGCGGUGCGGUACUUUAUGGUAUGUAGGGUUGGAUGGGUCGAUUAUAUCCCCAUAUACGAUGUGUAGGGAUGGGUGGGUCAAUUUUAUCCCCACAUGGUGUGUUGGGUUGGACAGAAAUGGUGUGCAGGGUUAGUGGGCAUGAUAUUUCUGAUAUCUGAUCUGCUAUGCAUGCUAUAUCUGUAUGACUGAGGCCGAAUAACUGUAUUCCGUUAUCUGUUUGUAUGCAUGUUAUUUGUUGGGAUGUACACACUAAGUUGCGAAAACUCACCUCUUUAUUUAUUUAUCUGUUCAAGAAAUCCCCAGCAUUAGAUGGACCACUGUGACAGAGAGCUCGAUAGUGACCACUGGUAGACAUUUACGGAUUUUUUAGUAACACUUUAUUUUGUCUGCUUUAUUUAAAUAUUUAUUUUGGGUUUAUUUUGGGAAUUUUAAAUUGUUAAAGUAUUGAUUUAUGAAUUAAUGAUGUUGUAGCUUCCACGUUAAUGAAAUGUUUUCACUUAAUAUUUGGAAUAGAGAUUUCACGACUUAAGUAAAAAUAACAAAUUGGACGAUUUUUAACUUGCUAAGGUUUAUCUAAAAAGAACUCACAUGUGACACCGCUAGAUUCGGGCAUAGCGUCUAGGCCGGGUUUAAGGUUGUUACAUUUAGUGGUAUCAGAGUCAGGUUCAAAAUUGGCUGUGAAUUUUGGGUUUCAAAAUUUGGUUUGAAGAAAAUAAUUUGUGAAAUGAUUUGAAAUAUUUUGUAAGUGGUACACCGAGCCUCCAGCACUAAUCCUGUAAGUUCUUUAAAACUCUGAUAUGUAUUGUUUGAGAGCAUGCUUAUACUGAAAUUUUGUCUGUAUCUGUCUGAAAUACUGUUUAUGUGUUAUGAAACACUUUAGGUAGUGUAAACUAAAAACCGUAGUUAGCUUACUACUCGUGAUAACUGACUCUGAAACUCUAUUACUAUAUUUCAUAAAAUAUUUGUUAACAAAUAUCGAAACUAUAAACUGAUUGCAUAAAAUUUCUAAAACAGAUUAAUCUGAAAUUACAAUAAGCAUACAUGGUACUCGUGGACGAGGUACUAGAGGCCGAGGUAGAGAUCGUAGAGGGAUUCAAGUUGAGUCUUUCGCAUCUAAUACGAUCCCUAAACUGGACACUGGCGAGACACCGGUGUCACCUGUUACUGAGACUAGUGCUGAGUUUCAAGAUCGUACAGCUGGGGACAACGUAUUGUCUCAGGCCAUGCUAUGAAUCCUGGAGAAGGUCGCUGGGGCUAAUGCUGGAUCUGGAGGCCGUGGGUCGGUUACGGAACGACUUCGGUCCAAUGGGGCUGAGGUAUUUAGGGGCAUCACUGGAGUUGCUUCUAAUGUGGUUGAGUACUAGAUAGAGGCCACAGAAGCGUAUUAUGGAUGAUCUGGAUUUUACUACCGAGCAGAAGCUCAAGGGGGUUGUCUUGUUGCUUCGCGAUGAAGCAUAUCAAUGAUGGCUGACAGCUAGGGAUGACACUCAGUCUGACAGUCUGUCAUGGGAUUUGUUUAAGAUGGCUUUCCAGAGCAAAUAUGUGGGGUUCAGUUAUAUCGACGCUAGGCGACGUGAGUUCCUAAAUCUUACUCAGGGAGAUCGUCCGGUGGCCGAGUAUGAGGCCGAAUUUCUGAGGCUGAGCCGUUAUGCACGACGCAUGGUGGCGACUGAGUAUGAGCGUUGUAUCCAUUUUGAAGACGGUCUAAGGGAUAACUUGAGGGUCCUGAUAGCUCCGCAGAGGGAGCGUAAGUUUGUUGUGUUGGUCGAGAAGGCCAAGAUUGCGGAGGAGGUUAAGCGCGCUGAACACCAGAACUGUGAUAGAGGGAAGGCUAAGAGGGAUGUAGAAUCUUCGAAUGUUGGGGUGAGGUCUAGGAAAAAGGCCAGAUCUAAUGGACCCGUAAAAGUUGGGCCUACUGUUACACCUGUCGGAGUGGCGAUUUGUCAGCUUUGUAAUAGACGCCAUCCAGGCGAGUGUUGGAGGUCUACUGGAGCUUGUCUUAGAUGUGGAUCAUUUGAGCAUUGUGUUAAGGACUAUCCAUUGAGGACUAAUCAGAUGCAAGCUCUGGCUACUGAGACUGCAUAGCCGCUGAGGGGAGUUAAGCAGCCACCUAGGGGUCAAGGUCAGGCUAGGGGUGAUAAAAGUAUGGGCCGAGGAUAGGGAGCACCGGGCAGAAGUGCUGGGCCGACUAAGGGGAGGCAACCUGCACUUGUCUAUACUGUACGUUAUCGUGAGGAUGGAGUUCCAAACGUCAUCACGGGUACGUUCUUAAUCCUUAACAUACAUUAUGUUGCACUGAUAGACAUAGGCUCUACACAUUCCUACGUAGCAUAUUCUGUGUCUGAGACUUUAGAAUAUCGUAUGAGAGCAUUUCUAAUGAUAUUUUAGUGGUGAGCUCGUUGGGUCAGUCUAUUAGGGUUAGUAAACUAUUCAGAGACGUUCCGUUGGAAGUCCAAGAAACGAUAUUUCUGGCUAAUCUGAUGGAACUUCCGUUUGGGGAGUUUGACUUAAUUCUGGGAAUGGACUGGCCAGUGAAGCAUCGUGUAAGUCUGGAUUAUGCUGAAAAGAUGGUGGUUUUGAGGACCGAGGAGGAUAAUGAGAUAAUCGUGGUUGUAGAAUGACAGAAUUAUCUAAGUAAUGUGAUAUUUGCAUUAGUGGCAGAGAAACUGGUGAAGAAAGGAUGUGAGGUGUUUUUGGCCUGCAUCAGUGUCUCAGAUUCUAUAGACUUAUCGGUUAAGGGCAUCCGUGCUGUGAAGGACUUCCAGAUGUUUUUUUAGAAGAAUUACCAAGACUGAGCCGUCAGGUAGAAUUUGGGAUUGAGUUGAUUCCUGGUACAGCUCCGAUGUCUAUCGCCCCUUACCGAAUGGCACCGAAGGAGCUGGUGAAACUGAAGGCUCAAAUUCAGGAGCUAUUGGAUCGUUGGUUUAUUCGUCCCAGUGUUUCUCUGUGGGGAGCACCUGUUCUGUUAGUUAAAAAGAAGGACGGUACAAUGAGGAUGUGUAUCGACUACUGUCAAUUGAACAAGUUGAUGAUUAAGAAUAAGUACCCACUUCCGAGGAUUGAUGACCUAUUCAGUUAGUUCAGAGGGGCUUCAGUGUUUUCCAAAAUCAAUCUGUAGUCAGGUUAUCAUCAAUUGAGGGUAAAGGAGGCUGAUGUGCAUAAGAUGACAUUUAGGACUCGUUAUAGGCAUUACGAGUUUCUAGCCAUGCCUUUUGGGUUGUCUAAUGCACCAGCGGCAUUUAUGGACUUGAUGAACCAUGUGUUUCAGCCCUACUUGGAUCAGUUUGUGGUGGUGUUCAUCAAUGACAUUUUGGUGUAUUCUAAGUCUGAGGACGAGCACGAUGAGUAUUUAAGAAUGGUUCUACAGAUCCUUCGUGAGAAACAGUUAUAUGUAAAGUUCACGAAGUGUGAGUUCUAGCUCAGGGAGGUAACCUUUUUAGGGUAUAUGGUUUCUACUGAGGGGAUUCAAUAGAUCCUCGUAAGAUUGAGGCUAUGAUGGAUUGGAAAUAGCCGAAGAAUGUGGCAGAGAUCCAUAAUUUUCUAGGACUGGCAGGAUAUUAUCGAUAUUUCGUAGAAGGGUUCUCGUUGACCGCAGCGCCGUUGACUAAGUUGUUACGCAAAUGAGUUCCUUUUGUUUAGACUGACGCGCAGCAGGAGAGCUUCGUGAAGCUCAGAACAGUUUUGACUCAGGCUCCAGUUCUGAUACAGCCUGAGCCUAGUAAGGACUUCUUAGUUUAUAGUAAUGCGUCACAUGUGGGUUUGGGUUGCGUCUUGAUGCAAGAUGGUAAGGUAGUUGCCUAUGCAUCUCAACAGCUUAAGACUCACGAGGCUAAUUAUCCGAUGCAUGAUUUGGAGUUGGCAGCAGUUUCCUUUGCAUUGAAGAUUUAAAGGCACUAUCUGUACAGUGAGAAGUGUACCAUCUACACUGAUCACAAGAGCCUCAAGUAUCUCCUCACUCAGAAGGAGUUAAAUCUUAGGCAGCGUCGGUGGUUUAAGCUGCUCAAAGACUACGACUGCAGUAUUGAGUAUCACCCUGGUAAGGCCAAUGUGGUGGCUGAUGUGUUAAGCCGUAGGGCUAUGACCGAUCUGAGAGCGAUGUUCACUCGAUUGAGCCUUUUUGACGAUUGGAGUCUCCUGGCUGAGUUGCAGGUUAAACUGACAUGGCUAGUUCAAAUUAAAGAUAAGCAGUUAGGAGAUGAGUCUCUUCAGUUGCGAUUUCAUCAAGUUCAGACUAGGACUACUAUUGAUUUUGGGAUUAACAGUGAUGGAGUACUGUGUUUCCAAGGUAGGAUCUGUGUACCUAAUGAUGAGGAUUUGCAACUGUCGAUUUUGAGGGAAGCGCAUAGCAGUCCGUACGCUAUACAUCUUGGUGGGAAUAAGAUGUAUAAAGAUCUCCGAGAGUUGUACUGGUGGCCAGGGUUGAAGCGUGAGGUGACCAAUUUCGUUACUCGCUGUCUGACUUGUCAGCAGGUUAAGGCUGAGCAUUAGUUACUUUCGGGAUUGCUGCAACCGGUUAAGAUACCGAUGUAGAAAUAGAAGCGUGUAAUGAUGGACUUCGUUAGUGGGUUGCCUCUAACACCCACUAAGAAGGAUUCUGUUUAGGUCAUCGUGGAUCAAUUGAUCAAGACCGCAUAUUUCAUUCCUUUUAGGACAAACUUCUCUCCACAGAAAUUGGCCAUGCUGUACAUUUCUGAGAUAGUGAGGCUGCAUGGGGUACCUGUGUCGAUCAUUUCCGAUAGGGAUCCCCGUUUUACGUCUCGGUUUUGGUAGAAACUUCAUGAGGCUUUGGGUUUUCGUCUUGAUUUCAGUACUGCAUUUCAUCCUCAGAAAGAUGGUCAGUCGGAGAGGGUGAUUCAGAUACUAGAGAACAUGUUAAGGGGCUGUACUAUCGAUCUUCGAGGCAGUUGGGAGGAGUACUUGCCUCUAGCGGAGUUCGCUUACAACAAUAGUUAUCAGUCUAGUAUACAGAUGACACCUUAUGAGACACUUUAUGGUCAUAAGUGUCGCACUCAUUUGUGCUGGACUGAGUUGGGUGAGCAACGUGUUCUAGGUCCGGAUUUAGUAUCAGAAACUAAGGAUAAAGUCCGUUUGAUUCGAGAAUGUAUGAAAUCGGUUUCUGAUAGACAAAAGUCCUAUGCUGAUCUGAAGAGAAAGGACAUCGAGUAUUCUGUGGGGGACAUGGUUUUCCUUAGGGUCUCGCCAUGGAAAAAGGUUCUAAGAUUCGGUCGCAAGGGUAAGCUGAGCCCUCAGUUUAUUGAGCCGUACCAGAUUCUGAAGCAAGUGAGGCUAGUCGCAUAUCAGUUAAAGCUACCUCUAGAGUUAGAUUGUAUACAUGACGUGUUCCAUGUCUCGAUGUUGAGACGCUACCACUCUGAUCCUACGUACAUUAUGCCCAUGGAGGAGAUUGAGAUUAGACCGGAUCUGAAGUUUCUAGAUCGCGACGUUAGGGUCUUACGUAGGAAGUCUAUUCCCUUGGUGAAGGUGCUGUGGCGGAAUUAUAGAAUUGAGGAGGCUACUUGGGAGCCAGAGAUUCGAUGCGACAUCAGUAUUCUCACCUUUUCUGAUCAGGUAAAAUUCGAGGACAAAUUUUCUUUUAGGGGGUAGAGUUGUAACGCCCCAAAUUUCUGUAAUUUCGGCUUUUGUGGCUGUUGAGCAUGGAGAUAUCGAAACUUUUGUUUUGAUUCUUUUUGGUAUAUAUAUAUGUGGUUUAAGAGGUUAUGUGCUUUGGAUGUGUUCGGGAGGUCCCAAGUUUGAGCCUUAACUUCAGCUAAAAUUUUGGUUUUUAUAAGAAUUAAGCCUGGGUUUUGGUUAACGGGUUUAUAAGAAUUUAUUUGUAAGAAUAUGACAGAAUGGGCCUACUAGUCUGGUGGCUAAGUGGUGUAUUGGUAUGAUGGGGGUUUGGGGUUCGAUUCUCUGCGUGGGAAAAAUGAGAAGUAUUUUGCUGCAAAUUUCGGCUAAGAGUUUGAAUUUUAGUAAACUGCUGAGUAGAGGAGUAGUAGGAGAUUGUAGGGUUAUCUACUUAGUUUGUGAUUCUUCCCAAAAUCCUCUCCUACCGAAAUUCUUUGCAAUUCUCCUCUCCACCUUUCUUUUUGUUUCCUUUUUGCCAAAAAUCCCCCUUUUGUGCUGUUAAAAUUUUGCUUCUUUUAACCUUCUCCUCCAUUUCCUCUCCUCCGAUUAGUUUUGGCGCGAAUUCGGUGAGUAUAAUUUUGUUAAUUGCGUGGUUCAUUGGGAGAUUAUUUAAGAGGGAUUUUUGUUUGCUGUAUAGGGGAUUAUCAAGGUUCUGUGAAUCUUUAAUUGGGGUUCUAAGAAGCAAAGAAUCGUCAUUAUUCGUUGAAGGCAAGUGGAACUCGCGUUUUGGGACUUGUCUAUUCUUAGUAAAUCAUUCAAGUGAUCAAUUUUGGUCUCGGGUUUGUUAAUAAUAGGUUCUGGAGUGCUCGGGAUUGAGUUAGCUUCGAAACGAUACCAAGUGUGUACUCCAAUCGAUCUGAAAUUGUGUUUCUGCGAAAGUCAAAAACGCUACUGUCAACGUCACACGGGCGUGUGAACUGCCCGUGUGGAGGCCGUGUGGCUACACACGGUCGUGUGUUCGACGAUCCAGACCGUGCGCGUGCCACACGGGUGCGACAGACACAGUCGUGUGAUAGCUUGUAGGCCGUGUGCGAGGCACGGGCUCAGGCAAACGGGUCGUGUGGGCCACACGGGUGAACCAGACGGGCGUGUAAGAAUCUAGGCCAAGCCGUGUGAUCCACACAGGCAAGGCCAAUUUGGGCCGUGUGAACCACACGGGCGUGUGGGCCCAUACGAGCAAGGCACACAAGCGUGUGAGACUCUUUAAUCUGAAAUGUUCUGUAAGGUUGCACGGGUCGCCCAAGUCGACUGUGACCUGUAGUAGGGUCGGUAAGCCUUAUUUAGACUCUUAAUUCUGUGAUGUAUGGGUAUGAAUGAUAUACUUAGCAUGAUUAUUUGAUCUGUUCUGUUCUGUAAAUAAAGGUAUGAUCUGUAACACCCCGAAUUUGGGCCUAGAAGUAUUGGGCCUUGAGUGGGGGUCCGUAAGGAGGUUGUAUAUAGGUAUUUAAUUGUGCAAUGAAAUGAAACAAUUAAAUGUUUGCUUUAGUGGUUAAUGGCUUUGAGAAGUGUUGGAGAAAUCUUGGGUUCAAACUUGGGCUUUAGUAAAAAUUUUGGUAUUAAGUGAAAAAAACCUGGAUGCUAAGAUGAGGGCCUUUUAAAUUAUUGUUUUAAAUAAAUGACAUAAGGGAACAUGUGGUCUAGUGGAAGUGGCGUAAUUAAGGUUGUAUGGGAGCCUGGGUUCAAGCCUUGGCUCUUGCAAUUUAUUCUGUUUUUUUUAAGGGAACCUAGACUUUGGCCUUUAGACCUUAUAAUUAAUUGGGGAUAAAAUAUGACACAAAAAGAGCCUGUGGUGAAGUGGUAAGGUGGCGUUAUAAAGUUGGCAAGGAGGUCUAGGGUUCGAAACUCAUGGCAAGCAAGGAGCAUUUAUUUUGCUAACAGGGGGCGGCAAGAGUUGGUGUUGAAUUUAAACUCUGAUGUUGGAAGGAUCCCACAUCGGGAAGCUAACAUAAGAGUGGAUGCGAAGCUGGCUUUAAAUAGAGAGAACCAUAAGGAGAGUAAAGGUACCUUUCUUGGUUGAUCCCUUUCACUGUAUGGCGUGCUCGUUUGGGUUGGGCGUCGGCUAAGAGUGCUCGGAGCGUGGAUUAACUCCAGUCUCCAAUCUGGUGUGUAUUUUCUCACUAGGAUGGCUACUUCGGGCCGCGAUGGGCCGAAAGGGGUCAUGUGAGCUCAAUGGGCCUACGGGCCCAAUUGGAUAAGUUUGUUUGAUUGUGUAGUAAAUAUUGGACUAGGCUAUGUGAAUCUCAUAUUUGUGGCUAGAUUUGGGCUAAAAGGGCCACACGAGCGUGUGGGCCCAUUUGGGCCGAGAAUAGACUUUAGGCCCAUUCGUAUUGUUAUCCCUGUUUAGAAUAUUUUAGUUUACCAAAUUACUGAAAUGCCCUCAAAUUGUAAAAUUACCAAAGUACCCUCGAUUUACAGAAUUACUAUUUUACCCUCGAUUGACAGAAUUACCAUUUUAUCCUCGAUUUAUAGAAUUACCAUUUUACCCUCGAUUUAUAGAAUUACUGUUUUACCCUUAAUUUAUAGAAUUACCGUUUUACCCUCGAUUUACAGAAUUACUGUUUUACCCCUCGAUUUAUAGAAUUACCAUUUUACCCUCGAUUUAUAGAAUUACCAUUUUACCCUCGAUUUAUAGAAUUACCAUUUUACCCUCAAUUUACAAAAUUACCGUUUUACCCUCGAUUUACAGAAUUACUGUUUUACCCUCAAUUUACAAAAUUACUAAAAUACCAUUGGUUUACAAAAUUACCAAAAUACCCUUAGUUUGUAAAAUUACCAAAAUACCACUGGUUUUUGAAAUUACCAAAAUACCCUCAAUUUGUAAAAUUACCAAAAUACCCCUGAUUUACAAAAUUACAGAAAUACCCUAACUUUCUAAAAAUUAUAGAAAUACCAUUGGUUUACAAAAUUACUAAAAUACCCUUGGCUUGUAGAUUUACCAAAACACUCUUGUAGGAUGAAAUGACUAAAAUACCCCUAAUAGGUAAAGAGACCGUAAAGCCCCUGUAAGGUAAAGUGACCGUAAUACCCUUGUAUGGUAAAAUGAUGAAUACGCCCUUACGUUCCAUAUGACUGAUGUGCUUAGGAUUUACAUAUAUUGAUAUUGGAAUAGUUAAGUUUGAGUGACAGGUGGUGGUUAUCGUAGGUGAUUGAUUAUGGAAACGUUUCAACUUCAACCCAUAAUAGGUGUGUACUAACCCUCGUAAUAGCUUAUAUUAAUAUUUACUGAGAAGCCGAAAUGCUAAAAUAUCGGUAUUUCGGGAACUUGUAAUGUUGCGUUUGGGUAUAGAUGCGAUAAAUACGAUAAGAUCGGUGUUUGGAUCGAUGGAACAAGUAAGAACUCAAUUUUGUGCACAAUGGUAAGUUGGGCCUCAAUGGGCUGGAAUUGGGCCCAAUGGGCUUUCGGGCCUAUUUGGGUAAAACUGAUAGAAAAUGGAAUCUAGAAAAGUUGCAUGUUAACACGAUUAGUACUGUUGUAAAAUUUGGAUUAAGCAGGCUUAGUGGGCUAAAUCAGCAUUCGUAGGGCCCAUUAAGGGUUUUGGGCCCAAAAGCCCGAAUUUGAUAAAGUGGGUUAAAGAUCAUUGUUUAAACACUCGGAAAUAUUGACAAUUGUAAUGAACAUGGAAAACCAUGAUAUUUGGUAAAAUUACGAAAAUACCCUUAUAAUAUGAAAAAUGACUAUUUUGCCCUUGUGGGCAAGUGGCUGACUUGGACUGUGUGGUUGACGGAUUUGAUUGUGAAUAUAUGUUGGUGAUAUGAGUUACUUAACUGUGACUGUUUGAUUCAAAUAUGGGCAUGACAUUCUGCAUACAUGACAUAUUGCAUGGGAUAUGGGUUAUAUUGAUGGAGGAAGUGCUAAAAGGGCUUUGCCCCAGUUUACCGAAAAGGGCUCUGCCCCAGUUUAUCAGAAAGGGUUUUGCCCCAGUUAUUAAAAGAGGCUAGCCUCCAGUGAUAUGAUAAAGCAGCUAUGCUGCCAGUGGAGAGUUUGGUUGGGUGGGUUGAGUUGUUCCCCACAUAGAGAGCUUGGUUGGUACGGGUGGAGAGUAGCGGAUGGUGGGUCGAGUACUCCCCAGAUGGGCUUGCAUACAUUCAUUGGUAUUUCAUGUGAUAUUGAAAUGGGCUUGCAUACAUCCAUUGACAUUACAUACGAUAUUGAAAUGGGCCUAAGUGCCAUACCGUUUACAGUAAAGGCUUCGGCCCAGUGAUAUGAUUUAUGAAAAGGCUUCGGCCCAGUGAUAUGAUUUAUGAAAAGGCUUCGGCCCAGUAACUGUUAAACGAAAGGCUUCAGCCUAGUAUAUGUCAAGACUAAAUAGGGAUUUGGCCCAGAUUGUACUGAUACUGUGUUUUCACUGUUUGUUUGUUAUUGGGAUUACACACUGAGUUUUCGUAAACUCACCCCGUUUCUAACUGUGCAGGUAAUCCCUAAGCUUAGAUGGUUUGGAGCUGCGAGGGACUCGGAGAUGGCCACACUACUGUUUCUGUUUCUUUUAAUUGUAAUAAGUAACCAGUUUAUUUUUUUAUAAGUUUUAUCUUAAUUAAUAUUAUUAUUUGGUUUUGGGUUAUAAUAAGACCAUUUUAAUUAUUUUUCUAGGAUUAUUUUAUUUUAUACCUUAUAUUUUACUGAUAACAAUUCAAAAUGGGUUAGACUUAAGGCGCGUUUCCAAAAUGAUAAUUGUUUUCAAAAUAAUGCUAUGAUACAAUUAAUCGGUUUAUCAAAAAUAUCUAUUUAAAUGAAUUCCAACUCGUUUUUCUCAAAACCUAACCUCGCACUAAAGUGUGGAAAUGGUUGUGGGCAUGUCUAGGAUUGGAUCCAAUAAAGAGCUUGGUACUUAAGCAGCCUUCAUGGCUCACCUCCUCUGUUUCGGAUACCUACCUGGUGCACAGCUUCCAUUCACUUUAUUAACUUAGCAAAGACUAUCUUUUAAAACACUAAGAAGGACGUUGAAAGAGGCAUGUUUUCUUAAAUGUGACACGUCGAAUUCGGCCAUAAUGUUUGGGCCAGAUUUGGAGUGUUACAUGAUCUAUUUGUCUGCAUUAUAGCAUGCCAUGCUUGUAUGAUGCAUUGCAUCGGGGUGGGUUUGACGAAGUGAAGGGAGUACCUGAAAAGCUUCAUAAGCCCGUUAUCUGGCAGCUAAGCUGCAUACUUAUGAUAUGUGCUGUGAUGCGGUACUUUAUGGUGUGUAGGGUUGGAUGGGUCGAUUAUAUCCCCAUAUUUCUGAUAUCUGAUCUGUUAUGCAUGCGAUAUCUGUAUGGUUGAGGCCAAAUAACUGUAUUCUGUUAUCUGUUUGUAUGCAUGUUGUUUAUGGGGAUGUACACACUGAGUUGUUAAAACUCACCCCUUUAUUUAUUUAUCUGUUCAUGUAAUCCCCAGUAGUAGAUGGAUCAGUGUGACGGAGGGCUUGAUAGUGACCACUGGUAGACAUUUACAAAUUUUUGAGUAACACUUUAUUUUGUCUGCUUUAUUUAGAUAUUUAUUUUGGGUUUAUUUUGGGGAUUUUAAAUUGUGAAAUUAUUGAUUUAUGAAUUAAUGAUGUUUUAGCUUCCUCAUUAAUGAAAUUUUUUCACUUAAUAUUUGGAAUAGAGAUUUCACGACUUAAAUAAAAAUAACAAAUUAGACGAUUUUUAACUUGCUAAGGUUUAUCUAAAAAGCACUCACAUGUGACGCUGCCAAAUUUGGCCAUAGCGUUGAGGCCGGGUUUGGGGGUGUCACAACUCUCUUGGGAAGGCCUAGAAAGCAUAGGAAAGAUUUCCAAACAGUGUAACUAAAAUCUUAUGGCCAAAAUAAAUAAUGUGUCCUUCUUUACUUUUAUUCUUUCAAUUGCCCAUCCAUCUGCAACUUAACUAAAAAUUGAAAAACUCAUUGAGUGUUUUGGAGAGCCUAAUUUGAUGUAUCAAAUUAUGGCAGAUCACCCUUAAGGCUAAGUUUAGAUUGGUUCACAUGAUCUUUUAAUGCUAUCAUUUAUCACAUUUCAUAUAUAUACAUAAUAUACCAUUUUUCAUUAUCAUUUCAUACUAAAUGUCAUUUAGCAAGUUCAUGUUUUAUAAUCCCUAUUAACGAACACGGAUUCAAGAUAAAUACAUAGAUUAUCCAACUAUUAUACCAAUCUAGCACCUAGUGCCUCAUUGGAAAAUCCAGAGUAUAAUAUACGUUGCGCUCCUUAUCAGUAUAAACCGAAGUAUAUCCCGUACAAUAUUCCUAAUACAUGCCAACUAUAUCUGACUUUGCCCAAGAUAGUUAGUAAGGUAACCAAUGAAUCAAUACAUAUAUGUUCAUAAUCACAUAUCAUGGUUUCACACCAAGUUCGUUUAUAUUAUGCUCAUUUUAAUUCCAUUCUCGACAUUUUAUAUCAUCAUAUACAAACCGAGUCAUGAGACAAGUAAUUAGUUUACCUCAAUAGCUAGCUUGCAACUAUGUAUAUAUAUAUUGAACUUGAAUAAAAAAGUACAAACUGUAUUUUCGUCAUUCGUCUACAACUUUCGUCUUUCCUUUCUCUCAAGAUAGCCCAGUAUCGUCUUUAGCUACAUUCGAUAAUUAAAUUAUAAAAAUAGCAUUAGUUCACAUCCUAAUCACAUUCAAUACAUAAUCAACAUACUUUGCAUUUUAUUCAUUUUAGUCCCUAUAUUCAAAAUACUCAUAUUUUUCCAUAUCUAACUUCGUAUCAAAAUCCAAUUUCAUAUUAUUUCAUUAGGGACCUUCUAUUUUCAUCUAUAGCAUAAUUUCAUGAUAGUUUUCAAUUUAUUCAAUUUAAGCCCUAAUGUCACAAAAUCUUUUAACAAGUUUAACUUAAUUUCUAAUUUAGUCUUUAUCAUAAUCCAAGCUUACUAACUAACAAUCUCUUUGAAUUCAAGCUUAAAUUCAUCAAUUUCAAUAUAAUGCCAACUUGCUAAACAUCUAACAAUUAAAGAAUUUAACGUAUGUGCCAGCUAAAUUAAGCUCCCAUGAUCAGCAAUUUAUAAAAAUUUCAAGAAAAAGACUUGAUUACCUUAGCUAAUUUUGAACCGAAAUUGAAAUAAAAAAUAAGGUUUUUUUGUAAUGACUCGAUAGUCACAGGUAUCAGAAAGUGUAUUUUCGGGUCUCCGUUUUUGAAAAACAAAUUCGUAAAUAUUUAUUAAAAAUAUUUAUGGCGAUUAGUAGUGUAGUUAAUUAGGUUUUGUUUAGGUGAAUUUGUUUAAAUUAAGGUUAAUUAGGUAUAAGGAUUAAAUUGAAUAAAGUGUGAAAGCUUAAUAAUAGAAUAGAGAAAAGUAAAAGGACUAAUUAAGCAAAUAAACCAUAAAAUUUAUAGUUGUAUGGUAAUAGUAAAUUACAUGUAUAACAAUAUUAUACAUAUACUUGUAAUAAUUAUAUAUACUUACUUAUUAUUUAAGAAAAUUAAAAUAUAUUAUUUUAUUUUAUAUUAUAUUAUAUUAUAAAUAAAUAAGUAAUUAAACCAAAUUAUGACGAAUGUAUGGUAAUGGUGAAAUACAUGUGUAAAAAUAAUAAUCAUAUGUAUAUAAUAAUACAUCUAUUUCUUAUUGUAUAAGUAAAAUAUAUAUUAUAUUAUAAUAUAAUAAUAAUAAAAAAGAAAAAGAAAAGGAAAGAACAGAAUUGGGGAACGAAACAGGGGAAAGAAAGAAGAAAAAGAAAGAAAAGAAAAAGAAAAGAGAAAAUUUAGGGUUUUAAGGUGCAAACUCAAAGUGGUAAGUUAAUUUAGUCCAGUUUCUUAAAAUUUUUAUGUUUUUAGAACCCUAAAACAAAAUACUACUUGAUUUAUAUUAAAAUUUUAGAAGUUAGUAAAUUUUUAGAAGUUGUUCAUAUUGAAUAAACUGAAGUGUUAGGGGUUAAAUUGAUAGGAUUUCUAGUUAGAAGUGAAAAAGGGAUUGAAUUGUAAAAUAAAUCAUAAGUUUUGAGUAAUAGGGACUAAAUUGAGAGAAUUUUGAAAUUAGGGUUUAUGGUGAAAUUUGAAGGUUGAAAUUAGUCUAAAGUGGGAGUUGAAUGAAAAUAUGAAAUUAGUUUUAAAUAAAAUAAAGUUAGUUUUGAUUAAGGAUUAAAUUGAAAUGUGAGCAAAAGUUGAAUAAAAUUUUAAAUAUUCAAUGUGGAAUUUUGUGUAUUAAUGAUUUUAAAUUGUUUUAACUUCCGUAGCUAAUGUUGUGCAGGAGACCUCGGCUAAGAAAGGAAAAGACAAGAUUAACGAGGAGUAGCUCGAGAAUUACAAUUUGUAUUUCUAUAAUCCAAAUUUAGAAAUUUUUAUUUGUUGUAUUUUAAAUUAAUGUGUAUGGUAAGUAAUUAAGGUGAGGUUGUUUAUUAUUAUCUUGAUAUUGAAUUGAGAUUAUAUGAAUUUGUGAUUGAUGAAAUUAUUGAUUGGUAUUGAAAUGUGAAUUUUGUGACAAUGGAAUACUGAAUAUUAGUUGUGUCUGAAAAGUGAAUCGGAAACCCUAUUAACUGUAUCAGGCUGAGUCGAAUAUAGUUGGCAUGCUAUAGGAUUGGAAGAUUUUAGGGAUACUUCGACCAUGAGUCGAUGAUACACUGGGUGUCAAAUUAUUACUUCGGAUAAAUUCGAUGAGGUACUGGGUACCAACUUACUUCGGCAUAGCCGAUGAGACACUAGGUGUCAAUCUAUUACUUCGAAUUAUACAAUGAGGCACUGGGUGCCAAAUUGGUGUAUUUUGGUUGAAUCUGUAUGUACGUCUUGUUAAUAAGGGUAAAUGAAUAAUAAAGUCUUACAAUUGAUAUUGAAAUGAAAUGAUAUGACAAAUGGAAGUGAUAUAGUGAAUUGAAAAUAGAAUGUGAAAUAUGUUGACAAUACAUGGAAUAUAUGAGUUAUAUACUCAUGAAUUGAAUAUGGUAUGAAAUGAUGUAUUCAUGAAUUGAGUACUGCAUGACUGAUGCCAUUGUACGAAUAAAUAUGGUUGAUAUGUGAAUAAUCAUUUAUAUAGCAAUUGUGUGAAUUAGGAUAUUGUUUAAUAAAUGAAAAAUGAUAGUUAUGAUAUGAUACUAGACAUUAAUAUGUCUUUAUAAAUUUAAUUGUGCCUUUUAUUUUAUUAUAUAUAUUUUUUAAUUUUUGGAUUAUAGAAAUACCACUGAGUUUUUACUCAGUGUACGGUUUUUUUCCGUGAGCAGAUUAGGUAUAGUGAUUUUGAAAACUUGUAAUCGAGGUUGUGAGCAUUCAUCUCAUCACAUCUCCAAGUGCCAAAAGGGUAUGUUCAAUAUUUUGAAUAGAAUGGCAUGUACUUAGGAAGAUCAAGUAUGUUCCAAGAAGUAGGGACCAAAAUAUAAAUUAUAAUUUUUUUUAAUGUUCAAAUAUAUUAGUGAUUAGCCAAAAUCACAUUGGCACCAAAUGUAAUAUUCCUGUAUUAGGUUCCUUGGGUCGAACUAGAUAUAGGGGUGUUACAUUUUUCUUCUUUUCUUAUUGGUUUGGAUGAUAAAAAUAAGAAUGAAAGAUGAUGUUCUCAUUCCCUUUCCACUUAAUCCCAUAUAAUAUUAUAAUUAAUAACUUAAUUAACAUAAUUAAACUUGAUUAGUUCAUUAAUUAAGGCAUAUUUAUACAUCUUUAAUUAUAAAUUAAAGUUAAGUGGAAAUCAUCAUCAUCAUCCACUAUCUCAUAUUUAAAAAUGGUUAAAUAAUCAUUUUGAUUCUUUAAAUAAUUUUCAAUUAGGUUCUUAAGCAUUUUCUAAAUUAAAACUCAAUAGCGAUUGAACUUUUACAAUUUAGUCUCUAAGCUUUAAUUAAUGAUUUUAUCGGUUAAAUUGCUUAGCUGAUAUUUAAUAUAUAUUCAUACUAACUCUGUAAAUUUUUCUAUUUUAUCAUUACGAACUCUAUUUACGGAAAUGAGAUUCUGAAACCAUAUUUUUUGACAUUAGAAAAUUUUGGGUCAUUACACAAACUUUAGCACUAUAAACAAUUUAUAAUAUAUCAUCUCAGGAUAAAAGUGCAAGGUAUCAUAAUAAUAAGGGGAAGAAUAAGUAUUAUAUUUUUAAUAGACCCAUAGUAUAAAAAUUUUAGAGUGUUAUAAUUACAGGAACACUCUUGAUGAAAUCUACCUAUGUGAGUGAAGUGUGACCACUUUUAAAAGCUUAAGGACUUGGCUCUAGUGGCACUUAUGAUAAGAAAUUACAGGCACACAACCUUAAUAAAUCCUAAUACUUUGCAUUAACAAGUUUUUAAAUCGUUAUGUGAGAUGUGUUCAAAUAAUAAAAUAAAAUAAAUGGUUCAAAACAUAGUUUACCAUACAAUUUUGAUUAACUUAACAUGUUUUCACUAAGUAACAGUUCAACGGUAAGACAAUUUUUAUUUAUGUAAUUGAUAUACAAAAUGAUCAAAAUCUAAAAUAUUUUGAAAAUUGAGCAUUUCCAAAAUAUAUAAUCCAUUGAUGUUAAGGUUUAGUAAUUAAAGGGAUUAGACCAACACUCUUAUCUUCAAAAGAAUGACUUCUAUUAUGAAAUGGAUUGUAAUUUCAUAACGUAUAGUUAAUAAAAUUACUUUAUUAACAUCCCACUAAAACGUAGCAAUGAAGAAGAUAAAUAAAUAAAGAUAUAAUGGAUUUGGUAGGAUCUAGAUUUAAGGCUUUCUCUUGCAUUAACGAUGAAGAAGCAGAAAGUGAAGUGGCUAAAGAAGGGAAAUUGCCUGCUAAUUUUCAAAAAGGUGAGGUUUUGGAAAAUCUCAAACGGGGAAACUUAAAAGGAAAAAAAAAGGUGAAUGGUGGAUCCCUUGGGAUGAAUAAGGAAUCCUUCAAAAUAUUGGACCGAAUAAAUGAAAAUGGGUUUAGGGAAAAUUUAAAUGGUGCAGCCAUGGAUGAAAGUAAGCCUGGUAUAAAUAAAAAUAGGUCAGCUUUAGAGGAAAUGGGAUUGGCAUCAGCAGCCCAUAUUGUUGAGUUUCCCAAAAGGCCUUUGGAAAUCACUAGCAGGCCGCAAGUCCAAUUUGAACAAAAUCAUUUGGGGGUAGUUGAUUCAAGCGAUUCAUCUGGAAGGAAAGAGCAGCUAGUGACACCCACGCAUAUGGGUGAAGAUGAUGCCAAUUUUAUUUUUCUAGGUGCACUCCAAUUUAACACUACCUCACAUUUUAAUCCCACUUUUGAAGGGCCAGUGGAGUUGGUCAUUGAGUUAUCUACAAGGGUCUUGGAUUUGGGAAGGAACUUGACUAUUUAUUUUAAAGAAAACUCUAACCCAAAGCAUAGUGAUUCUCCAAUGGGUGAGAGGUUUAGAGGUACAGGCAAUAGGCAAGUGGCACUCAAAGGGUAUUAUUCCAAAAACAAAAACAAUCCUAACUAUAAUGGUAGGUCUUUCAAUAAAACCAUACAAGAGCGUGUGAGUCAUUUUAAACUCGCAAUCAAUUCUAGGGUCCCACUGCCAGAAACGAUGAACUCGAUGGCCAAACUUAUUAAUAUCAAAUUCAAUCUGAAGUGGGUAAAAGGGAAAAGGUCACUGAUGUAAGCAUUGUGGGGCGUUGGCUCUUUCAGGCAAAUAGUGGUUAGUACUUCCAUUUGUUUUUUUAAUAUUCUAUUAUUAUGAGUUUUUCCAUUUUUGCAUGGCAUUGUCAAGGGUGUGACAAUAUUAAAUUUUCACGUAUUUUUCGUGAGUAUAAAUAGGAGUUGAAGCUAGAUAUUAUGGGACUUAAUGAAAUGAGAGUCAGUAGAGGUAAAACAGACUCAAUCAUUGCAAAAGUUGGGUUCCAAUUUUCUUAUCGUGUAGAGCCAAUUGGGUUUUUUAGGAGGAAUCUGAAAUGGUUGGAAAGAAUCAUUAUGUGUUGAGGUUAUAAUAAAUCACCCCCAAUUCAUUUUCUCAAAGGUAUUCGAUAACUUCUUUUGACAUCCAGUCUUAAUAGCAUUUGUCUAUGGCAUCCCUGACAGACAGAAGUGGAAGCUCUUUUGGGAAGGAUUGAAAUAGACUAUUCAGAGUAAAAAGAUUCCCUAGCUUGCAAUCGAAGAUUUCAAUGCUAUUCUUUUGUGUGAUGAGAAGAGGGGAGGGUGAGUUGUAGGAAGGAGAUGUUCCUUAUUUGGUGAGUUUUUGGAAUCAACCGAACUUAAUGAUUUAAGAUUUAAAGGACUAGCAUUUACUUGGCAUUGAGGUAGGGUUGUGGAGAGAUUAGAUAAAACUAUUUGUAAUGAAUCAUAGGUUACUGCUUUUACUAAUAGUCGGGUGACUCAUCUUUUGAGACUCAAGUCUAACCACAUGCCUUUUUUCUUUCUCCUAAACUAGAGGUUUACCUUCUCUGAGGGCGUCUUUUCAAAUUCUUGGCUAGUUGGAUCGAGUAUAUGAAAUUCCUAAAUUUUGUUAAGGAAAAUUGGAUUUACAAUGGUAGUAUGGCAGAAUCGCUCGCUUGUUUCACUUCUAAUAUCAGGGUUUGGAACAAGGAUAUGUUCAGACAAAUUUUCACUCAGAAAAAAUGUUGACCCAGAGGCUAGCGGGUAUUCAUCGGGAGUUAGAUCAAGUACAUUCAGAUCAUCUUUCGCAAUUAGAAAUGGAGAUGCGUAAAGAGUUGGAAAUCAUCUUACACCAUGAGGAACAUCUUUGGAAGUAGAAGUCUAGAUAUGAUAGGUUGUAUUUGGGAGACUGCAAAACCAAGUUUUUUCAUAAGCACACUUUACAAAGGAGGAAUCUUAAUUGGAUUAAUGCCUUGAAAAAUGAUAAGGGAAAUUGGAUUUUUGAAGAGGAUGAACUUCAGAAUGAGACAAUUACUUUUUUUCAAAAGUUUUAUGGCAAAAAACCAAGUUCGAUGAGAGGUCUCUCCCCAAGUUCCUCUCCUAAACUUGAGGAUAUAGAGGUUUAUUUUUUGGGACAGCCGGUCACAGAUGAGGAAAUUAACAAAGCUAUUUUUAAUAUGGCCUUUCUGAAAGUUCUAGGAAGUGAUGGGUUCCACAUCUUAUUCUUUCAAAAUCAAUGAGAGCAAAUAGGUAGAUUUGUGUGUGAAUGGGUUAACGAGGUGUUUGCUAAGAGUAUUAUUGACCCAGAUUGCUAAGAGUAUUAUUGACCCAGAUUUGAAUAAUACAUUAAUAGUCCUUAUUCUCAAGGUUCAAAAUCCUAAGAGUUUUUCACAGUUUCAGCCAAUCAAUUUGUACUCGGUUAUUUACAAGUUGGUUAUGAAAGUGAUCACUAAUUGGUUCAAAAUUGUCUUCCCAAAGUUAAUUUCUCAAUAAUAGGCGGGCUUUAUAGCCAGUAGGAAUAUCACAGAUAAUAUCAUUAUUGUGCAAGAGGUAAUUCACUCGAUGAAGAGUAGAUAGAAGAAUGUAAGAUGGUUGGUUGUCAAAAUAGAUUUAGAGAAGGCAUAUGAUCACGUUCGAUAGGAGUUUAUUGAGGUAUCUUUUCAGGCUGCAGAUAUUCUAAUUUGUCUCAUUGGUGUUAUCAUGUCUACCAUUAAGAAUUAUACUAUGCAUAUUCUCUAAGAAUGGUAUCUCCUCAUAGAAAUUCAAGUAAACUAGAGGUGUCCGUCAAGGAUGUUCGUUAUCCCUGUACCUAUUUUUCAUGUGUAUGAAGUGGCUUGGACAUAGCAACAAUCAUUCAUUGACUCUAAAUAGUGAAAUCUGAUUAGAUUAACCCGUCUGAGUCCAACUCUAUCUCACAUUUUUUUGUAGAUGAUCUCAUAUUAUUUGAUCAUGUCGAUGUUCAACAAGUCCAAAUUCUAAAAGAUAUAUUGGAAAAAAAAUUUGAGUUCUCAAAGCAUAGAAUCAAUAUGAAAAAGACCAAUUAUUUGCUUUUCCAAAGGGGUUGGUGAGGAAUUAGCUAAGAGGCUUACAACAUUCUCAGCUUUUAUAGAGUGUAAAACCUAGGCUUUUACUUGGGGAUGUCUCUAUUUCACGAGCGAGUUACUAAUAGUACACUUCGAUUUGUUCUAAACAAGGUUAGGAGCAAGUUAUACAAUUGGGACGCGAGGUAACUUUUGUUAGCUAGAAGGGCCACACUUACUCAGUCAGUCCUUUUAACUAUUUCCAACUAUUUCAUACAGUCCAUAAUGAUUCCAAAAGGUAUAUAUGAGGAAAUUGAAUAUUUAGUUAGACAGUUCAUUCUGGGAUCUUCUAGUAGUGGAAAGAAAAUGGCCCUGGUUAGCUGAGAGUCUGUAUGUCAGCCUCAAGCCAAUAGUGGUUUAGGUUUAAGGCGAUUAAAGGAUCAUAAUACAGCCUUCAUAAUGAAACUUGGAUUUAAUAUUAUCUCAAAUUCUAAUAAUCUUUGGGUUUUUGUUCUUCAGACAAAAUAUGGAAUCAAGAAUGGAUUGUUUGAGACUUUGGAACAAAAAAGUGGUUCUUUUCUUUGUAAAGGUUUAUCACAGGUAUUGCCGCAAAUUCAGAAAAAAUUAAUUUGGUUAGUGGGAGAUAGGAGCAGUAUUAAAUGCUAAAAGGGACUCGUGGAUUCCUAUUGUUGGUCCUCUUUGUAAUCAUAUUUCAUCCCACUCCACUUUGGCGUCAGUUUUCCUUUUUAAGGUUACGAUUACUGAUGAAGGGUAUUGGAAUAUUGAUCUUUUCUGACUUUGGCUUCCAGAUGAGAUCAUAUGUAGGAUUGUGGGGAUUCCCCUACCAUGUCCAACAAUUGGAUCGAAUAGGGUCAUAUGGGGUGGUACAACAAUAGGAGUCCUUACAAGUAAAAGUGUCUAUGGAAAGAUUCUGGAAGGGUUGUGAAACCCAAAAGAGGCAGUUUAACAACUUCCACAGAAAUUUCAAGGUCCUCGAAGGAUUAAAUACUCCAUUUGUCUUGUCUUUCAAAAAUGACUUAUUACUAAUGUAGAAAGAGUGAAAAGGCACUUGAGUCAUGAUAGUUUUUGUGGGUUUUGUUGUCACGAAUUUGAAGAUGUGCUACACAUUUUAAAGAUUGUUUGGCAGCUAGAGAUAUCUGGGAACACAUAAUUCCAACAGAUAAGCUAUAUUUGUUUUAUUCAAGUAAACUUCUAGAGUAGCUAAAGGAAAAUUUAUGGAAUUCUCAACAGUUAUAUUUGGAAGAUGUUGAUUGGCGGUGCCUCUUUGGACUCAUUACGUGGCGUAUUUGGAAAAAUUUUUACCGUCUGAUGUUCUAGGGUAUUCCAUGGAAAGCAAGUGAAAUUAUUAAAGUUUCCUAUAGUUGGGCCAAACAGUAUGUCUUAUGUAGUAAUAAGGUAACAAAGGCUAAUUUGCAACCUAAAAUUUCACCUUCUUCACUUUGCGAGAAUGGGAUCUGCUUAAAGAUAGAUGGUGUGGCCAAAGUGGAUAUAGGAUUUGCUAUAACUAGAGGAGUAUUGUAGGAUCAGAGUGAAAGGUGGAUUAUUGGGUGUAAUAGGUAUCUGGGAUUUUGUUCUGUUAUCGAGUUUGAGUUAUGGGGCAUCAAAGAUGGUUUAGAGCUUUUUCUAGAAUGGAGUUAUGAUAGCUUUCUAAUUCAAACAGAUAGCAUGAAGGCAAUCAAUGCAAUUCAAGACCAGGCUCCUAAUGGUCAGAUUCAGCGUUGGUUAGGAGAAUUCACCAACUCUUAUCUAAAAUAAAACAUUGGCUCAUUCGACAUAUUCCUAGGGAAGAUAACAAGAAAGCUAAUAGAAUCUCUAAAUUAGUACAAGAAAGGAGAAGAGUACAAGUAUUUGAAGUUUCCCAUUUGGGAAGUUAGUUUUAUGUUAAUGUAAUUUUUUUUGGUAUUUUAUCUUUUAACCAAAAAAAGAAGAAGAAGAUAUAAUGGAAAAAGAAAAAAAAACUGUAACAAUCUAGUUUUGACCUUAGUCAGAAUAGUGGUUUCGGGACCACAAAUCUGAGUCUGAAAAAUAUUUUAAUAUUAUUUUCUGUGUCUGUGAUAUGUGAAUUUACAUCUGUGAACUUUCUGUAAUUUAAUUUGUCUGUUUCUGUGCUUAAUUAUGAAAAAAAGGAUUAAAUCGCGUAAAGUUUAAAAGUUGAGUGCUAAAUGUUAAAACACCUAAUUGGUUUGGCUUUUAAAAUAAGGGUCCUUGCAUGUCAAAUUUACCAUUUGUAUUAAUGGAGGACAAUGAUGGACAUUAGUAGGUGGAUUUUCAUAUGUUAAUAAUAAGGGAAAAAUGGGAAAAAGUAUUAUAAUAUGUGUUAAAUAAAAUAUAACAUAAAAUAAUGGCCAUUUUUAUCAUUCUCAUGGCUGAAUGAAGCAAGAAAAAGAGAAAAAAUGGGGUUUUGAUUUUCGGCUAACUUAAUCCUUAAUUAAGGUAUGAAUUUUCGUUUAAUUUUGAUAAUUUCUACGUUUCUGUGAUCGUUGCUUCGUGUUCUUCAAAAUCCAUGUCUGAAUUUCUAUUUUUAUUGAAGAUUAUGAAAUGUGCCAUUGAUGAUUAUAUGAACUUUGUGAUGUUUUUAUAUGGAUUAUGAAAGAUAUAUGUGAGAUUAUCGUACUUUGUUCUUGAAUUUUGAUGAAAAAGAGCUAUUUGAGCUAAUUUGUAAAAAUACUAUUUUAAAGGACUAAAAUGUGAAAUAAAGGAAAUGUAUAGACUUGUAUGAGAGUCAUGAAAAUUCAGUUAAGCUUGUGUACAAGCAAAUUUUGCAUAUUGGUGAUUUUGUGAAAAAUAGACUAAAUUGUCAAAGUGUGAAAAUGUAAGGGCUAAAAAUUAAAGUGCCCUAAAUAUGUGUAUAUAGAUUAUAUUGAAUGAAAUGAAUGAUUGAAUGGUUGAAUUUGUAUUGUAUUAGAUCAAGAACAAAGAAAAUCGGACUUAGAUCGGGGGAAGUCCAAAAUUGUUGAAUAGUUGACUCAUUUUAUUCGAAAUCCGUCCGAGGUAGGUCAAAUUAUAAUUACGUGUUAAUUGAAAUAAAUUCUGCACAUAUAAACUGUAAUUUGUAUUGGAUGGCCUUGAGUGCCUGAUGAAUAUCUUUGGAGUAAAGUAUGAUAAUAUGUUAAUACCUGAAAAGCUCUGUAUGCUUCUAAGAAAAGUUGACAUCUGUCUGAGAUAUCGUGUAAGACCGUGUCUGGGACACAAGCCUCGAUUGAGAUUUACGUAUAAGACCAUGUCUAGGACAUCGGCAUCGUAUCUGAUUUCGUGUAAGACCCUGUCUGGGACAGAGGUAUCGAUAUUGAAUUACAUGUAAGAUCACGUCUGGGACGUCGACAUUGUACUUGAUUAUGAGCAUCUGUAUCGUUUCUGAAUCGUCUGAUGGUAGCAUACGAAAUAUGAGUAUAUGAAAUGUAUAACCUAUAUAGGUACGUUUGUAUCAUACUAAAUUUUCGAAUAUGAAAAACUUUGUCUCUAUGAAAUAUGUAUAGAAUUGGAAAUGAAGCAUGACAUAUAUGCAAACAAAGGUGUAUGGUUAAGUAUGAAUUAUUCUAUGAAAUGGUUAUGAAUCUUAAUGGUUAAAUUGUACUUAUAUGCUUUAGUAGUUAGACCAAUUGUAUUUGGCUUACUAAGCUCUUUGUAGCUUACUCUGUGUGAUUACUGCCUGUUUUACAGUUAUUGUAGCUAUUGUAGGUUAGGGGAUAGUUGAGGAUCGUCACCACACUAUCAAACUCAUUUUGGUACUUUUGAAAGUGUACAUAUUUUAAUGUAUGGCAUGUAUAGGCUAGAAGGUCUAUGUAUUAAGUUUUAAUGUAUAUAUAUUAUGCCAUGACAGUUGGCUAGCAAAUAAAAUGUUGUAUAUAGUUUUAGUAUUUGGUUGAUGGUGCCAAAUGAUGUAUGGUUGUAAUGUUUUAUGAGCUCAUAUGUUUUUGUUAUAAUGAAUCAUGUUUUGAGCAUGGAAUUGGUUGAAAAUUGUUGUAUGAAUGUUGUUUAAUAUGGCUUGUAAGGAUGACCUCUAAAAGGGGUGGCAAAUUGGCUUAAAUCAAGCCUGUUUGGUGCCACACGGUUAGGGGACACAGGCGUGUCAUAUGGCCGUGGGCUAAAGUCAGUAGCUAGCUAAGUAUCACACGGCCAUAGCACACGAGCAUGCCUAAUGGUCGUGGGUGAAAGUCAGUAUGGUUACUCUGAUUUGGCACGGCUGGUUCAUAUGGGUGUGUCUGAUGCCCGUGUGAGGCACACGGCCUGGACACACGAGCGUGCGACCUCAAUAGAAUUGGAAAAAUUUUCUAUGUUCUGAAUUUUAUGAAUGUGUUCAGUUUAGCUCUAACCGUUCUUAAAUGUAUGUUUUAGGUCUCGUAGACCAUAUUUAGAGAUGAUUGAUUAUGAAAUGAUGUUAAAUAAUACCUAUGAUUCUGAAUUGAUCCGAAAUGUUCUGUCUGUCUGGUAAUGCCUCGUAACCCUAAUCUGAUGUCGGUUACGGAUUAGGGGUGUUACAUUUUAUUGGUAUCGGAGCUAUGGUUUGUCGGUUCUAGGACUACCAUAGCGUAUAUGAGUCUAGCUGUACAUGCCAUAUAUCUGAAUCUGUGAUAGUGUGAUGACUCCUAACUUUGAAAUAUGCUUUUAUUUUGCAAAUGGAUCCCGAUGGAGUUGUAGCUGACAAUGUAGAAAGUAAUGCACCUGCUCCUGCGUAAGGGACGGUGCAAGUUGAUUCUAGACCGGGUACGAGUAGCCGUGGUGGUGAGGCUAAGCAAGCCUUCUAUCAAAUGAUGAAUGAAUGAUUCACUCAAUACAUUAGAACCAAUCCAACUGUACAACAACCUCCACCCCCGGUUAAUCCUUCUCAAACUCCUGAUAUGCCACGAGUGAAUCUGGUACAGCUGAGUAGACCACCGAUUGAUAAGAUCAGAAAGUAUGGGGCUGAAGAGUUCCGAGCUACAACAAAUGAUGAUGCUGAAAGAGCCGAAUUCUGGUUGGAAAAUACAAUAAGAGUGUUUGAUGAAAUGUCUCUGAGUCAUGAGGAAUGUGUUAAAUGUGCCGUUUCACUUCUGAGAGAUACGGCGUAUCAUUGGUGGAAAACUUUAAUAUCUAUGGUGGAAAAAUUUAAUAUCUAUGGUUCCGAGUGAACGAGUUACGUGGGAUUUCUUUCAAUCUGAAUUUCGGAAGAAAUAUAUCAAUCAGAGAUUCAUUAAUCAGAAACGUAAAGAGUUUCUCGAGCUUAAACAGGAUCGUAUGUAUGUUAUUGAAUACGAAUGUGAAUUUGUGAGAUUGAGCCAGUAUGCCCAUGGAUGUGUAUCGAAUGAAGCAAUAAUGUGCAAAAGGUUUGAAGAUCGACUAAAAGAAGAUAUUCGUCUGUUAGUUGGGAUUUUGGAGAUUAAAGAAAUGGUAGUGCUUGCUGAAUGAGCAUGUAAAGCUGAAGAAUUAAGUAAAGAGAAAAGAAAAGAUGAUUCUGAAGCUAGAAAUGCUAGAAAAAGAUCUUCUAGUAGAUCAUUUCAGUCUAUGUCAAAGAAAUUCUGAGAUGAUCAAAGCCGUCCAAAUGCUAAUAUGGGACAUUCAAACUGAGAUCGAGCUAGAUUGUAUUAAAAAUUCAGAGUCCCUGCUACUUCUGUUGCAAGUGUUGGGAAUGUCCGAUCUGAGAGAUCUUAAUGUAAACACUGUGGUAAAAGACAUCCGGGAAAUUGUAGAUUGAAUGACCGAGCCUAUUUCUGAUGUAGAUCUCUGGACCAUUUUAUAAAAGAUUGUUCAGAACUUGCUGAGCAAGAGAAUGUACAGAAUCUGAGAUCGAGCAACACCUCAGUUAGAGGUAGACCUUCCAAAAAUGUAAGAAAUGCAAGUAGUGGUCAAAGAACUACUGGAGAUACUAUUGUUAGAUCUGACACCAAAGCACCUGCCAAAGCCUAUGCUAUCCGAGCUCGUGAGGAAGCCUCGUCUCUAGACGUGAUUACUGGUACUUUUACUCUCUAUGAUACUUCUGUGAUUGAAUUGAUAGAUCCUGGAUCAACGCAUUCUUAUAUCUGUAUGAAUUUAAUGCAUAGUAAGACUUUGCUUGUAGAGUCUACUAAAUUCGUAAUUAGAGAAUUGAACCCAUUAGGCAAAAGUGUCUUGGUUGAUAAAGUCUGCAAGAAUUGCCCGUUAAUGAUACGAGAUAUCUGUUUUCCUGCUGAUUUGAUGGUUUUACCUUUGGAUGAAUUUAACAUAAUUCUAGGAAUGGAUUGGUUAAAUUUGCAUGAUGCUAUUGUGAAUUGCAAACGAAAAUUCAUUGAUUUAAGGUGUAAGAAUGACGAGAUAAUCUGAAUUGAGUCUAGUGAUCUAAAUGGACUGCCAGCUAUGAUAUCUGUAAUGAAAAUACGGAAAUAUGUGAAGAAAGGUUGUGAAGCCUACUUAGCUUAUGUGUUAGAUUCGAAAGUGAAUGAUAAGAAAGUUGAAUUAGUGCCUGUUGUUUGUGAAUUCUCUGAUGUGUUUCCUGAAGAAUUACCUGGUUUACCUCCGAUUCAAGAAGUCGAGUUUGGCAUUGAAUUAGCACCUGGUACUACUCCGAUUUCAAUAGCUCCGUAUAGAAAGGCUCCGAAAGAGUUAAAAGAAUUAAAAUCUCAGUUUCAAGAAUUGACCAAUCGAGGGUUUUCUAGAUCGAGUUUUUCACCAUGGGGUGCUCCUGUUCUGUUUGUGAAAAAGAAAGAUGGCACAAUGAGAAUGUGUAUUGAUUAUCGACAGCUUAACAAAGUGACUAUAAAGAACAAAUAUCCUCUGCCUCGAAUUAUGACUUAUUCAAUCAGUUGAAAGGUGAUACUGUAUUUUCAAAAAUAAAUCUGAGGUCGGGUUACUAUUGUUACGGGUAAAGGACUCUGACAUUCUGAAAACUGCUUUUAGAACGAGGUACGGGCAUUACGAAUUUUUAGUUAUGCCUUUUAGUUUAACGAAUGCACCUGCUGUAUUUAUGGAUUUAAUGAAUAGAAUUUUUGGACCGUAUCUUGAUCAAUUUGUUAUUGUAUUCAUUGAUGAUAUUUUGAUUUAUUCACGUGAUAAAUCUGAGUAUGCUGAACAUCUGAAAGUAGUGCUACAGACUCUGUGAGAUAAACAGUUGUAUGCAAAGUUUAGUAAAUGUGAAUUCUGGUUGCGAGAAAUUUGUUUUCUGGGUCAUAUUGUAUCAACAUCCGGUAUCCGAGUUGAUCCGAGUAAGAUUUCAGCUAUUCUAGAUUGGAAGCCUCCGAGGAAUGUAUCUGAAGUCCGCAGUUUCCUGGGACUUGCUGGUUACUACACGAUUUGUAAAAGAUUUCUCUAUGAUAGCAACUCUGUUGACAAAAUUGCUUCAGAAAGAUGUGAAAUUUGAAUGGUCUAAGAAAUGUCAAAAAAGUUUUGAUCGGUUAAAAGCUUUGUUAACUGAAGCUCCGAUAUUGGUACAACCUGAGUCAGGUAAAAAAUUCGUUGUUUACAGUGAUGCUUCAUUGAAUGGACUAGGUUGUGUUUUAAUGCAAGAAAGAAAAGUUGUUGCUUAUGCUUCGAGACAGUUGAAGCUGCAUGGGAAGAACUAUCCGACACACAACCUUGAGUUAGCUGCCAUCAUGUUUGCUUUGAAGAUCUGGCAUCACUAUCUGUUUGGUGAAAAAUGUCACUUGUUUUCUGAUCAAAAAAGUUUGAAAUAUUUAAUGACGCAAAAAGAUUUGAAUUUACGACAGAGAAGAUGGUUAGAACUGCUAAAAGACUACAAACUUGUGAUUGAUUAUCACCCGGGAAAAGUAAAUGUGGUUGCUGAAGCUUUGAGUCGAAAAUCGUUAUUUGCAAUGAAUGCUCAUUUAGUUCUGUCUGAUGAUGGUUUAGUUUUAGCUGAAUUAAAAGCGAGACCAUUGUUUUUACAACAGAUUAUCGAAGCUCAGAAGAUUGAUAAUGAGAUUAUGGCUAAACAAAUUCAGUGUAAUUCUGAUUCUGAUUCUGAAUUCCCAAUAGAUGAUGAUGACUGUCUGAGGUUCAGAAAUAGACUUUGUGUUCCAAGAAAUCCAGAUUUGAUUCAAACGAUUUUGAAUGAAGCUCACAGUAGUAAAUUUUCUGUACAUUCGGGAAGUGCGAAAAUGUAUAAUGAUUUGAGACAACUAUACUGGUAGUCGAGAAUGAAAAGAGAUAUCCCUGACUUUGUUUCGAGAUGUUUAAUCUAUCGGCAAGUUAGAGUUGAGCAUCAGGUGCCAUCUGGGUUAUUACAACCGAUUAUGAUUCCGGAAUGGAAAUGGGAUCGAGUGACCAUGGAUUUUUUUUCGGGUUUGCCUCUGUCCCCGAAAAAGAAAGACGCAAUUUGGGUUGUAGUUGAUCGUUUGACGAAAUCAGCUCAUUUUAUUUCAAUUCGGUUUGGUUAUUCACUUGAUAAGCUAGCUGAGUUGUAUAUUUCUAAUAUUGUGAGAUUGCAUGGUGUGCCACUGUUAAUAGUGUCUGAUAGAGACCAGAGAUUUAUAUCAAGAUUCUAGAAGAAAUUACAAGAUGCUCUGUGUACUAAAUUGUAUUUUAGCACCGCUUUUCAUCCGCAAACAAAUGGUCAAUCAGAACGGAUUAUUCAGAUACUCGAGGAUAUGUUGAGAUGUUGCAUUCUCGAGUUUAAAGGUGUGUGGGAACAAUAUCUACCUUUGAUUGAAUUCGCUUAUAAUAAUAGCUUUCAAUCGAGCAUCAAAAUGACACCGUACGAAGCCUUAUAUGGUAGAAAGUGUAGAACUCUAUUAUACUGGUCUGAGCUCAGUGAGAAUACGAUUUAUGAAAUUAAUUUGAUAAAAGAAACAGAACAGAAAGUGAAAGUAAUCUGAGUUAGUUUGAAAGCUUCCUCUAAUCGUCAGAAAUCUUAUGCGGAUUUAAAACAAAAAGAUAUUGAAUUUGAGAUCGGUGAUAAAGUGUUUCUGAAAGUAACUCUAUGGAAGAAACUGUUCUGAUUUGGUAAAAAGGGGAAGUUGAGUCUGAGGUUCAUUGGGCCGUAUGAAAUCACCGAGCGAGUUAGGUCAGUUGCUUAUAGAUUGAGGCUACUAUUUAAGUUACAAAAGAUUCAUAAUGUAUUUCAUAUAUCGAUGCUUCGACGGUAUAGAUCUGAUUCAUCUCAUGUGAUAUCCCCUUCUGAGAUUGAAAUCCAAUCUGAUAUGACUUACGAAGAAAAGCCGAUUUGUAUUUUAGCCCGUAAGAUUAAAGAGUGACGAAAUAUGAAAAUUCCUUUAGUUAAAGUGAUGUGGCAUCGUCAUGAUGUAAAAGAGGCUACGUGGGAGCCCGAUGAUGCAAUGAAACAAUAAUAUCCGAAUCUGUUUAAUGGUAAGAUUUUCGGGGACGAAAAUCCCUAAGGGGGGAGAAUUGUAACAGUCUGGUUUUGACCUUAGUCAGAAUAGUGAUUUCGGGACCACAAAUCCGAGUCUGAAAAAUAUUUUAAUAUUAUUUUCUGUGUCUGUGAUAUGUGAGUUUACAUCUGUGAAAUUUCUGUAAUUUAAUUUGUCUGUUUCUGUGCUUAAUAAUGAAAAAAAGGAUUACAUUGCGUAAAGUUUAAAAGUUGAGUGCUAAAUGUUAAAACACCUAAUUGGCUUGGAUUUUAAAAUAAGGGUCCUUGCAUGUCAAAUUUACCAUUUGUAUUAAUGGUGGACAAUGAUGGACAUUAGUAGGCGGAUUUUCAUGUGUUAAUAAUAAGGGUAAAAUGGGAAACAGUAUUAUAAUAUGUGUUAAAUAAAAUAUAACAUAAAAUAAUGGUCAUUUUUAUCAUUCUCAUGGCCGAAUAAAGCAAGAAAAAUAGCAAAAAUGGGGUUUUGAUAUUCGGCUAACUUAAUCCUUAAUUAAGGUAUGAAUUUUCGUCUAUUUUUGAUAAUUUCUACAUUUCUGUGAUCUUUGCUUCGUGUUCUUCAAAACCCAUGUCUGAAUUUCUAUUUUUGUUGAAGAUUAUGAAAUGUUCCAUUGAUGAUUAUAUGAACUUUGUGAUGUUUUUUAUGAAUUAUGAAAGAUAUAUGUGAGAUUAUCGUACUUUGUUCUUGAAUUUUGAUGAAAAAGAGCUAUUUGAGCUAAUUUGUAAAAAUACUAUUUUAAAGGACUAAAAUGUGAAAUAAAGGAAAUGUAUGGACUUGUAUGAGAGUCAUGAAAAUUCAGCUAAGCUUGUGUACAAGCAAAUUUUGCAUAUUGGUGAUUUUGUGAAAAAUGGACUAAAUUGUCAAAGUGUGAAAAAUGUAAGGGCUAAAAUGUAAAAUGCCCUAAAUAUGUGUAUAUGGAUUAUAUUGAAUGAAAUGAAUGAUUGAAUGGUUGAAUUUGUAUUGUAUUAGAUCAAGAACAAAGAAAAUCGGACUUAGAUCGGGGGAAGUCCAAAAUAGUUGAAUAGUCAACUCGUUUUAUCCGAAAUCCGUCCGAGGUAAGUCAAAUUACAAUUACGUGUUAAUUGAAAUAAAUUCUGCACAUAUAAACUGUAAUCUGUAUUGGAUGGCUUUGAGUGUCUGAUGAAUAUCUUUGGAGUAAAGUAUGAUAAUAUGUUAAUACCUGAAAAGCUCUGUAUGCUUCUAAGAAAAGUUGACAUCUGUCUGAGAUAUCGUGUAAGACCGUGUCUGGGACACAGGCAUCGUAUCUGAUUUCGUGUAAGACUUUGUCUAGGACAGAGGCAUCGAUAUUGAAUUAUAUGUAAGACCACAUCCGGUACGUCGGCAUUGUACUUGAUUAUGAGCAUCUGUAUCGUUUCUGAAUCGUUUGAUGGUAGCAUACGAAAUAUGAGUAUAUGAAAUGUAUAACCUAUGCAGGUACGUUUGUAUCGUACUAAAUUUUCAAAUAUGAAAAAGUCUGUCUCCAUGAAAUAUGUAAAGAAUUGGAAAUGAAGCAUGACAUAUAUGCAAACAAAGGUGCAUGGUUAAGUAUGAAUUAUUCUAUGAAAUGGUUAUGAAUCUUAAUGGUUAAAUUGUACUUAUAUGCUUUAGUAGUUAGACCAAUUGUAUUUGGCUUACUAAGCUUUUUGUAACUUACUCUGUAUGAUUACUGUCUAUUUUACAGUUAUUGUAGCUACUGUAGGCUCGGGGAUAGUCGAGGAUCGUCACCACACUAUCGAACUCAUUUUGGUACUUUUAAAAGUGUACAUAUUUUAAAGUAUGGCAUGUAUAGUCUAGAAGGUCUAUGUAUUAAGUUUUGAUGUAUAUAUAUUAUGCCAUGAGAGUUGGCUAGCAAAUGAAAUGUUGUAUAUAUUUUAGUAUUUUGUUGAUGGUGCCAAAUGAUGUAUGGUUGUAUUGUUUUAUGAGCUAAUAUGUUUUUGUUAUAAUGAAUCAUGUUUUGAGCAUGGAAUUGGUUGAAAAUUGUUGUAUGAAUGUUGUUUAAUAUGGCUUGUAAGGAUGACCUCUAAAAGGGGUAGCAAAUUGGCUUAAAUCAAGCCUGCUUGGUGCCACACGGUCAGGGGACACGGGCGUGUCAUAUGGCUGUGGGCUAAAGUCAGUAGCUAGCUAAGUAUCACACGGCCAUAGCACAGGGUGUGCCUAAUGGCCGUGGGUGAAAGUCAGUAUGGUUACUUUGAUUUGGCACAGCUGGUUCACAUUGGUGUGUCUGAUGCCCAUGUGAGGCACACGGCCUGGACGCACGAGCGUGUGACCUCAAUAGAAUUGGAAAAAUUUUCUAUGUUCUAAAUUUUAUGAAUGUGUUCGGUUUAGCUCUAACCGUUCUUAAACGUAUGUUUUAGGUCUCGUAGGACAUAUUUAGAGAUGGUUGAUUAUGAAAUGAUGUUAAAUAAUACCUGUGAUUCUGAAUUGGUCCAAAAUGUUCUGUCUGUCUGGUAAUGCCUUGUAACCCUAAUCUGAUGUCGGUUACGGGUUAGGGGUGUUACAAAAACUAUCAUUAUUUCUUUAAUUGUAACUAAUGUAGUAUUUCAACUUCGCUUUUCCAUUGAUUAGUGUUCAAGUUAAAAGCACAUUCCAAGAUUUCAUGCCUUGGUGUCAUAGAUCAUCCGUUCCUUUGACCCAAAUAGUACGAUGUCAUACGACACUAUGAUUAUUUUUAAUCAUGAUCAACCUUUCAUAUGUUCUUUUUUGUCAACUAUUUUAGUUUCCAUUGAUGCCUUGUCAUAAAGGUCUCUCGCUUGGUUUGACCUUACAAAACUGUUCACAUCCAAUUGUUUAGCUUAAAGAAAAACACUCAUUCUCGUCACAUGUUUGGCACAUAUACUCGCAAAAGGUCUCAAACAACAUCUCCAUCAAUGAUUUUGUGUACUAAUCAUCAUGAUCCAAGAUGCAAGCUCCUAGGAUCAAGGCUUGGUGGAACCCAACACCAAGUCCACAUUCACUUGACGCUUCUCAUGUAUCGGAACCCAACAACACUACUCGAUUUUUGGUCAUUUACAAACUAAGGGUCACUUCUAGCUCAUCACAUUACUCAUAAGAGUCACUCUGACACCAAAGGUUGUUUGCCCCACUCAAGGCUAAUCUCAAGCAUGACAGACACCCAACAUCAUGCACUCAAUGCAAGACUCAUCCUAGGUAAUUGUCCCAACUAUGAGGCACGAGACUGAAUCGUUAUCUCUACAUUCCCACAAGACUAGUAGUUGGUCCACCUACUAGUUAACUCGAUUCACUAUCGCGUCUUGAUGCCACUCCUACAAAACAUUGUCUCAUGAUCCCAAAGGUAGUCCAAUGAACUUUAGGUGGAGAACCCCAUGAGCCUUAGAGAAAAUAUAAGGUCUAACCCCAGCUUUCCAUCCAUAGCGUGAUACGAAGCCCAUUGGCCCCGAACCAUUAUUGAGUUUCCUCCCGAAUAGACAUCGAACAUCCACUUGCCCAAUGACCACACACCAUAAUAAUGAAGAGUAAAUGAGUAUUAUAUUUCUAAUAGGCCCAUAACAUAAAUAUGUUAAGGUUAUAAUUACACGAACAAUCUUGAUGAGAUCUACUUAUGUGAGUGAAACGUAACCGCUUUUAGAAACUCAAUGAAUUGGCUUUAACAACACUAAUAAAAAGAAGUUAUCAACAUAGCCAUAAUAGUAUCUUGAUACUUUACAUCAACUAGUAUUUAAAUUAUUAUGUGAAAUGUGUUCAAAUAAUAAGAUAAAAUAGUUGGCUCAAACUAUAGUCUACCGUGCAAUUUUGAUUAUUCAAUAAGUGAAACUCAAUAGCAAGACAAUUUCAUUUAUACAAUUUAUUCAAAUUAUCAAAAUCUAAGAUAUUUUAAAAAAUAGAGAAAAUUUGUUUCAAUAUUUCCAAAAUAGGCUAAAAUAACUAAAUAUGUUGUUUUCUUAUUGGGCCUUUUAGGUCGUUUUUUUAAUUUAGGGAAAUAGGCAUUUUUGGAGAAAGAAAGGGAAAACACGUCUAGCUAGGCGCACUUUCCCUUUCUCUCUCUCAGGGUUAAGUUUUUUAAUUUUGUUAAGUUUAAGGUUUAAGGGUAAAACCAUAAAAGUUCAUAAGUAGAUUUAAAGGGUCAUGGAUGUGAUGGCAAGAUAGGACCAUUACCUUAGAAACCCAUCCUAGAGAAGUCAUGUUUUGGGAUGACAAUGCUUGAUACGAUCACGGGGCAAAGUCUAGAUUGAGGUCCCAAUCGGUGGCUGUGAUGCAGUCAUGGAUUUAAGUAUAAUAGGGGGUCAGUUGACGGUCGUUAUGUGGUCACGAGUUCAAGUUUUUUGGAUACCCACAAAUGAUGUCUUAUAUAUACCAUAUAUAAGAUUGAAGCCAUAAUCAUAAGGAAAACAAAGGGAUCUUCAAUGUAAUCAACGUAAUUUUUUUCUCUAUUUCUAGGCAGUCGGUAUCUUUAACCUUUCAUUUUUAUCUGAAGGCUGACACUGAGCUGAAUACAAGAGGGUUCUCAAGCGACGAGUAAAUGAUCCCGCACAGUAGAAGUUAAACUAGAAUCGACGUGGCAGCAAUUGUAGUUAUUAAUUAGUUGUUUAAUAACAGAAAUCAUUGUCACCCUGAAAGGAUCAUUGCCUUUACUGCACCAUAACAGCCACUCCUCGCCUAAGAGUCUUCUUGCGUCCACGGCAGUGCCAGCCUUCGAAUAAAAAGGAAUGUUAAAGGCGUCUACUGCCUAGAAAUGUAGAAAAAAUUGCAUCAAUUAUAGCGAGAAGCCCACAAUUUUUCCACAUGAUUAUGCACUCAAACUUUUGUAUUGUUUUUAUAAGGCAACAUUUCUAGGUAUCUGAAAAGUUUGAGCUCGCGACCGUGUAACGGUCGCCAAUUGGCUUCCCCAUUAUACGUCAAUCCAUGACCACAUAAUGGUUGUUGAUUGAGACCUCUAUGUAGACUUCCAUCUAUAACCGUACAAAGCAAAAUCACCUCAGAACUCGACCUCCCUAAGAUAGGCUUUGAAGGUAAUGUUUCUAUCUCAGCAUGAUAUAUUAAAUGUGUACGUCUCUCAUAGUGAUAUUGUAUCAUCAAUGACUCAAUAGUAUCUCAAACAAUCCCAAUUUUAUUAGCAACCAAAAUUUUUAACACUGAGAAAUGUUGUAUAGCAGAGGGAUGGAGAGGCUGAGGGAGAAGAUCUUUGAGGGAUGAUGAAGUAUAGAGUUUGAGACCCCUUUUAUAUGCACGAGGUAGGGUGGGAUUGCAAAGUAGAAAAUUCCCGUGGUCGAAAAUGUGCCACAAGACAAGUGUCUUCGACGAAUAUAUUCAAGUUGUGACUGAAAUCUGUUGAAAAAUUCAUGAGGUUAGGUACAUUUACUUUUUAGACAAGAAAAAUGUUUGAGAAGUCUAGUCAAGCUAGAUGAGCUUCCCUGUUGACAUGGCAAGAAAGCACACCUAGCUGGACGAGCUUUCUCUAACAUUUUCUUAACUAAAAAAUAAAAGUACCUAAACCUGAAUUUUUCAACAGAUUUGAAGAACGUUAUGCAAGGAAUACCUUGAGAAGUACGUUUCUAAUGAAAUUAUAUGACUUCUGAAACAUUUUUUUGAGUAAUACUUUGCAUUUCAUUAUCAUUGUUCGACAAAAGUAUGUAUUCAGAAAAAAAAUUUAUCAGCACGCAUUCAUUCUCUCCUUGUUCUAUUUUCCUAUUAAAGUAACACAAUUUUCAUAACUUAGGCACGCAUCAAAAUCAUAUCAAACAUUAAACAGUUGAGUUGCAAGAGUCAUGUGUAUUUCUUUGGACAAUCAUCAACUAAUUUUUUUGCUUCUGCUCAUCCAAUUCGUAAUCUAUAAUGAAAUGAGUAAACAAGUGAAAUUUGUUAUUUACUACGACGAUCAAAUCUGUAAUAAAGAAUUCACGAUGGUAUUUGCAGGAGCUCAGUUUGUGGAAUUGGAAUUCAAUCGUUCCAUCUAAUUGCAUGAGCUACGGACUAGAAUUAGGAGGAAAGUCAGGAGUUCAACCUGAGAAAGAAUUUUAAGGUUGCAAUGUAGAUAUCUUGCUUUCGUUCACCCCUAUAGGUAUGAGCUAUUUGAUGUGAAAGGUGAGCUCGAGGCGGUCAUAUAAUCUUACCUCUCAAGUGAAAAUACUAUAAUGGAGUUAUAUGUCGAGUUUGCGAAUGAUGAUGGGCCUGGCUAAUCUUCGACCACUAUUGAAGCUAAUGUUGGAACCGCAGUUGAAGCUUGUUACAAAAGCUCCUGCUACGAUGUCCUUGAAACAUCUAUGGGUAGACAUUCAUUGAUUUUCGGAAUGAAUUUAAACUUCAGUGGCCCUUACCAUUUGGGGUAUGAGCAAAACCUGAACUUCAACAUUCGGGUUUGACAUUCAAUCAAUGUAUUUGAUUUCAACUUUGAUGGAUCAUUGUUCUGGGGUGGAAGUAACUAUAUCAGGGGCAUCGACAUACAUCGGCCACCAAUCUGGUGCAGAUUUUAGCGGGCACAUGGGUUAUAAAAGAACUGAUGACUUACUCCUUUUGUUUGGGCCAGCGAGGGUACGUACCAGGUUUUGUAACCAAUUUGGAAACGCACCCAGUGUACUUUUGUGAUCAUAUGUCCCUAGGAAAAGAGUAUUCCAUCCAUUAUUUUAGAUCUUCAGCCAAUGUAGAGAAGCUUUAUGGCGUCUUUUGUGCAAAUUGACGACACUUGGCUAUAUGGGAGGUAUCAACAUCAGUUGUUGAUUGUUGUUACCCGUGAUGGUAAUUGGAGGAUUUUUUUGGUUGUGUUUGCAAUAACUCUCGGAGAAAAGACAAAUGAUUGAGAUUUCUUCCUAAGUAGAUUGUGCUGAUGCGUUUGCCCGUAGUCCAACAUAUGUGUCAUAUCAAACAUGGGAACAUAAAUUUUUUCCGCUAUUGUGCGGCAAGGUAGCCUUUGGGAUCACACCCAUCAUAGGUACUUCAUACAACAUGUUGGAUCUAACUACCACUCAAAAUGACCUUCGAAAAGUGAGCUAGAUCAAGUCAUUGACAUAGGUAUGUAGUUGUCACUAUUUGCAUAGUCAUGUUAUACCAUAUUUCGUUCAUUCUUUGCAUUCAUAGGUUUUCCUUUCUCGAAGGGUACAAGCUAGUCCAACAUCGAUUCCAUAAAAUGUUGGACAACUCAUACGCCACCAACAACUACGGUGUGGUGUACCUAGCCAACAUACCAUUUGAAAAGUGGACACAAUCAUACGACAGGGGUCUACGGUACGGGCACAUGAUGUCGAACUUAGCUGAGUGCAUCAAUUCCAUAUUAAAGGGGAUGUGUCAUUUGUUGAUAACCUUAGUUGUCAAAUAAACGUACUUUCACCUGGCUACCUUAUUUCAAAAACGGACGGCGAAGUAUGUUGGAUAUAUAGUGAGUGACCGUAUUUUGUGCGAGGAUGUCAUAAAAGAAAUUAGACGAAAUACAGAGAGAGUGAACAAUAUGUACGUAGUGUGCCACUCGCGUCGAACCUAAUUAUUAGGUUAUAGAGCACACUAGGAUCGACCAGGACAUGUCAGGGGCAUCAUAUCGUGUUGAUCUAACAUGAGGGACUUGCGAUUGUAGGAGGUUCCAAGCACUUCAAUUCCUAUGCGCAUAUAUAAUUGUCGUAUGUGGGAACCUAUGAAUUGAGUACACGUCUUACAUCAACGAUGAGUACAGACAAGAAACGCACGCACAAUGUAUAGAGUCUUGAAUUUCCACUCGUCCUAGAUGAAAGUAUGUAGCCGCCAGUGUCCAUGUAACAUCCCGAUUUAGGGCCUAGUUGGAACAGUAGUUUCGGGACCACAACUCUGACACAGUAAAAUUUUUUUAUUAUAUUUUUAUGGUCUACAAUUUCACGGGAUGAUUUUGUGAAAAUUUCGUUCAAAAAUUUUGACGUUUGGGCACUCAAUUUGGUCAAAAGGACUAAAUUGUAAAAAGUGCAAAAGUUUAAUUCUACAUGUUAGAAGUGUCUAAUUAUUAUGAAAUUUUAAAUUGAAGGCUCAUAAAUGGUAAUUAUACCAUUGGAUAAUUUUUUGGACAAAAAUAUACAUGAAAUGAGUGAAAUAGAAUAUUUUUAAGUUAGGGGCAUUUUGGUAAUCUAUAAUUAAAAUGAAUUAAAAACAAAAUUAAAAGCCAAUUUUUGUCCAUCUUCUACCCCAUGGAUGAAACUUGCAUCGAAAAGAAAUAGCUAGGGUUUUUCAAGCUUCCAAGCUCGAUUGUAAGUCCAUUCUAGCCCCGUUUUUAAUGAUUUUUACGUUUUUUAAAUCUUAGUAACAAGAUCUACUCAUUUCUACCCAUAUUUUGAGCUAGGAUUUGUGUUUAAAAAUUUACUCAUGGAUGACAUGCAUGUGUUUUGAUGUCUAAUGGUAGAAAAUGAAUGCUUGGUGUGUAAUAAACGACUUUUACUAAGUGAUUUUCGGUGAAAUUGUCAAAAAGGACUGUUUUACAAAAGUUACAAAAUUUGUCAUAAAAGUGUGAUUUAGUGGAAAUUAGAGGCUGCUAUAGUUAUGAAAACGAUUCGGACUACUUCUACUAAGGACCAUUUUGCAUAAGUUGUAAAAUAUGUGAUAAAUGUAUGAAAUAAUGAAAAUUUCGGACUACUUCUAGUAUAAAAAGUAUUCGGCUAGGCUUGAUUAGUGAGAAAAUGUGAUUAAAAUUGAAUUUCGAGUCUAGGGGUAAAAUGGUCAUUUUGUGAAAGCCUAGGGGCAAAAUGGUCAUUUUGCCCAAUUAUAAAUUUUUAGUAUCUAGAUUUAUAUGCUGAUGAAAUGAAUGAAUUUUAUCAAUAUAGAUCAAGAGAACGUGAUUCGGGUCUUGAUCGGGGUAAGAACAAAGUUUACGAGGAUUAAGCUCGUUCCCAUCAUUUUGUACCGAGGUAAGUACAAAUGUAAAUAAAGUGUCAUGUAGCUUACUUUUAAAUGUUUUAUUUUUUACCAUGUAUCAUAAAUUUUAUUCUAUGUCAUAAAAGUAUAAAUAAUGCGAGGUAAGAGUAACCUACGUUAUGAACAAGUGCAACAACGUCAGGUUAGAUACAAGAUCCCGUUGAACCUCGAAAAUAGUAUAGGAUAUAAAAAGGUAAGUCAUGAAAUUGAGUGGUCUGAACUCAUGAGUUGAGUCUGAGUUCAUGAGAUAAGCGAAAUAUGUAAUGUGGGUCCGGGUACUGACUUUGUAUGUAUACCCGUGAGUAGCUUAAUGAGUGGGCAUUACGUAAUAGAGCUAUAGGGUCCGGGUACUGACUUGGUAAAAAGGCCCGUGAGUAGCUUCAAUAUACAAGUAUUACAAAGUUCGAGGUAGCUUUGGCUACUUGUAUGGUACUUAAGAGUAAACUAUCCGAAUAUUUAUUGGUAUUUCUGAAUGUUCAAUGGGUAACUUGAUGAAUGGAUUGACGAUACUUCCAGUGGGGUAUGUCGAUAGAGAGAAUGAAUUGGAGUUAUUUUACAGGUAAUUGUAGGUAUGUAUACUAAACUCCCGAAUAAAGACCUUAGUAUGUGAUGAGAUGUAGUAAGUAUGGAGUAAGAUAGUGAGAUUAAAAUGACAUAUCAUUUAAGUAUGAUAAACCACAAUUUGAUGAAUGUAUUUCUAAUUACACUUAUUUACAUAUAUGUACUUACUAAGCUCCCAUGCUUACCCUAUUUCCUUUCCAUUUUCUUAUAGUGCCACCAAAGUAGUUCGAGAAUCGUCGCCCACAUCGGAGAAGCUAGCCAUACUAUCCUUGAAGCACUUGGUAUAGCUUGUUUUAUCAUUUUGAUUAUAGCAUGUAUAGGAACUUUUGAUUUUAUUUUUGUGUCAUAUUGUUUUAGGGCGAAACGUGUUAGCUUGUUUUAGCAUUUGACUUUUUUUGUAUAGGGCCAUGAAAUUGGCUAAUAUUGCAAGCCAUUAUAUAAAUGCAAGAUAGUCUUUUACGAAUGUGAAAUUUUUGGCUUGGUUGAAUUUAUGAAAUGUAUAUAGGUCUUAGCUAUGGUUGUUGGUUGAUAAAUCAUAUUAAGUUAGAUUUUGAUAUGUUGAUUGGUAUUAAAUUGUGUUUUAGGGUGGCAUAAGGCUUUGUAAAUAGCCUUAUAUUGUCCACACGGGUAGACACACGGGCAUUUGUCUAGGCCAUGGGCGUGUUGUCCGGCCUAGUUUGCCCUGCACGUAAAAGUUUCAAGUUAGUAUGCAUGGUAGUAAACACACGGGCAGAGACAUGGCCGUGUGUCUCAACCGUAUGGAGGACACGGCCUAUGGCCACCGGCGUGUGCCUUGGCCGUGUGCCCCUUAUUGGAUGUUGACGUUAGAAAUAGAAUGUCAAGGUUUUUGGACACGGGCUAAGACAUGGCAUGUCAUGGCCGUGUGAGGGACAUGGCCAUAGACAUGGGCGUGUGUAAGGCCGUGUGAAAACCCCUAUAACUUCAAAUUUAGAAUUUAAUUCACAUGGGCAUAGGACACUGGCGUGUCCCUUGAUGCUUAGGUUGUGUGUGUCACACGAGCCAUUAACACGGCCAUAUCUUAAUGACCACACGGGCGUGUGCUCUGUUUCAAGGGUUAUUUUUCUAAAGUUGGUUAAGGACCCGAGCCGGUUCCAAAUGGUUUCCAAUGGACGUUUGAGGCCUCGUAGGAAAAUGUUAUGGAGUUUAUAUAAAGUUUUAAAAUUUAUCAAGUCUUAAUGAUUCGAAAAAGUUGGAAUGAACAUGUUUAAGUGUGGUAACGCCUCGUAUCCUGUCUCAGUGUAGGACUUGGGUGUGGGGCGUUACAUAUAGGAUAUGAAUAUGCAUGAUUACAGAAUGAGAAGUUGCAAACAAACCGAUUACAGGGAUGAUAAUAUGUGUAAUUGAUACUAGUGUGAACUUAGUAAAAGGUUAGGAUACGAUUGGCAUGCCAAUAGGGUCAUAUGCGUACUUGUACAAUAUAUAUGUCUCUACGGAGAACCUAGUAUAGAAUUGUUCAAUUAGAGAAUUUGAUUAAAUAAUUUUCUUGAAAAAUUAAUUUGAAAAUUUUAAGUGACUUUUGAGAAAAUUAAAGUUGAUCAAGUAAAAUUAAAUUAAUCAAAUUAAUUAAAAUUAAUAUGAUAUUUUUUAAAAUUAAUUUUCAAGUCAGACAAUUGAUCCAAUUGAUAAUUGAACUUGAAAAUUGGGCUUGAGAUCAUAAAUUGGGCCCGAGAGCCCAAAAUCGAGACCAAGUCCCAAAAAUUGGUCAAACCGGGCUUGGUAUGUGAAACGAGGCCAACGGUCCAACCGGUGGCUGGACUAGACUAGUCAGGUCAUUACUGGUCAGGACUGAACCUGUUCAAGGUGCCGGUGGCUGCGACGAUGUCAUUCCAGUGGUCGAAAAAAUAGUCGGCGAUAGUGGAUUUUCGAUGGUUGAGCAAUGGAAUAAUUACACUCCUACUAGGACUUUACUAGAGAAUUUGAUUUCAGAUUAACUAUUCCAAAAAUAAUAUUAUUUUAAUAGAUUUAAUAUUAAAUUUAAUUUAAUACUUAUCUUAAUAGUAUUUUAUUAAUUUAAUAAUAAAGUGAUUAUCUUAAUAUUAAAUUUAAUUUAAUGUUUAUCUUGUAGAUAAAAAUUCUAUUAAGCUAAUAAGAUUUAAUAUUAAAUUUAAUGUAAUAUUUAUCAAGAUAAAUAUUAUAUUAAAUUUAAUAUUAAAGUGAUUAAGUUUAACUAUAAUUGAAUUCUCCAAACUCUCCCUAUAUAAAGAGAGUCUUUGGUCAUUAUUUUUCACAUACGUGAAUUCAAGAUAAAGUUUUAGAGUGAAAAUUCUCUGAAGAAAUUAUUUCAAAAAAUUUCUAGAGAUAUUUUUCUUAUUUUCAACUUGGUCCAAAAGUUUAGAGAAAUUAUGAAAUUACCCCACUGGUAAAUUUUGUGAAAAAUUUUCUAAUUCGAAGCGAGCCCACACUCGACAGACAUGAGCUUAAGGAUAGUGGAGAAGACUACUCGGUUGAAGCAUUCGGUCGAAGCGUUCGGUCGAAGCGUUCGGUUGAAGCGUUCAUCCUAGACGAAUCGAAAACGUACAAUUUUUAUUAAGUGCUUAUUACUUUAGAUAUCACAAUCAAGUUCUUGUUUUGAAAAAAAAUAAUUUUAAACUAUGGUUUUUCUCUAAAUUUAUUUUUCGUUGCGUUUUUUUCAAACCCAAUUUUCCAACAUAUUAACCCUAUGUACAUGCCAAAAAAUUGGGUUUUAAAUGAUAGAAAGACUAUCGAAUCAUAAACAAGAUAGUGUGAGCUCCAUACGAUCCGCUUGGCACGUUCCACAAGUUGGAGCUUUAUAGAGAAAAGGGAAACAACGGGGUAAGCUAUUGAAUGCUUAGUAAGUUCACAGGUAUUUAAACAAGAACUUACUUGAAAUUACAUCUUAAUUCAGUAAAAUACUAACUUUGUGGGUUCCAAUUGGGGGAUCGAAUUGAUUAUAGAAACAUGAGUUUAAUUAGUCGAUUUAUUAGUAAACAAGGAAAAAUAUUAUCUAGACGAGUAAAUAGAUUGACCUUAAAACAACAACGAUUAAUUACUAUUGCUAUAAAACAUGCUCGUAUUUUAUCUUCGUUACCCUCUCUUAAUAAUGAGAAAUAGUUUGAAAGAAGCGAGUCGACCACUAGAACUACUGCUCUUAGAACCAAAAAUAAAUAGGCUUACCCCUUCAAAAGAAUCGGAUCCGGUUGGGGAAGAAAAAAAUAUUUUUUAUUGAACGUCUUCGCUCAUCUUGUUUUGAUGACCUUAUCAGAAUCAGAAUUUUUUAUCAUAUUAAUUUUUACUCUACCUUCCCCGAGUUCAUUCUCGAGGGAACCCCAUUUCAUUUAAAAUAUUUCGUUGGAUUCUUUCCGAUCUCCAAUAACAUAUAUCAUAUCUUAUAAUAAAUCAAGCAUAUAACAUUCUCAAUGACUUAUAUCCAAUUUUUAUUUAAUUCAAUAUCAAUUUCAUAACAUUUUCUAUCUAUUAUCAACAAUACAUCCAAUUUCAGUAUAAAGUCAUUCACUAUUUUGUUUCGUUAUUCAAAUUUAUUAGUUCGUCACAUUUCCAUAUCGGCCCUUCGGGCUCGUAUAAUCGGUUUGUAUGAUCUAUCACAUGAUAUCAAUAUUCAUAUAUCUCAAUGUGUAUAUAAAUUAUCAAAUCAUAAUAUCAAUUCAUAUUCAAAUACCAUUUAUCCAAUUUAUAUUUUAUAUCCCAAUUAACUUGACUUGGACUUGGACAGAUACAUGGAUCCAACCAAUCACAUUAGUUUGACACUCAAUGUCUCAUUGGACAAUGUCGAAAUAAAUAGUUGAUGGUCACUAAACUAACUAUAAAUACGAAAAAGGUAAGCGCACCUAUCGAACAAUAGUAGAGUUAUGGUGAGUAGAGAAUAUCGUAUCCACAAGGACUAAAAGUACUAGUAAUUACUGUUUUUCUAUUAUUUAGUCGACAAUUUGGGGUGAUGUGUUUUAAUCUAAAUUUACUAAACUAAUUCUACUAAGAACACAACAGAGAAUGAAUCAAAGAAAUAAUUGAAUAUUAACUAAGGAGAUAGACAAUACCCAAGAAAGAAUCUACCUAGACUUCACCUAUUAUUAUGAAUCUGAAUUAAAUGAUUUAUUCACUUGUAUCUUGAUCCAUAGAAAUCCCUAAAUUAUGUUAAUAUCUCUUUCGAAAGUAAGAACAAUUGACUCUAGGUUGAUUAAUUGAAAUAUCUUUCUAAUUAAAACCCCUAUCGUCGCAUUAACUCGAUCUAUGGAUUCCCCUAUUAGAUUUGACUUUAAUCCGGUAGAUUUAUGUCAUCCUAUUUCUAUGAUUGCAUGCAACUCCACUCAAUUAUGCUAGAUCUACUCUUAAACAGGGACUUUUCCUCCACUGAAAUAAGCACAUUAAACAUGAAUUAAUAUCCCAGAAAUAUUAAAAUAAGAAAUUAAAUAAAAUGAUUCAUCAUAGGUUUCAUCCUCCUUAGGUAUCUAGGGAAUUAGUUCAUAAUCUUGAAUGAAAACAUCUCAAAGUCAGAAUAACCACAAGACAUAAAGAAACUCAAUAAAACUUCAAAAGAAAUUAAAAGGAGAUAUUCGAUCUUGAUGGAGAUCCACUUCUGAGUUGAUUCCGAUGGUGUUCUUCGAGUGUUUUAUUCGAUCUUCUCUAAUUGCUUCCUUAUGUCUUCUUCUAAUGGAUAUUUAUAGACUUUAGAAUGCUCAGAAAGCCUAAAAAUUGGGUUUUUUCCGCUUAUUUGGGAAGCAGGGUGCGAAAUCGACACGGGCUGGCACAUGGAAGAGUCCAGCCCAUGUGGCUCACACGGGCGUGCGCCCAGCACUCAUCAACUCGUAGUUGAAAUAAUCCGUACUCGACCUAUCCUAUUGCAUGCCAACUAUAUUCGACUAUGCUCGAACAAUUAAUAAGGUAACCUUUUAUUCAAUCGUCAUAUUGUUCAAUUCGCAUUUAAACAAUUCAAUUCAUAUCUCAAAUCAUCAGUUUAUCACAUGGCAUAUCCUAUUUCAAACCAAUUCAAGGUCAAUUCCAUAAUUCUAUCGAAUUAAAAUAUUUUAAAUUCUAUUUAGUUUAAUCCUCUAUCUUGAUAAUCAGUCAAAUUCAUACCAUUAUGAUUUGAUAUGUAAUGGCCUAAAUUUAAGGUUAUCGGAAUAGUGGUUUCGUAACCACAAAUCCGAUUUAAAGAUAAUUUUAUUUCAAUAUUUUUGCAUGAAAAUUGAUAUGAUAGGAAAAUCGUAUAAAAAUAUUGAUAGAAAAAUUUUACCGAUUUAGUGGUUAGUUAGAAAAACAAAUUAUUGAAGAAAUUAGGUAAAAUAAGGUAUCAGGACCUCUAUCUCGUAAAAUCGAGUCAAAAAUAAUUUUAUAAAUAUCUAUGAAAUGUUAGUAAUGUGGUAUUAAAAUUUAGUAAUGUGGUAUUAAAAUUUCGUUAGGAAAUUUUAAUGUUUGGAUAGUUAAUUAAAUAAAAAGGACUAAAUUGUAAAAUAUGUAAAAGUGGAUGGGAUGAUUAAAUAGCUUAAGUGUCUAAUGAGAGAGGAUUUAAAAGGCAAUUAGACCCAAAAUUUAUUUGGGCUGGACGGCAAGGGCAUGAAAUCAACAGGAAAAUUGAUAAAUUAAGGGCAAAAUUGGAAUAUUGCAAAAUUAACUAAAUAAAACUAGGACUAAAUAGGAAAUAUCUAGAUUUCUCUUCAUUUCUCUUCAAUUCCAGCAGCUAAAAAUGCCAUAGGAGGGUUCUAUAAGCUGGUAUUCCCUAAUUUUUGCACCAAGUGAGUUAAUCCUUGCAUUUUUCUUGUAAUUUUUGUGUUUCUAAGACUUUUACAACUACGUCCUACUAUUAAAUUCAUUAGUUUUUGAUUUCAUGGAUGAAAUUGAAAGUCACCAUGGUUUAUUGCUGUAAGUUUAUGAUGAAAUAGAAUUAAAUUAAAGCUUUAAUUUGUUUAUGAGAUGAUUUUAUUAGGUAAUUUCAAUAGAAAUUGAUUUUUAGGACCUAAUUGUGAAAAUAUUUUGAAUUAAAGUCUAUUGCUGAAAUUUUGAUUUCUAAAGGUUGUAAACUAGUUUAAGGUGAUAGAAUAAAGUGUUAAUUGAGAAAAAUCAGCUCAAUUGAGAGGCUAAUUGAGUAGGGACAAAAUUGUUAUUUAUUAAAAGCUUAGGGGAAAAUAGUAAUAAACAGCUUGCACUAAAACAAUAUUGGACAGCAGCAGUAGACUAAUUUUGAAAAAUUACCAUAAAUUGUAGGAAUCAAAUUAGAAGAUGAACAAAAUAUGAAAUUAAAGCUUAUUGAGUCUAGUUUCUCAUAGAAGAAAUGAUGUAAGCAAUGGAUCAGUAAAUCAUGAGAUAUAAUGAAUUUUGUGAGACAAGGUCAGAAUGAAUUCGAGUUCCCCUGUUCUGAAUUUGAAAAAUCAUAAAAAAUUGAAUAAAAAUAAUUAUGGGCUUAAAUUUAUAUGCAUAGAAUAUUUAAUGAGUAUAUUUUCAAGAAAAAUAAACAGAAACAUCAUCCAAAUUCUGUAUGAAGAGAUAAUUAAUUUUUAAUGAAGAAGGGUUAGAACUAUCAGAUAGCAGAACAGGGGUGACUUUAAAGAAUAAACUGUACUUAUUAGAUAAACCAAAAAUUCUGAAAAUUUUAUGGUAAGAAUAUAUUUGAGUCUAGUUUCAGGUAAAAUUAACGGAUCUUAAUUUGGAGUUCUGUAGCUCGAGUUAUAAAUAAUUUAAUGACUAUGGUUCAAAUAGACAGCUUUGAAUAAACUAUAAAUAAUAAUAAUGAAAUUAUAGAAAUUGUUGCAUAUGAACAUGAAAUGUAUUAAAUUGAUAAUUAAAUUUUUUUAUUUAGAUCCAGAAGAUUCAAAUAUGAAGCUAGAUCGAGGAAAGGAAAAAGUUCAGGAUUAGUAGAUUUUUGUACACGAACAAGUAUCAAGGUAAGUUCAUGUAACUUGAAUUAUAUUCUUAAAUACUUGAAAUGCAUGUUUUUGACAUGAAUAUGAUUUGAAUGUUCAUUAUAUGGAAAUUUAUGAAACAAUGAUAUAUUUGAUAAAAGAUGAAGAAAUCCCGGUUGAAUGAAAGGAAAAUUCGAUGGAUCUCUGAAAAGGAAUUGACGGUAAAAAGGAUCAAGCCCGGACGGAUGAUCCUAUCCUGAUAUAGCCCUCCCGAAGAAUAUAUGGAAAAUAGAUUUAGCCAGGACGGGUAAUCCGAAUCAGGGUCUGAAUUUAGCCUGGACUGGUAAUUCAAAUCUAAGCUAAUUAGAGUAAUUGUCGUUGCAGGGGAUUUAGCCUGGACUAGUAAUCCCGACAAUACUCUAUGAGUUUAUAUUGCAAGGGAUUUAGCCUUGGACUGGUAAUCCCGCUGCAAGGUUGAGGUUCGCGGGAGUGUGCUCUCUGAAAUAGAAAUGUGCGCACAUGAAUAUGAAUUGACAGACUCAGAAUUGUACACCAAAAGUGUACCUCUAAAAAUCCAUCAAAAUUUCGAUAAAUUCAACGGGAUAAAUAUGAAAAAAUAACAAGGAAAUGGAAAUUAUGAGAUUGAUGAGCUCAUCAAUCAUAGUCUAUAUUAUUGGUACAUGAAAAUUAUUGUACUAACUUGAAUGUUGAGUUUGUGCAUGUUAGAGUAAUAAUGCAUUGAAUGGAUAUAGGAAUGUUUAUUGUAUUGUAUUGAAAAUAUUAGGUAAGUAUAAUUCUUGUUACAUGAGCUUACUAAGCACAAAGUGCUUAUCCUGUUUCAUUUUCCCCUGUUUUGUAAUGUUAAGAGCUCGGAGGUCAGCUUUGGUCGGAGACACAUCACACUAUCAACAUCAGGAUUUCGGUAUAUAAGGAUACUUUAUUUUGGAAAUCAAUGGCAUGUAUAAGCUAAUAAAGUAAAUGUUAACGUGAAAUGAAUGUAAAGUUAGCAAUUGUAUGGUUAACAAACCUGGUUUUGGGUAUGUGAUGACGUUAUCUUAUAAAUAUGCAUGAAUUUAUCUUGAAAAUAUGUUGAAUUGGUUUGGUUGAUGUGGAUUGGUCUCGAUUUAAUAUUGUAGGGAAUGUUAGAUAUUUAUAAAGGGGUUAUAUUGAAUAUAAAAAAAAUAAAAAAAAUCGUAAACUCUGGUAAUACCUCGUACCCUAUUCCGGCAAUGAAUACGGGUAGGGGGUAUUACAUGAUAAGUCAUCAUCAACUAUUAAUUCGUUAGCAUUUCACAUCGCAGUUGAUCAUAUUCAAUUUAUCAAUUAAUUUAUGAUUUUCUUCACGAUUUAGUCCACCUCUCACAUUUUGUACUAAAUUGCAAAGAAUUCAAAUUACUAUUAAACAUACACAAAUUCAUAAUUUAAAUAUAUAUAGUAACUUAUAUACAAUCAUACCAUAUGAAAUUACCUGGUCCAAAUAGCAACAAACAACUCUCUAAGGACAAAUCAACAAAUUUUACCAUUUCCCCGAUUAUCUUCGAUUUGGUCUAAUUUCUGAUCUAUUCAAUAAUUCAAUUCAAUUUAUCAAUUUCUAUCCUCUUAUUUCAUCCUAUUAUAAGCGCAUAUUAGCUCAAUUUCAUUACUCGAAUGUCACUAAAAUUUUUUAUUUUAUUCAAUUUAAUCCCUAAGAUCGAAAUUGUAAUAUCUUUCAAAUUUGAGCCUCGACUUUGAAAUCGAUCUCAAUUUAAUCCUUCUACAGCCCUUUAUUUUCUAUAAUUAUAGAAAUUUUAUACUAAUUUCAAAGUAUUUACACUUUAGUCUCUAUGUUCAAAACUAACAAUUUUCACUUUACAAAUUACUCAUUUUUCAUAUCUAAGCUUAAAAUCUAAUCAUUUAACACCAAGAAGUUCAAGAAAUCAACACUGGAAACUUUUAAAAAUUUUAAUAAUUUUACAAUUUGGUACACGAGUUAGCUAAAUCAAGCUCCUGAGACCUCAAAAACAUAGAAAUUACAAGAAAAGUACUAAAUUAAACUUACCUAAUUAAUGCAAAAAGAUAAAAAAACUCAACCCUAAAUUUUUCUUCUUUAGCUUGUGAGGUUGAAGAUGAUAGGAGGUGAUGUUUUAUUUUCUUCUAUUAUUUUUAACUUUUAUAAUAAGUUUAACUUAUUUAAUUAUGAUUAACUAUAGUUAAACAUUGAUUAAUUAAUCUUUAAGUAUAAUUAGCCAAAUUAGUGCGUGCUAGCUUAUAUCCACUGCCGUUUAUCAUAAUUACAAGUUCCAAUUGCUUAAUUGGUCCUUUAAUUAAUUAAAAAUUCAUAGCGAUUAAUUUUUACCUCUUUAACAAUUUAGUCCUUGUACCUUAAUUACUCACUAAUUCGAUAAAAUUACUUAUUCAAAAUUCAAUUCACCUCUAUAAUAAAUCUGUAAAUAAGCUCAGUUUAUGGAAAUGAGGUUUCGACACCUCAUUUUCAAACACAACUAACUUUAGGGUUUAAACACUUGUACUUUAACUAACUAUCUAAUUAACAAAUUCAUCGAUCUUAAAUUUAAUGUAAUAUUAUAAUUGACUUGUAAAUGUUAAUUCAUAACAUUUAUGGACUCAAUCAUCAGAAAACGGGGUUCUAAAACCACCGUUUCCAACAUCACUGACUUUCAAGUAGUUACAAUCCUAUUUUAUCAGUUUACGGAAACAAGGCCCUGAUAUCUCAUUUUCAACACCAUUAAAUUUAGAGUCAAAACACUUGUACUUUAAAUAAAUAUCCAAUUAACAAAAUCAUCAGACCUAUAAUUGACUCGUAAAUAUUAAUUAAUAACAUUUACAAACUCAAUAAUCAGAGAAUAGUGUAACACCCCAAACCCGGCCCAAACGUUAUGACCGGAUCCGACAUGCCACAUCGAAGCGUUCAAAAUAUUUUAUAUUGUUGAUCCAGAAAAACUUACUUAGUGUUUUAAAAGAUAAUUUCAUUAUAGGUUAAAGUGAAUGGAAGCUGUGCACCAGGUAGGAAACCGGAAAAGAGGUGGUGAAUCCAUCGGACUGCUUAAGUACCAAGCUCCCUUCGGAUCCAAUCCUAGACAUGCAUACCGCCAUUGCCACACCUUAACGUCAUGGAUAUUUCUAGGAAACCAAUUUGAUUAAGUCAUUUUUAGGAAAAGUGAUUAAUUUUGGAAAAUAUCUUCAUUGCGGAAGCUUUGCUUGUUUUCGUGUUAUUUUGAAAUAAAUUACUGUUUUUGAAAACGCGCCCUAAAGCUAUCCAAUUUCAACAGUUAAAUAUAAAUAUUACCUAUCUUAAUAAAACAUAUAAAAACCAUCAAAAAUAAAUAAGCGGCCUUAUUACAUUUAAAAGCCCAAAACCUCAAACGUAAUUAAAAGGAUGUCCAGUUCACCAGAAGAAAAUCAAACUUUCAGAACGAGUGGCCACUCCGAAUUCCCUCACAGCUCCAAGCCCACUAUGGUUGGGGAUUACCUGCAUGGAUGAAAAUAAAAGGGGUGAGUUUGGGGAAACUCAGUGUGUAAAUUAACCCAACCAUAGCCUAUGUCAGCUCAAACCACAGAAAAUAGAAUAAGUUGGCCUUAGCCCAGAACAGAAUUCAGAAUAAAGCCCAUAGGCCCAUAAUAGAACAGAACAAAUAUUACAUGUUUAUGCAGAAACCCAACCCAGAUUCAUCCAUAACACCCCCGUACCAGCCUUACACCAUGUGGGGAGACUACUCGACCCACCCAACCGCUACACACCACAGAAAUCGCUGCGAGGCUACCAGAUAUUGUGACGAAGUCACCAGAUACAGAUAUUGUCGCAGAGCCACCAGAACAGAUAUAUGUGGCAGAGCCACUAGAUCAGAUAAUUGUGGCAUAGCCACCAGGACGCUUCCUCCAUAAUAUAACCCAUGUCCCCAUGCAACAGAUAUAUAAUCAUGGCAUACAUCAUACAGAAUCAGAUCGUCAUGCUUUUCAGUCAAAAUUAACCCUAGGGGUAUAACGGUAAUUUUGCACCUAAGGGUAUAAUAGUAAUUUUCCAUACAUAGGGGUAUUAUAGUAAUUUAGCUACUUUUAGGGUUUUCAUGCAUAUCCUAACUAUUUACGUACUAUCAGAACACUUACCGCGCAUACUUACCGAAUUGGGCCCGUUGGCCCAUGAACCCGAUCUUUGGCCCAUUAAGCCCAAAUUAUCAAAAUGUACGAAAUCGCGCGUACUGCAGUUUAUUACUUUAGAUUACCAAAUAUACAAACCCAACUAUCUUACGAGCAUUCGCACACUCGCAAAUUCCCAAAAUACCGACUUUUCGGCAUUUCGACUUUUCGGCUUUUGCCAAUCUAGUCUAUGAGAGGGUGUCAGUUACACACUUGUUUGCGACGAUAUGCUGACGAGAUCCACACACGAACUGCCUACAAUUGGAUUACUAACACGUUAAUCUAACUAUUCAAAUACAAACUACGUAUUAACCCCUUACAAUAUUCGGCCAACCACACCUACAGAUCAUAGUAAGCUUAUAAGAAAACAAUAAGCAACUCAUUAACAAAUUUUUGUCAAUGUUUACCACAUAAUCAUAAUUUCACUGCAAGUUGUCUUCCUGAGCAACAGUCACUAAAUUAUUUAUAACUGGAGCUACGAAACUCCAAAUCAAGUACCGUUAAUUUUUCCUGAAAAUAGACUCAUAUAUCUUCUAUCCAUAAAAUUUUCAGAAUUUUUGGUAUGUCCAAUCAAUACCAGAUUUUUCUUAAAGUUUCCCAUGUUUCACUGUUUGACUAAUCUGACCACUCUUCAUUACGAAUCAAAUUUUUCAUUGUAAAGAAUUCAAAAUAUGUUCUCGUUUAUUCCAUUUGAAACUAGACUCAUUAAGAUUUAAUGACAUAAUUUAUGCAGCUUCUAACUCAUCUCCCACAAUUUAUGGUGAUUUUCCAAAGUCACGUUACUGCUACUGUCCCAAGCAGAUUUAUUACCAAAUCACUCUUUCACACCUAACUUGCAUGCUUGUUAUUUAAACAUGUAUAUCACCAAUUAAUCAUCACAUAUCUAUGAUUUUACUUAAGUAUAAUCUCCAUUUCAUCAUUUUAAAGCACAACAUGUUAGCCGAUUUUUCCCCUUAGCAUCUAAGGCACAUGCAUGCUCAUUUGUUUGGCUCAACUUCAUCUAUCUUCCAUUUUUCAUCAAAAGAACAUGAAACAACAACCAUUUCCUUCAUUUUAAUUCAUGACUAAAUGCUCACAACACAACUAAAAACCAAAAUAUGCUUCAAGAGUUAAGGUAGAAUCAAGAAGAACUCAUGAACAUCAAGAUAGAAGCAAACUACCAUUAACUUACCUUCAAUUUUCUUCCCCAAGUGACCGAACAUUCAAGAGCUUUCUCUUCUCCUUUCUCUUCUCUAACUUUAGGCUAUGAUGAACAAAGAUGGACAAAACUUUGUUCUUUUCACCCCUUUUUUUUUUAAUAAAAUUUCAUAUUUCAUCCAUUUAAUUCUUUAAUACAAAAGACAUGAAAUGCCCAUCAUGGAACAUUUACCUAAACCAUUAUCAUAGAACAUUUACCUAACCCAUUAUCAUGGAAUAUUUACCUAAUCCAUUAUCAUGGAACAUUUACCUAACCUAUUAUCAAUUUGUAUCAUGAAUUAUGGAUAUCAAGUGCUCAUAUUGUCUACAACAACAUGAUGGCUGGCCACUUCAUGUAAAAUGGGAGGUUUUUCAUGCAAAUCCUCCUAUUUUGCACUCCUAUUUAUUUGGCCACUUCAAUUUAGCCUAUAGCAUUUUCAAACAUUUUCACAUAGGUUCUAUUUCAUAAUUUCACCCUAUUUUUCUUAUGGAACAAAAAUUAACUAAAAUUGCCGGGUUCUAUCUUAAGUUUGGGCCUUCUAGAGGCCCACUAACAUAAUUAAACCUAUGCCAACAUUCACAGAAUUCUCGAAAAUUGGGGCGUUACAAAUAGGGUUCCGAAACCACCAUUUCUGACACCUCUGACUUUUGGGUCGUUACAAUCAUAUUUUAUCGCAUGGUAAUCAUUACAUCUUCCUUCAUGAAAAGUCAACUACUAUUAAAUAGUAAUCUAGUCAUCUAUCACAAAGAUGAACGACCCGUAACCAUAUUUACUUUUAAUCAACCAUGUAAUUCCAAUGAGAGGAUAUCAUUUACCCAUGUCUCGAGCUAUGAAUUCCACUGUUGUGAAUGACACUACAUACUGCAAAAGUCGUACACCCAACGCACCAAUGCACCAACUUUCAGUUACCUUAGUGGCAUCAUCCUUGAUGCCUAUCACAUGGAAGUAUUGUUCCAUCCCCCAAAGAAAAUUGUCCACAUUUCUUACGGGUCUCGUCCCAUCGAACUCUUUUGGCUUAGGGACAUCCACUUUACGCUACUUAGGAACUGUAGCCAACAUCUUUUUUCUACGAAAGCUCUACACAGAGUAAGCUCUCCUUCGAGCUCCUCAAUUUUUGCCAUCAUGGCCUUAGUUUCCUCCUUCAAAGACACGACCAUCUUUUAGAGAGCAUCAUUUCUCUUAGUCAGCUUCUCUGUCUGAUCAUCCAUAGCAGCAUCGAUGGUCUCUCUCAUUGUACCUCAAUUGGAAGUAAUAGUUUCUAUCAUAAAGCCCUUAAGCUGCUCUCUCAUUGAGUCUAACUCACUAGUGCAUCCCUCAACUACCUCGAGUGUUUCUUUCAUACCACUCAUGGAUUCCUCAAGAUUGGUCACCUGACCUUUUAGAAUCGAUAUCAUAUCCCUCGAUUUGCUAUUUUCUUAGACCUUUCAUGGGUCUCCAUUGGGAUAUUCUACUCGCCUCCUCACUUUGUCAUAUCAUUUGGCGCCUUCAAACAUUAGCUCUGAUACCAACUGUCACAGGGCUAGAUCUUCAGUUUGGUAAAUAGUAUGGCUUUAGGCGAUUUGUUGGGUUCAAAUCCUACCUAACUCAGCCUACUCUUGAAUAAUAAAAAUUCUUGCAAAAAUUCUCUAAGGCACUAAGGCAAAGUGGAAGCAAACUCGAAAGACAAUAGAAGCUAAGAACGAACAAAAAGCCACAGAAAGAUAGUGCACACCAAGUGCUUGAGUAAAUGCUCUCAAUAGUAUUCAAUUAUUAUGAAGGAUUACAACUGAGUGAAUACAAAUGAGGGGAAAGACCUCUAUUUAUUGUUGAGCUCCUCUAAAACAAAUGGUAUGAAUUGAGAUACAUCAAUAGUCGAGAUAAAAGCCUAUCUACAAUUAAUAGUACUAAGAGAUUCGGACUCUAUACAAUCUUAUCCCUUUAGGAUUUACACAAUUUACCCUGGUAACUCUAAUUUUACUAGAGUGCUUUACUGGGUCACCAAGGCUUCAAGUAGAUGGACAUCUUCAUAGGUUCCACGAGUCAGGCCAGUUCAUGUGGAUCAAAUGAGCCACAUUUAGUAAGUUGGUCACUCUAUGGGGCGUUCUGUGCACAAUGUUCACGGACUUUGAUCCGUGGCCUGUGACACUAGAAGGGUAUAAUAAAAUAAUAAUAAUAAGUUUAAUAUUUAAAAAAAUCACAUGUCAAUUUUUUAAUAUUGCUUGUGGGAUAAAAAAUAUAUUGCUAGUAUAUUAUAUACUAAUUUUUUAAAUAAAAAAUAUAAAGUUAUAUCUUUUCAUUUUGAAGCCUUUAAAAUGUUUAAUUAGCAAAAAGAAAUUAUGAUGAUUUUAAAAUUCUCAUAAUUUAGUUAGAAUAUACUUCCAACUAUGCAUAAAAAAACUAUUGAUGCUCUUAUAUUUUUCCAGAAUAAAAUAUAGGAAAAAUCGAUUUUGAAGGUUUGAAAUGUGAAUUACCCUUGCGGAUUUAUGAGCCCUUAUGUUUCAUAUAUGGUGUUGGUUUGGAAAGGAUUGCUAUAUGUAGUUAACUUAUAUCAUCUACAAUUAUAUACAAUUAACUUACAUCAUCCGAAGCAAAGUGAGGGCUACUUACUAGGAAUAAUUGAAAUAAUAAUAAUUUAUUUUAAUCACUGGCAUUACUUUUUUUUUAUUGAAUUAAAAUAAUAAUUUUAAAAAUAAAUAAAGAAAAAGAUAUUUGUUCAUCCAAUUAGAAUAAUGAGUAGUACGUAAAAUGAUCUUAAGGCAAUAAAAUAAAGAUUUAUAGCUCUUUUGCUAAUGGGUGAAUUCCUUUAUAAAGCCACCCAUAUUUUCCUUAAUUAUUCAACAUUCCUGGAUCACAAUUUAAGCACUAAUUGCCUCCAACCUUUUAAAAAUUAAGAAAUUUCUUUUAUUCAAAAUAACUAUUAAAAAAAUAAAAUUAUUAUUAUAUCUCAAAAUUCCAUCUUAUAUAUAAAUAUGAUUAUAAAAAUAUGUUUUUAUUACAUCGUAAAAAGAAAAAAAAAGAAAAAAAUGUUACUUCUUUAAAAGUCAAUUCUAUCGCGAACGCUUUUACUUCAAAAUCAAAUCUGAAGUUUUCCACCGACACUUCAAUUCAUUUCUUUUUAAUCUCUGGAAGCGUAGGCUAUAAAAGAAAACAAUUGUUUGGAUUUGCAAAAUUUAUUUGUCUUAAUUUUCGCAGUUAAUUGUGGCAUUUUUGUGGAAUCUCAAGAUUUUGUUUUUAAAGCAUUUAAGCUUUUGGGGAGCAAAAUGAUUUGUUAUUUUAGAAUAACGUCUCUUCAACACUUUCUUAAAAACUCAAACAUAAAACAUUCCCAAAGUAUUUAUUUUGGUUGAAAUUAAUUAAAUAACUUUUGAACCUAAAAGUUAGCUCUCAAAAUAUGUAAAAUGAUACAAAUUAUGGAAAUCAUAAUUAUAUGUCAUUAUUUACUAUCAUAAUAGGUUAGCUCAAAUUAAAAGUGAUCUAAUUUGGUUAAAAUUUUAUUCGGCUUUAAUGAUUAAAUAAAAUAUGGGUCAAAUAUGUGUAAAUACUCUAGUAAUUAAGUUCCAAUUCAAUUUUAAUUAAUGAUGGACUAAUUAAAAUUUAAUUAGAACUAAUAUACCAAGGUUAUAAAUAUUAGGGUUAUGGUCCUCAAUUUAUACACAAUAUAUCUUUUUUAAUAUCUCAUCAUUAGGAAAGAGAGAGCAAAUAUUCUCUGAAUUUCUUGUGUACUAAUUUGAAAAAUUAAAUCCCCAAGAUCCGGUAAAACUUCAAGGAAUUCAUGGAUUUAGGUACGCUUCUGUCUCUAGUUUUGUUCUUGAUUUAUUCUUUAUGAUUUGACAUGAUAGAUUCUGAUUUAUUAAGUUUUAUUUCAGAUUUAUUUUACAAAUUCUAACAUGUGGCAUUCGAGUUUUGUCAUAUUGAAUUAUUGAAAAUGUAUUGAUUCUUUAUUAAUUUUGGAUUGAUUCGUUUUUUUUUAAAUUUUAUGGAUUUGAUUUUUUAAUUAUAUAUUAUGUUGAAUCUUUGAGAUUCUUGAUAAAUUUUUGGGUUUUGAUCCUUUAAAUUAGGUUUUAAGGUUUUAUAAAUAUAAUCUAGUUUAAUAUUUGCAUAUGCUAUUCAAAAUAUGAAUGUUUAUUUAUUUAUUUAUAAUCAAUUGAUAAAAAUUGAUUUAUGAGAUUUCUUUCUUUUUCUUUUCACACAAUUAUUUUAUAAAUUUUGGUUAAAAUCAUUAUUAAAUUAAAGUUACAACUUACAACUUUUUGCAAUUGAAGAAUUCCAAUUAGGUUGUAUAAUUGGUUUUGAAAGUUAAUUCACUUGGUACUCGAAUAAAUGAAUAUUGGUAAGAUUUUUUUUUCCGCACUAUUUGUUUUAAAAUUUCUGUUUCUGGUUGAAUAUAUAUGGAAUUAUCAUCUUUUGUUUUUAUUCAUGAUGACUUAUAUUCACCAUUGAAUUUAAUUCAUAUAUGCGAAUGAUUACUUUUGGUUUCUGUUAUAAUUAUUUUAUAUAAGUUUUAGCCCUUAUGGAAUCUAACUAAAAUUAAAAUAUUUGGGAUUUUUUUUAAAAUAUAGUGGCUAUGAAUUUUCAUAAGUAGUUGCGCAUAUAAAGACUUUUAUAUAAUUUGGGAUUCUUUUUAAACUUAGUGGUUAUGGAUUUUUUUUAAGUAUGUGUGCGUAUAAAGAAGUUUUAUGAUAAUGUCUUUAGCCAUGAAUAUAAAUUUGAGUUUACAUGAAAUAUGUAAGGCAAGCUAGUAUUAUUUUUAUAUUAUUAUAAUUGUGUGUAUAUAUUAUGUGUGUAUAUAUAUUAUAUGCAUAUCAAUGAUUUUGAGGAUUAAUGCAUGAUUAUAGUUUGUGUGAAUAGGUGUUUAUAACCAUUAUUCAAUAAGAUAUCUUUUAUAGUUUAAUUAGUGAAAUUAAGUUUUGAUGGAUACCGUUGGAGUUGUUAAUUUUUUUUUUGUUAUGGUUAUAUAUUUAAUUUUAUAGGUGUUUUGGUACAAAUUCAUGUCAACUAUAUACAUAUUUAAAUAUUUUGGUUUUAAGUUUGGCUUUAUAAUCUUAGGUUUUGGCAUCUUAUGGUUCCAAAUAUUUGGUUAAAUUAUAAUGAUAUCGUUUAUUGUAUGAAUUGUGGUAUAGGCCAACUAUUAUAAUUUUGUUUUUUUGAGAUUUAUUGGCAUGAAAAUAUUUUUUAAGUAUUCAUGUGAAUAUCUGUUUAAUCAUAAAUACAAAUUUGGACUUACAUGGUAAAUUCAGGGUAAGUUUUUCUAUUUAAUUAUGAAUACAUGUAUAUGUGUGAAUUGUUUUGGUAUUUUUAUCCAAGCCAAAAUUAUGAAUACAUGUGCUUGUUAAUUAUUUGGCUUUGAACUACCAAAUCAGAGGUGGAUACAAGGGGGGCUGGCAGUGGCCCUGGCCCCCCCCCCAAAUCGGAAAUUUCUAUUUAGGCCCUUGAUUUUUUUUAAAUUUUAAAUUGGUAAAGGUAAAAUUGUACUCUGGCCCCCUAAAAUUAUAAAAAUUUGAUUUAAUUCUUUAAAAUUAUAAAGAUAUAGAUUAUAAAAAAUUAAAAUUUUAUUCGGCCUCCCCUAAAAAUUUGUUCUGGCUUCGCCCCUGCACUACAUUAUUUAUGUUUGGUUUUGAUAUAUAUGGUUUUGGAACCAAAAAAAAAAGGAAAAAGAAAUAGUCAAAAAUUAAGGUUCUCAGUUUUUUAUUGCAUUAUUAAGAUAAUCUUAUUUUAGAUUAUUUCGGAGUCUAUAAUAUAUAUUUUAAAAUAACUUAAUUGAAGCAAUAAGUCACCAAGUGAUUUUUUGUAUAAAUUAUUUCGUUUUAAAAUAUAAAAGGUUGUGUGCAUGUAACUUAAGUUAUGUUAAUAUUGAUCGACCCAAAUAAAGGUUCAUAAUAUAACAUGUGCAACUAUGGUAACAAACAUGUGACAAUUAUUCGAUUUCACAUGUAAGCAAUAAAUUGGUCCAAAGGAAGAUUUAUGGUUUGACAUAUUAUUAUUGUCAAUAUUUGACUGUUAUACCAAUAUAUCAUUUACAAGUUAAUAUUUUGUCUAAAGAUUAAAUAUUAAUGGAGUGUCUGAUAUCUUGAGAUGAGGUUUACCUUUAUUCAAAUUAUUUUGGUUUAAUUUUGAAGUCUUAUAUGAUGUUGUUUAUGAUUUAUGAUUUAUUCAACUAUUAUUAUAUUUUCCAACAUCAUUGUCUGUUGUUCUGGGAUAACUAUAUAUACAUAUAUAUACUAGUAUCUUUUAAUUUGAUUGAGAGAUGAAAUUAAAAGAAAUAUUUCGAAACAAAUAAAUUCAAGUUUUGGCUUUGAGUUUUAAUUAAUGAUGUCUAAUAUUUUAAAUAGAUUAGUUGAAACAAAAUGCCGCCAAAGUGACCUCUUUUGUGUAGAUUAAUUUAUUUGAAAUAUCAAGAUGAUUAUAUGUUUUUAUGAUUCAUGCAUUUAUUAAUUGACCCAAAGGUAAGUUAAUAUUUGGCAGAAUUUCAACGACAUCUGUGGUGAUAAAUGUGUGAAAAUUAUAAAGUAUUUUAUGUGAGCAAUAAGUUAGUCCAAAGAUUAAAUAAUUGUUUGACAUAAUUUAUUGUCAAUGUUUGAUUGCUACAACAAAAGGACCACUUACUGUUAAUAUUAUUGUUUAAAGACUUGAUAUUAAUGUUGUGUUUGGUAUCUUGAGAUGGGAUUAGCCAUUAUCUUGAAUUUAUUGUUUACUUAUGAAUAUUGAUGUAAGCUUAUUUUUAUGUAUUUUUUCUAUAUUCAGCUAAUUCAUCUUCUACUGCCACAAUAUCUGCUAAUAUAAAUUCUAUACCCAUGCUUAAUGGGACUAAUUUUAAUGAAUGGAAAAGACACUUACUUAUAAUGUUUGGUUGUAUGAACAUAUACAUUGCACUAAGGGAACAACAACCUGCACCUCUCAUUGCGGAAAAUACCCCUUAUGUUAAAAAGGAUUUUGAGAGGUGGGAUCGUUCAAAUUGCAUGGUUUUAAUGAUCAUGAAGCACAACAUUUUAGAAGCCUUUAGGGGUAUAGAAUCUGAAAAGAUUUCUCUGGCUAAGGUUUCUUUGACGAAAUUGAGAAAUGUUUUGCUAAAAACGAUAAAGUUGAAAUGACAUCAUUUUUAACUUCUUUGAUGUCUAUAAAGUAUAAUGGUCAAGAAAAUAUUGAGCGAUCUAAGGGCCAUGAGUUUUAUGAUCCUACAAUUAGGAAUAUUUUUGAGAUGAGAAUUGCAAUAUUCUUUUAGGAUGUUGAGUUUAGAGGGAGAAAUAAGGUUAGAAACAUUGCUUUUAAGGAGGAGUUAAAUUCUAACUUAAUUCCUACUAUCACUUUUGAUGAUAUUUAGGUUCUCAUACCUAUCAUUGAUUAAGAAGUGAAUCUAGAACCUCAAUAAGACAAUGUUGAACAAUUCCCUAUUUAAGAUAAGGUAAUUGUUUUAGAAGAAUAAACUCAACAACCUCAAGAAUGAAUAUCAUUAAAAAGGUCCAUUAGAGAAAGGGGUAUAAUGGCUUUAGUGGAAUAUUUUGACCUUAAGCUAUAUCAGAUGAAUAUUAAGUUAAUGGUUUCUCAAUGGUAACAUUGAUCAUACAUUUAUAUGGUGCAAUUAGAAAACUUUGUGUCUGAUGAUGCAAAGGUAAUGUUUUGCAAAUUAAAGAACUUCAUCUAUGGGCUUAGUAGACUCCUCGUCAAUAAUAUUACAAAAUUUACCAAAUGAUUAUCUCAUUCGAUUUAGAGAUGAAUUUUAUUGAUAAUCAUAUAUACCAUAAGUUUAGUGGGAGUAAGGUUCUAUAUUUGGUUUUAUAUGUUAAUGACAUACUGCUUGUCAAUAAUAAGUAUAGCCUCAAUCAAUGCCUGAAGAAUGAUUUUGAGAUUACAAAAAAUGCAUUAGUUUUUUUUUACAUUUUAGCAGUAGAAAGUCUAAUGUAUGUUCAGGUUUGUAUACAUUGGAAUAUUGUGUACACUAUUGGGAUGUUAGGAAGAUAUUUUAAGCAACCCUGAUUUGGACCAUUGGAUAGCAUCCAAGAGGUUUAUAAGGUAUUUACAGAAAACAAAACAUCACAUGCUCACAUAUCGGAGGUUUAAUCAGUUAGAGAUCAUCAGGUAUAUAGACUCUGAUUUUGAUGGAAAAUAGAUACAAGAUUUUGUCACUAAGGUGCAAAUUGUGAAAACAAAUGGGUGUAAUGUCACACUUAAGGUUUUAUAAGAGUACACUACUCAUAUAGGUGUAAUGUCAUUUAAAGGAUAUUUGGUUUUAGUGUGAGUUUGUAUUUUUAAAUGCUUUUAUGUUAUAGACACAUUUUCAGUUAUUUUAGUUUAAAGAUAUUAAGUUUAUUUUCUGCAGAAAUAAAGUUUAUUUGGUUUAUUCACACUCUGAUUUUGGUAAGGUUUGAUCUCACUAAGGAGGACCAGUUGGAAAUAGACAUGUUUAGAUCAUAUUGCAUGUAAUUUUCAUGCUAUACAUCCAUACUUGAUCUAUGUCAUUUGGUUGUGUUAAUAUACGUGAUCAUAAUAGAUUUAGUUAUGAUAUAUGUAACAAAAGUCACCUUGGUUCUAUGUUAACAUAAUUAAUAGACGAGAUUGUUUGGAAUAUCUUUUGAAUAUGAUAGUAAAAUUUUGAGCUCAUAAGGUUAUAUAAUGACAUGUAAUUUUAAAGUAAUUAGUAUAUAUAUGUGGUCCAAGUGAGAGAUUGUUGGAAAAUAUGGACAUCACAUAUAUAAUAAGGGUAAUUACAUAUUAUUAUUUACUAUCAUAAUAGGUUAGCCCAAAUUAAAAGUGAUCUAAUUUGGUUAAAAUUUUAUUGGGCUUUAAUUAUUAAAUAACGUAUGGGUCAAAUAUGUGUAGGUACUCUAGUAAUUGAGUUCUAAUCAAAUUCUAAUUAAUGAUGGGCUAAUUAGAAUUUGAUUAGAACAAAUAUACCAAGGUUAUAAAUAUUAAGGUUAUGGUCCCCAAAUUAUACACAAGAUAUCUUUUCUAAUAUCCCAUUAUUAGGAAAUAGAGAGCAAAUAUUCUUUGAAUUUCUUGUAUACUAAUUUGGAAGAUCAAAUCCCCAAUAUCCAAUAAAACUUCGAGGAAUUCAUGGAUUCAAGUAAGCUUCCACCUCUAGUUUUGUUCUUGAUUUAUUCUUGAUGAUUUGACAUGAUAGAUCCUGGUUUAUUAAGUUUUAUUUCAAAUUUAUUUUACAAAUUCUAACAUAAAAUUUCGGUGACUGAAGUGCUGGUGAUUCCAGAUCUGAUGGGGAUCAGAAUACUAAAAAAGUGAGAUUCAAGGAAGGAAUUGAUGGGGAGAUUGCUGCUAUGGCUGUAGACUCUGAUCCGAUCUCGAAUCUGUCUUAGAAGGACCAACUUUUGGAGGGAGGAGCAGUCAUUUCUGGUAUGGCUUGUAAUGACCAUAGCGAGGGAAGUGAAAGUGAUUUUGAAUUGUUGAAAGGUGAUGUGAGUACGACCAUGGACAACGGGAUCCCAAUAAUUGUCUUUUCGGAUCGUAUUAAAAAAAUUCUCUUCAAAGAGAUGGAAAUGAUGGUCGUACUGAAGCUCUUAAGAUGGAACAUUGGCUAUAACACUCUUUAUAAUCGAAUAAGCAGCUUAUGGAAACUUACAAAAUUGUUCCAUCUCAUGGACAUAGAAAAAAUUAAUUUUUGGUUAGGUUUUAGAACAAUAAAGAUUAUAAUCGAGUUUUAACUUAGGGACCGUGGAUCAUUUAUGAUCAGUACCUUACUAUUUAACCUUGGACUAAAUAUUUUAGUCCAUCGCAGCCAUAUCCCAACGUGGUAAUGGCUUGGAUCCAGUUGUCGAGACUCACGGGAUUCAUGUACAAACGAAAGAUCAUAGAGGCCAUCAAGAGGCUAGUCGAAAAAGUUGCAAAAUUGGAUUUUCAGACUGAUAGCAGAACCAGAGGCCAGUUUGCUCACCUAGCUGUGUUUAUUAAUCUUGACAAGCCUUUGGUUUAUCAGGUUAUAGUCGACGGCGUCAUCUAACGAGUGGAAUAUAAGGCGCUUUCGACAAUAUGUUUUUCUUGCGGUAAGUAUGGGCAUGUCAAUGAUUUGUACCUGUCAGUGGUGGUAGAUCUGACCCAGGAAAGUAAUCAGAAAUGGUGGUUGCAAACUCAAGCGAGGCCAUUGCCGGAAUAGAAGGAAGGAUAAGAUCGGAGAUGGAUCGUGGAAGUUGGUGAAAAGGAAAUCGUGGCGUAGUCAAAGGGAUUUACGGGUUAACGAUACGGCGAAAACUAGAAAGGAAUCGUUAGGAUCCAGAUUCACGGCAUUAAAUGCGGUGAGGGAGAUGGGAAAUGGUAAUGGUGAGGGUGAUGAAGGAAUCUCGAGGAGAAAGGAUAAUGAGAAGGCGAAUGGGGCUUUAGGUGGUAAUGAGGCUAGGGUUAAGGAAAGUCCUAAAGAGGGUUUGGGCUCAAGCAAUGGUGCAAGUUAUGGGGGAAAUGUUAUGGGGCCUGUUAAGCUUACUAAUUUAGGUAGUACAUAGGUUGUUAAUUUGGGCAGCAAAUCUAGUGGUUUAAUGGAAAAAAUAAUGGGAAAUAGACCUAUCCUGAUAGUUGGACUUGGCCAGGAUAUUAAGGGGUCUGCUAAUAAAGAUAUAUCCAAAUCUAACUUAAAUAUUUUCAUUGGACAUGCAGGUUUGGCACAGGACAAUUCGACUGGUGAUGGCUUGGAUCCCGAAAUAAAUGGUCAAGGUGAUAUAGAUUUAGGGUUCGGGCGAACAUUAAUUCUGGAAAUUUUGAGAAAAUUAGGGCACACUGUGACUCCACAUUUGAAGAAUUAGGGGGAAUUGAAGUCCCAAUAACUGAUGGUGUCCUUGUCCCCAGAAAAUAUUUCGCGGUGAUUUUUAAGAAAAAAUUACACUCAAACUAGUAGGAUAUUUCGAUCAACCGAUCAUUAGAGACCUUGAGUAUGGGUACCUCAGGCCCUAAAGAUAGGAAGAAUGGUGGUAGAGACAUCAUCGGUCAUAAUGGUCGAAAGCCUUCUAAUGAUUUAUGGGGUCAGGAGAAUCGCUUUAAAUCCUUUAGGAAUCUGCGGUCUCCUUUAGCAGAAUCCAUGAAGUUUGUGGUAGAGCUUUUUUCUUCUCAGAUGUUUAGUAAAGUAGUGAAUGAUACCUAGGAAGUCGCAGCCUCAACUGUAGAUGGGGUUAAUGAUUAUUGAUAGUAAUGGUAUGGUUCCUAAUUUUUUGUAUUAAUUCAUAAAUUUUACAAUUUUUUCUUAGAAUUGCUAGGGUUGUGCUAGUGUUAAAUUUCCUCGAGUUUUUUUGGAAUACAACAUGGAAUAUAAACAUGAUAUUAUUAGUCUUCUUAAGCCAAGAGUGAGUGGUACUAAAAUAGAUAGCAUUAUCGUAAAGCUAGGGUUCUAGUGUUCACAUUGAGUGGAGGCAAUAGGAUAUUCCGGGGGUAUUUGGAUUAGACAGAAAGAUUCAGUUCAUGUUAAGGUGGUUCGUAGUCAUUCUCAGUUUAUUCUGACUUAGGUUUGGCUUAUAUCUUUCCCAACACCGAUUUCCAUCUCCUUUGUGUAUGGAAGCCUUAAUUGGUAGAGAUGUAAGGACCUUGGGAAAGAUUUGAUAUCUCUGAUUCCGCUGGGGCAAAUUCCAUGGAUUCUUAUUAGCGAUUUCAACACAAUCCUAUAUUCUAUUGAGAAAUUAGGUGGUCUUUCUAACAGAAGAAGAUGCCCUCAUUUUGGUGAUUUUGUCGAUAUAGCCAAGGUACAUGAUUUAAGAUUCAAAUGACCUCCCUUUACUUGGCAUAGAUGUACUCUUUUUGAAAGGUUAGAUCGUGCAUUGGUAAUGAAGCUUGAGUCUACAAAUUUCCAAAUAGCUUGAUCACUUACCUUCCAAAGAUUAAGUCAGGUAUAGACCUCUUUUCCUACCCCUAAACCUGGAGGUUAUUCUACCUAAAGGUCAGCGUUUUCAAUUUUUGGCUGAGUGGGCAGAAUAUCCAGAUUUUGAGUAUUUUGUAGGUGAUAAUUGGAAAUUUAGAGGGGAUAUGUCUGAUACUUUAGCCAAGUUCACUCAUAGUCUAAAGGAGUGGAAUAAAUCAGUUUAUGGACACAUCACCACUCGAAAGAGAUAUAUGAUAAAUAAACCUAUCAAUAUUCAGAGGAAAAUGGACCUCUCUAGUUCAAUUCAUUUAGCUUUCGUAGAUUUGAACCUUAGACAAGAGUUGGAGAAUGUACGACAUCACGAGGAACUUCUUUGGAAAUAAAAGGUGAGAUACGAUUGGUUAAAUCUAAGGGAUCAUAAUACUAAGUUUUUCUUUACUCGUACAUUGCGAAGAAAGAAAAAAUAAUUACAUCAUUGCUAUUCACAAUUCUGAUGGUAUGAUUCUAAAUCCAUUGAAUCUAAGGCGAAUGAAUUUUUGCAAAAUUUGUAUGGGGAGGUUCUUAGGUCUAUGGGACGCUUGCCUCCAAGCGGUUUUCCUCAUCUUGAUAUUAUUUAUAUUUAUUUUUUGGAGAAGUCGGUCACGAAUGACAAAAUUAAGGAAACUCUCUUUGACAUGACACUUCUCAAAGCACCGGGUAGUGAUGGGUUUCAUACCCUCUUCUUCUAAAAGUAAUGGAGCAAAGUUGGGGGAGCGAUCUGUGAUUAGGUUAAAAUGGUCUUUAAUGAAAGUAUUAUCGAUUCCAAAAUGAAUAAUACAUUGAUAGUUCUUAUACCCAAUGUGUCAAAUCCAGAAGGCUUCGCCCAGUUUCUUCAAAUAAGCCUUUGCUCUGUCAUUUACAAGUUGGUGAUGAAGGUAAUCGCUAAUCAUUUUAAGUACAUCUUUCUUAAAAGCCAGUUUUAUUGCAGGUAGAAACAUCACCAAUUAUAUUAUUAUCCCACAAGAGGUAAUCCAUUCCAUGCUAUGUUAGAACAAAAGGAAGUGGAUGACGAUUAAAAUAGAUCUAGAGAAAGCUUACGACAGAGUGAGAUGAGACUUCAUCAACACUUCUUUCCAAGUGGUAAGUAUCUCAGACUACCUUAGAAAAGUUAUAAUAUUUUCAAUUUCUAAUUUUACCAUGCAAAUUAUGUUGAAUGGAGUCCCUUUGUCUAAGUUUAGGCCUGCUAGAGGAAUUCGACAAGGGUACCCGCUACCUCCAUACCUUUUUGUGCUGUGCAUGGAAUGGUAUGACCAUUCUAUUCUAUUAGUUAUUUCUAUUAGAAAAUGAAGUCUCAUACAUAUUUCUCAUUCGAGGUCAAGUAUCUCACAUUUGUUCUUUGCUGAUGAUUUAGUCAUCUUCAACAAAGCAGAUUUGAAACAUGGCAAGGUACUUAAAGAAAUAUUGGAAAUUUUUUGUGCAUUUUCUGGACACAAAAUUAAAGCUAGAAAGUCCAAUAUCCUUUUUUCUAAAAUGGUGCAAGAGCCAAUGACUGAUAUGAUUAGUACUUUGUAUUGAUUCCAAAAAGUACAAAAUCUUGGGCAUUAACUAGGAGUUGCCCUUUUUCCAUCAGAAGGUGAUGAAUAGUACUAUGUCCUUUGUAGUUGAAAAAGUGUUUGGGAAGUUAAAAAGUUGUGGGAUGCCAGACAACUCUCAAUCGCUGGCCUUGUUACUUUAGCACAGUCCGUACUUUUAUCGAUUCCUAGCUAGUUCAUGCAAUCCAUGAUGAUACCUAGGAAAAUUUAUGAAGAGAUUGAAAUUUUGGUUAAAAAGUUUAUUUGGGGAUCUUUAGACAGUAAAAAGAAGAUGUUUCUUGUGGGGUGAGUCUCUAUCUGUCAACCAAAAUGGUGCAGUGGUCUUGAAAUGAGAAAAUUACAUGAUCAAAAUAUCUCGUUUUUAUUUAAAUUGGGUUUUAAUAUUAUGUCUGACGAGGAGGCAUUAUGGGUUUAUGUAAUUAGGUCAAAGUACCAAAUGAAUGAAAAUUUGUCAAAUUGUAUUGGCCGAGAUAGUUCUUUUCUUUAGAUAUCUCUCUUAAAAAUUUGGUUGUUACUAUGAGAGAACUUAAUCUGGUCUAUAGGUAAUGGUAAUAAGAUUCAUUGCUGGAGAGAUAAUUAGAUCCAAAGUGUUGGGCCACUACUUGGACAUAUCCCUGCUAAUGUCAAUUUUGAUUCUGAUUGUUUUCUCAAUGAGAUUAUCAUAGAGGAAGGUUUGUGGUGUAACACCCCGAACCCGAAACCGACACCGGAGUCGAACACGAGGUGUUAACUGACUUUAACCCCUUAUAAAAUUUAUUUUCCAGACACUGCCCAAUCUGUAUACUAGUCGUUUUAAAAAUCAUAUCUUGAGUUUCGUAACUCGAAAAUCAGUUUCGUAAUUUUUCCCAGAAACUAGACUCAUGUGCCCAUCUAUGUAUUUUUUUCUAGAAUUUUUGGUCGGGCCAAUUAGUACAGUUUAUUAGUCAAAGUCUCCCAUGUUGCAGGGGUCGACUACACUGACCUUUGCCCAUUACGACUUGGAUAUCUCCCUGCACGGGUCUUCAAUACUGAUUCCGUUUGUUUCUAUGAAAACUAGACUCAGAGAGGAAUCUAUACAUAUAUGGUACGACCCCUAAUUAUCUCUUGUUAAUUUAUAAUGAAUUUCCAAAGUCGGAUCAGGGAAUCCAGAAACCGUUCUGGUCCUGUCCCACAAAAAUCUGAUUAUCUCUUAAUAUACUGCCCAUAUGAUCUUUUCGUUACUUCCUCAUGAAAACAGACUCAUCGAGCUUCGAUUACAUAAUUUAUUCAUCAAUUAAUUCCACUCCUACUAUUUUUAGUGAUUUUUCAAUCUCAUGACACUGCUGCUGCCAGCAUCUGUUACGAAAGUAACUAGGUCCAUU